RNAcentral lists this long non-coding RNA (99180 nucleotides) under Coffea arabica (coffee). RNAcentral describes it as "long non-coding RNA (CARA_LNC004902)". Lineage: Eukaryota; Viridiplantae; Streptophyta; Magnoliopsida; Gentianales; Rubiaceae. The record is from RNAcentral.
GUGUGAAGAAGUCUUAUCAGUCAGUCUCUGAUCUUUCACCUUUCAUUGAUUUGUGUUCUAUAUUCUACUUCCGCUAGUAGUUGAAAUUUGGCAAUUAAGAUGGCACAAUACGGGGCUGAAUAUGGCAACCAAAAGAGCCAGUACGAUGAGUACGGAAACCCAGUUCGUCAGACAGACGAAUAUGGUAACCCAGCCCGCCAUGGAGGUACCAUGGGUGAUUAUGGAACCACUGGCACUACUGGAGCCUAUGGUGGCACAGCUGGAGCACAUGGGACUUAUGCAACUGGAACCACCGGCACUACCGGUACCGGUGCGUAUGCCACCCAGCCUGGCACUGAUGUGGGGAAGGAGCACCAUGGCCUUGGUGGCAUGCUUCAUCGCUCUGGUAGCGGUAGCUCUAGCUCGGUAUGCCCUCCUAAUUAAUCUCGUCUUGCUUAAAUUGUACUGAGUUGUAGUAGCAUUUAACAAAUCUUGACCAGCUUGUGAUGACUGGUAAUUAAAAAGUUCUUAUCUGUUUUCUUUUUGUUUUUUCGGUUGGGAUGCAGUCCGAGGAUGAUGGGCAAGGCGGGAGGAGGAAGAAGGGGAUGAAGGAGAAGAUAAAGGAGAAACUGCCUGGCGGUCACAAGGAGGCUCGACCUGGACAAGAAUAUUCGAGUGCUACUACAGCUCCUGGAUACGGCGGGGAAGGAGAGCAGCACGAGAAGAAAGGAAUUAUGGAUAAAAUCAAGGAGAAAUUACCAGGGGGUCACAACAACUGAAGAUCUAAUUCUAAUAAUAUGGGAUCCAAUUAUGAUAUUGUGUACCCCUAUUUUCAAUCUCAAUCUCAAUCUCGUUCGUGUCAUGUUUGUGUUUUCUGAGAUUUGAGUGUGUGGACGUCUUGAGUUUCUGUAAUUGGAAUAAAGAUGAUGAUGAUGACUCUGUAGUGUGUUUGUCCGUAUAUUCGGCGUCUUGUACUCGGGUCAUCUGGUCAUGUAUGUAUGUAACAUGUUAUGUAUCAAAUACGUGAAGUUUUGCGUUACUUUAGCGUGUGAUCGCUUGUAAGUUGUAAGGAUUACGACUCUGGUCGCAUCUAUUCUUUUUUGUCUCCUCAAACCAUAAUGCGCUAACACGAGCAGUGCAAACAAGAUUUCUUAUUAGCAAUAUAACCAGUAGUAACUCAACCCCUCAGGACCUUGAAGUCAGUAGAGUAGUUGUAGGCUCUUGUAAUUGUACACCAAUAUCUCCAAAGUUUCCAACUUCACUAUAUAUUAGUUCCUUGAUCCAAUACCAAAACCAAGCAAGCAAAUGCCACACAGAAAAUCGGGACAGGGACAAGAUAUGGACCUAGCAAAUCAAUAGACUCAGUUCAGAGGUAUAUGCUUGCAUUUGCGUGGCCAAUCAUCAUUGUUUUUUUUUUUUAAUUUUUUUUUAUCAUUUUUUUCGCCGCUGGGGAUGUAUGAUGGUUUGUUGACGAGGAACAAAUCAGAGAAAGGGUAACACCUUAGCAAACACUCGUGUUUGCUAAGGGGAAAAAGACACCAAUUUCAGUAACAGUGAUUGCAACUUUUCUUGGCAUGCGGCAAUUCUUUCAGCCCCAAGGAGGGGGGGAAAAGUGUUAUCCUUGGACUUCACCUUUAGGCCAAGCAGGGUACACCUAAUAUUCAAGGAACGGUUAGUGACAAAAUGUGGCUGAGGGCCUGAGACUCGAUACGUCAGGGGAUCCAAAGCAGACCAUAAGAACCAGGCAAGAAUAUCAAUUUUACUAGAGAUGCGAAACCCGAGGAGAGAAAGAAACGACAUAAGGUCCUUUUGGAGAGUAUUAUCACAGAUGUGAAUGUGAUGCGAUGCGACAAAAAAAGUGAAUGUGAUGCGGCUUCAGAGUAGAAUAUCGUGUUAGAUUGCAGAGGCGAUGAACCACCAUCACAUCAUUGACUCUUUAAGUAUACGCUAUAUUUACCUGGAUUAUCUGGGAUUAACACACGAUAGUAUCACAAGCUUACUUCCAGUUCUGCCCCAACAAUGAAAGAAUCCAAACGGGGUUAAGGCUCAACCUACUGAAAAGAAUUCAAUGUUCCGGGAUAGGGGAUUCUCUUACUGAGGCCCAAAUAGAUUGGCUCUUUAAGUAAUUAUCUCAACCCUAACAAUUAAGAAUGUCUAGGCAUUUUCAUUGCUACCGUGGUUAACCCCAGGAUUCCAACUUCAAUCACCAAAAAUCACCACAGGAGCAUAUUCCUUUCCGGAAAUGGUGGAACCUCAAGUUAUCCCUAACAACUAUCUCCCUGCUCGUGAGCUGAGAUGCUCUGCUCAUUACAGAGUGGCAGUCCUCACAUAUUCUCAGGUUCUUGGUGAUUCUGAUAACACAAUUAGCACUUGUAGUUAGCAGGGAAUACGCCAAAGCGAGCUUUUCACUAUGCGUUAGAAGGAUCCGCUCCUUUUCUUCAUCACUUACAUCAUAAGGAGCAGAACUUAGUAUUGGCUGAUAGCCAUGGACCUUUAGUCUCUUAAGAAGAUCCUGUAGUGUCUGCUUAAUCAAUUUAGACUCUGGAUGAAUCGUGUCAUCAGAAUAGAAGUUGUGAAGUCCCCCAUUUUCAUCUUCAACCAUGCUAAGUGAAGGAGUUUUUAUUAAACGUUUUGCUCUUAUCAACUUCCUUACUCUUGAAACAUCUUCCCACCUUCCAGCUGAAGCAUAGAUAUGGGAAAGCAAGACAUAGUUUCCAAUACCAUCAGGUUCAAGUUGAAACAGUUGCUUAGCAGCUAUUUCAGCAACCUUAGGAUUUCUAUGAAUUCGGCAAGCUCCUAGCAAGGCUCCCCAAAUGCUGCCAUUGGGCUCUAUUGGCAUCGUUUGAAUAAGUUCCAGUGCUUCUUCCAGUCUUCCAGCUCUGCCAAGGAGAUCAAUCAUGCAAGUAUAGUGGUCAACAGACGGCUUAAUACCACAACCAUUCUUCAUCAUUCCAAAGAAAUGCUGACCUUGUUCUACCAAGCCUGCAUGACUACAUGCGGCAAGGACCCCGACAAAAGUCACCUUAUUAGGCUUCACCUCAACCUUCAUCAUCUUCUCAAACAACUCUAUUGCUUCUCUAGCACAUCCGUGCAUUGCAAACCCACCAAUCAUUGAACUAUAAGAGAAAACAUUUCGAUCCUUCAUACUCUCAAAAACCUUAAAUGCAUCCUCCACACUCCCACACUUCGAGUACAUAUCAAUUAAUGCCGACCCAACAAGGACAUUAUCCGUAAGUCCAAAUCCUGACUUCUCUGCAAAAUCCCGGACCCAAUUUGCGUACUUGAUUGCACCCAAUUGAGCACAAGCUGAAAUAACACUAGACAAGGUCACUUCAUCCGUGUUUACCCCAGAAUUCUGCAUUUUCUCAAAGUACUCUAACGCUUCCUUAGGCUGAGCAUUCUGUGCAAACCCUGUCACCAUCGCGGUCCAUGCCACCAUAUCCUUCACAGGAAGCCUAUCAAACAACUCGCUUGCCGCCACCAUAUCCCCGCUCUUCGCAUAUGCAACGAUCAAAGCUGUAAAAGAAAUGACGUCCCUCGUGGGCAAUUCAUCAAAUACCCUCCUAGCAAAAUCCAAGCACCCACAUUUUACAUACAUAUCAAUCAACGUAUUUCCCACAAAUAAAUCCUGGACAAACCCACCAAUCUUCAAGCUUUGCCCAUGAAUUUGCCUGCCCAAAUCCACAUUCAACACGCCAGUACAAGCCUUCAACAAUGCCGUAAAAGUAAAUGAAACGGGCAAAAUAUCAUCCCUCCUCAUUUGGCCAUACAAAAAUACGGCCUUUUCUAGUGGCCCCUGAACAGAAUAACCGCGGAUAAUUGCUGUAUAGAGAAAAGGGUUGGGGCAAUAUACCUGGCUGAAGAUCAGACGGGCGUAAGUAUCGAUGGGGGUAUUGAGUUUGCAGAGCACCCGAACGAGUUUUGUUAGGAGGAAGCUGCAUUGGUCGAGACCUUUUCUGAUGAUAUGAGCGUGGACUCUCUUGAUUUCUGUGAGACUAAUGCAGGAAUCGAGGAUUGAGACGAGCUGGGCUUCUAGAAGCUUUGUUUCUUGAAGCUUAGAGACGGGAAUGAAGGGUUCUUGGAGGUCCAGAGCUGGAGCUUUCGGUUCGUAGAAUUGGGGGAUGAGAAUUGCAGGGCGUCUAAGGGUUUUAAUCAGCUUCUUGGAAAGUGAAACCAUCACAUAUUUUGCACAGAAUUUGUGGACUAGAAGUGGCCGUUUGGGGAUGCAGAAGAGAGUGAAUUUUGUGUUGGCGCCAAAUAACAGCAAUCUGUUGUUAAAUUUGAGAGUAAACAAGAGGGUGUAGUCGUCAGCGCAAGGUAGUGAAGAAUUGACGCUACUAAUUGCCAAACCAAUUUUCUUUUUCUUUUUAUUGUUAUGCUUAGAUAAUAUGUAGAUAAUGAAAACUUGUAAUUUAUCUGCAUGAAGCAUAAUGAUUAUUAUAUGUUUACUUCAACAAAACUAAAGUUGUGAUAGUAAAAUAUUUGAAAAUUUUUUUUUUAAAAAAUAUUAUAACACUUUUUUUUUUUAUAUGAAGUAUGCGACAUAUAAGAAAUAAUAAAAAAAAAAUGCGUUAAUAAUGCCCAUAAAUACAAACAAGCCCAGUUCCGUAAACAUCUUCAAAACGUUGUGAAGAUAUUUAUAUUUCUGAGUUGGAUGCGCUUUAAACGGUUUAAUAAACCAACCACCAAAAAGAUAAAGGCCUCAUGAAAAAGACAACCAUAUAUAAGUUACUCGUGCAACAAAUGUUCAUCAUCGGGGCCUGUUUAUGAUAGUAAUUGGUAAAAGAAGAAAAGAACAGGAAAAUUUGCAGAGGGAAAAGGAGGUUAGUUAAUUAGUAGGGGCACUAAUCAUAUAGCAAAUAAUCGGCUUUCAUAUGACUAACCAACAUCAUACAGCAUAUAUAUAUUUUGACAAACCUACUAAUGAUGUACAGCUCAAACAAAAAAAUACCAAAGGUUUUCACUACCAUAAUGAGCAGCAGCAGAUUAGUGUGCUUUCUGGUGUGCCUUGACGUUCCGAAGCACAUCCUUCAGAACCGCUGCAAUUCUUUGCUCCAUAUGGCGUUCUAAAAACCUUUCUUUCACCCUCUCAUAGCCUCUCUUCCCCAUCGUCAGUCUCCUUUCAACAUGAGUAGCAAGUUUAACCAUAUUUCUCGCAAGAGGCAUUACUCCCUGUUUCCCUACCGGAUGCAGAAGACCUGUUGAUCCAUUCACCACAAUUUCUUGAGUGCCACCUGCUGCUGUUCCCUGAAAAUCAAGCCAUAAUCAAGCAGUCAUAAGAUAACCUAUACUCUGAAUCAACCGAAUGUCCUCAAGAAUAUAGAAGAGCUAAAAUCUCAUGCAUUUUUUACUGGAACAGAUGUCAGAGAUUCAGGGCAACCAUACCAGUACGGGUAACUGAAAUGCCAUGGCUUCAAUUGUUAUCCUCCCAAAGCACUCACCUCGUGCCUACAUGGAGGGAUGAGGAUGUAGAUAUUAGUACCGACACCGAGACCGAGAUCAAGAUACAUUUCACAAACACCCUAAAAAAGUCGUACAAAAUAGCAGACAAACUUGUUUCACAAUGAGAUUUUUAAAUUGUUAACAAAUUCACAACUAUGGUUCUCUUUGAGUCCUCCCUUAAUUGCAUGACGUCAUUUGUAGAAUUCAAAUCUAACAAAAGCAUGUAGAAUCACAUGCUCAUGGGUUGCAAAUCAAACAGGAAUAAAAUUUUUGGGAAAAUAUAUCUACACUAUAUACUGGACUCAUCUUUCAUUUGAAAUGAGAACUUAAUUUUACCACUACUGGACCCAUAUUUAGGCAAAAGGGAAGAGGGGGAAAUAAAAACAUCAAAAGUGAGCUCAGCAAUUGAAGUUCUAAGAAUGCAAUAAGUCGGCUAGUGUAGCUUUUCAACUGCCCAGGCAAAAAGGACCCACGAGAGAAAAAAUCUUUCCAGUGUUUGGUGCAAAAGGAAAAUGCGAUCAAAUUGACCUUUUACUACUUUUGCUACAUAGAACGUGCCUUUUUUGUGCAAUUUAUGACAUUAAACCGAAAAAGCUUCCAGCCAGCCUUCUAAAUAUUUGAAUAGGUUUUUUUAUUAAAUUUGAUUGGCAAUGGCAUGUUACAAUGUUCAGUAAAACAUACAGAACUUACAAAAUAAUAAUUAGGAACAGGUCACAAUUCCAAAUAACUUUCUCCUAUCUAGGACAUGGUGGAUAUGGUUUUUCUAACAAUUUUUUAAGAUUGUCGGCCGUGCAGUUUCUCUAAAUUAUACAUGUAUUUGGAGAAAAUAAAUAGAUAACAAAUACUGAAUGUGCAUGGGGGCAAAAGAACGUAAAUUGCAGCCAGAGAUUUGCAAAGUUAACAGCGGCAGCAGAUAAAAAUGAUUUACCUGAGAAUUCUGGACAAGAACAUCAAUUGCAGCAAGAUAAGGAGCUACAGCCAGAGUCUUAUUAACGAAAUGAACAUGACCCUGAAUCUUUUUAGAUUCAACAAAGGCCCUCAGCUCAGACUCAAAUUUGCUUUGAGCAUUUACAUCACUCCCCACAAUUGCAGCGUGUAUAGGUGGCACUUGUAGCUUCUGGUGCUUGAUGUAUAUUAGGCUCUCGUGAAAAGAAUUCAGAAACAAAUCUUGUCCUUUUCCACGAGAAACACCUACAGCAUUACAACCACCAAACCAUCAAACAAAAAUAAAAAUAAAAGCAUGAAUAUUUACUUAGCAAGUCUUAUAAGCAGAACAGACAAAAUAUUCACUGUCGGUGAUUUGCAAACAUCAGUACAACCUCCUCAUACAAAUAUGCCAAUAAGUAAAAAGAUCAUUUAUACAUAGAAGACUUGCAAAAUGAAGAUGCCCAAUAAAUCAAGUUAAGCCAAAAAAAAAAAAACUGGGUGAGUAUUCAUGAUUCUGAUCCUUUCAGGAAUCAAGCAUACUUGGUUGACGACCUCACUUACGGAGGCACCUCUGCAUUUGGUGGAAAGUACAAGACUAAUAUGCAAGGUGAGGAUCACAGGACUUAAAUCUUGACAAAAAUCAGGAAAGCUCACAGAGGGAGGGAAGCUGAAGCGACUGUUGAUGUGCAAGAAUUGAUAGAUGAUGAAUGUGAAGAAGAUUAUCAGACUUUCCUUGACCAUUUAAACUUUAAUGGCGAAAAAAUGGUUCUGAAAUACAAAAAGUCGAUGCCUUAUAUAUGACGGGGAACUAAAUGUCCAAACUCAACUCCGUGCAGUGUGUGUGUGUAUAUAUAUCCUUAAUUAUGAAUGCAACAGGAAGAAAAAUUCAUCCUAACGUGUCUAAAGCUCAUGAUUUCUUCUUAAUUUACCACAGCAGUUGUUUAAAUACAAUAUCAAGUCAGUCUCUCAAACAAGCUUAAAAACUCCAAAAAACAUUGUGGAACAACCUCCCCUAUACUAAACCAAAUCUCAAAUUCUUCUCACAAAAACAGCCCCCAGGUUCAACGGAAGCAUAAGGACCCCAAACAACCUCCAAAAAAAUAUGUAAAAAAAACACAUAAAAACAUUUUUUAAAAAAAAUGGACCCCAAACAACCUCCAAAAAAAUAUGUAAAAAAAACACAUAAAAACAUUUUUUAAAAAAAAUGAAAGUUAGUGCAUACUAUUUAUGAUGGCAAAAAGUAUAUCUUCAUUCUGAACCCCAAGAGAUUCACGAACAUGCUCCCGCAAAACCCUUUUUGCCACAGUAUCCUCAGCAACUUCCAUAAGUUCUUUACUGUUCCCAAGAUGAACAACAUAUGUUUUGGGCAUUUUGAUCCUAUAAGAGAUUGACAAAUACAGUUAAGAACAGUCAGAAUGAUGAAAAAUUGAGAUCGAGGGAAUAAUGUUGGACAGUAAACAUUGCCAUGAGAGAAACACACGAUCAAUAGUCAGAAAUCUUAAUUGCCCAUGUCAACCAAAUUUGUCCCUUACAUCUACAGGUUAUGGCCUUUUUUAAGACUACAUCCAUUUAGACCAGAAUUUUCUAGAAGUUUUCUGUAUCCUCAAAGAGAUAAAAAAAAAAAAAGGCACAGAUCAUGAUGGAUGCAUAGCUAAGUUUGAACCAGCUGCUUACCACAUCAGAAGUCUCAACCAUAAAAACCUUCCUCCUUUGAAGAUUAAAUUAAUAGAAAAUCGAUAUUAACCAUUCACCAAGCCAUACAAAGGAAUCAAUUCCCCCAAACAUUCACUGUUAAGGCUCCAAUUAUGAAAUUCAGCAACUCAAGAAUCUACUUUUCAAAAUUUUUGAGAUUAACACUGCAGCAUAAAUAAAUAUGCAUAGUAACAUUAUUAUGAAAAAACAUUUUAAUCGAUUUCAUCAAGUCAUCCCGACUUAAGGUGCUGCACAUGACUUGCAACACACUUGCACCUUCAUCCCCAUCUUGCCCCUUGCAAUAUCUUCAUGGACUAAAAUGUCAAUCAUGAACUCUAAUUCUCAUUGUCUUACUUUAAUUAUUUGUUAUCACAUCAGCUAAUUCAUCCAGAGAAUAAAAAAAUGAAACAUAGCAAAAAUAAAACAAGAGAAUCGGAGGUUGCAUAGCACUCCAGUUUUCUUGUUCUACCAGCUGAUCUUUACCAUAAGAAGAUUAGAAGUCCUUUGCUGGUAAGUUGUUAUUAAGAUACUUUUCCAAUUUCUAGCAAAAAUGAUAUGAAUGUUAACUGUCCUCCGCUAAAAUUCUCACACACUUCUAUAUCACAGUGCAAUAUAAGAACUGAGAAAAUCAGCAUAACUACCUUCUAUCUUGAUAAUUGACAAGAGCAAGAACAUUAUUUGUGUCAGGCAAGCUAGUAGUGGCAUAUCUUGGGAAGCACCUAGGGUUGUUCAACCUUGUACAUACACCUAGGGCUGAAAACUGUACUAAUCAUACAUCAUCACAACACGCUAAUGCAGUGAUCAACAUAUAAUGCAUGAGUUCAAAUAGUAAAGAAAAAAAACAAACAUAGAGCUUUGUGCAUGUUGGAAGCUGCAUUAAAUAGGAGGCCACUAAAAGAAGUAAGGAAUGACAUACAUAGAUGCCUACCUUAAUCGCUCCUGUGUCCUAUUCUUCCAGUAUUCUGCUGUGACAUGUGAAUCUAUCAUUGCACCAGCAACAAAUGGAAGGUGUUUUACAUAAUCCAAACUGAAGUAAUGGCCCCGCAUUUCAUGGAUCCACCACAAAGUUUUGGGGAGAACAAGAUGAACUUUUUCCUUAAGAACAGCAUCCAACCACUUUCCAGCCACAGCAGUGUUCAAAACCACCAGAUCUGCUUUCAGUGCUAUAUUUACGGCCUCUUGGCUUCUCGCCGAGACAAUCUGAGAUGUAAAAGGGGAAAAGGUGAGCAUACUGCUCAACAGUGUUUGAACCUCAUAAAAUUAGCAACCAAUGCAUCAAGUAUUUAGAAAAAUUGAUUCGUGUUGAUAAGGCUGCAUCUUAUCCAUCAUAAAAUUUUAUUUACCAGAAACAAUUAUAUUCGUGCAGAACGGAAAUCUUUAUUACCGUAACAUAUACUGAACCUUGUCACAUUAGGAAUGGAGAAAAUAACGCUGGCAAAUUCAUGGAUUAAUUACCUGAUAUAUCAAGCGUAUUGAAAAAAAAUGCAAAGCAUUUUGUUGAAAUGGAAGGGGGAGGGAGAGUGAUUGAACCAAUUGAAUACAUAUACCUUUUUCCUCUUUGUAAAAUUAUAUACAGAUGUUUGCCACUGAGCUGACAGAAACGAUAUGACUAACUAAAUAUAACAUUAGCAAACUCGAGAACAUCGAGCUCCAUGCAUUACUUUAGCAGGAAACCAUGACGAAAACUUUGACAAACAGGUUAAAAACUAAAGAGGCAAAGACUGCAUCCCUCAACAAGUAGACUCGCAAGAACUGUGAGAUUUCAUUGUCAAAAGAUUUAAGGAAUAAAAUAUGGAAAUAAAGAAGAUAGAUAUUGCAAAAAGAGCCAUGUAAGGUAGCUGAUUAUAAGCACAGAAAGAUUUUGCAACCUGCACUCCUCGAGUUAACAUUUUGUGCUCCAAACUGUAGAUGACACUGUCUGUUCCUGAUGGUCUCUGGUUUGUAAUCCAUUGAACAUCAGCACCAACACCUCGUAACAGAAAAGCCAGUUCCAUCAGCAACAAUGGUCCACCUACAGUGUGUUUCAGUAAAUGGAUUAGCUAGAGAUAAAGUUACAGAGAUACUAAUAAAUGACCGAAAGCCAGUAACUUGAAUAAAAGACCAACAUUAACCAAUCAAAGCUGAUUAAAAGACUGAUUAAAAGACAUGAUAGGUCACAUUUCCAGAAGGUUUAUAUUGUGGGAGGUGACAAGAAUAAGCAUAGAAUGAUUCUGUUGCAGGGGCACACUUAACCAUAUUCCAGAUGUUUUUAGAGGACCUAAAUGGAAUAACUUUAAAAAAUAUCACUUAAGGCUGAAGAGCUGGUUUAGAAUACAUAUUGUUUCCAUGUUAUUGCUAUGGGUUUUAAGUCUCUCAUUUGUUCAUGUAGAACCCAUCAAAGGAACUGAAAGCUAUUAUUAUACCUGUCACUUUCAUAAUGUUGCUUCUAGGAUUUAUUAUCCAGCAACUUCUGCCUACACACUUUACUUUUGAACAACCCCCUAUAAUCUCCAUUCCUGGGCAUUUACCUAUAUCCCUUUAUAUCCUUUAUUUACCAUUUCUGUUGCAAUUACUGCAAAUUGCACUAUUAAGAAAGUCGCAAUGGCAAUUUAUCACUUAAAACUUCAACAAACAAUCACUUAUGUGGUAUCAUAUCAAUACCUUCAUUUGGUUGUAACUUCUUCCCUAAGCGUACAUAGCCAGUCCAGAUUAUCACAUAAAAUCUCAUGCUAUCUUUUUCAAGAAACAUACACUUUAUGCCAGUUCACAAACUGAAAAAAAAAAAAAGAGGUAAUGAAACUCUAACAAAAUCGAAUGAAGCACGGAAGUUGCCAGAGAAAAAAAGACGGUUCACCAGGACAUACAGAAUCAUAUCUCUAGUAUCCUCUACUCAGAGCCCAAGUUUUGCUAGACCAAGACCUCAGUACUAAAUGUGCAUGAUAUCAAUGGCAAUCCAUGCAUCAGCAAACGGUAACUGGAUGGCUUGAAAUUACAUGCUGUUAACAACAUCAGCCUUUUUCUCCUUGAAUUUUUCAUCUCUUACCUCCUAUAUAUCAUUUUUUUCCUACCUGACCUGUUAUCCAUCUUUGAUCAAUACAAUAUAAUUUCCACUUGAAGGAAAAAGUUUUGCUGGAUACAUAUAUGUAAUGCACCAGCUAAAGAAUUACUACUUGGCUAAAUUUGCAAUAUAUCAAUAACAGCACCACAACUCAAAAUCAACAUUGAGUUAAUUUUCUAAUGAGAGAUGAAAAUAACAGAGGGGAAGGGGCAAGCUCUUCUUACAAGAUACCUAAAAAAACUCCAGUAACUCGAAUUGAAUCAUUAAAUAUACAUAAUUCAGAUUCUUGAGGAAACAAAAAAGAGUUCUCUUUUUUUUUUUUGGUUCUUUUGUUGAAGAAGAGACGGACCUGAAAGAGAAAGCUCAUGAGAGACAAGAAGCACGAGCUUAGACUUCAUAAAACUAAGUGGGCUGGGAGACGGAGCUGCGGUAACAAAAGGCGGCCGCAGCGGUGGCGGUGAGACGGAGCUGAACUUCUUCUGGGAAGGCACAGCCACAUCGUGACGGCAAUCACAAGGGGUAGAAUCCACGCCGAUGCCGGACCUGAUAAUCAAAGCAACAGAAAACAUCACCAGCACCAUAAUUAACAUCAUCCACCGCUUCCUGAGGAAAACAGAAGCCACGGAGGAGGACGACGGCGUCGGGUUGUGCUUGGCCAUCUCCGCCACUAGCAGUGCUUACACAAGCAACAAUGUUAGGGAUUGAUGAGGGAAUGAAAGGCGGGACUAAUGGGUUAACUUUUUCAGGCAUUUUAAGGGUGGGAUUUCUGGUGGGGAUAGGUGAAUGGGAGAGAACAUUUGUCACUUGAGAUAUGGGAAAAGUGAUGCCUCAUCACUUUUUUUUCUUUAAUUUUUCUUUUAACUUCCUGGGCCUGGGGUUUUUGGCUGGGUUUUUCCCAUGUGGAAGGGAAUUGAACUUUUUUUUUUUUGUCUGGGUAUGGAAAGAAUUUUGGUAUUCAACUUUCGCUUUCCCACUUCGAGCAGUAGAAGACGAGACGAGGAUAGGCACUGCACUUAAUUAGGCUGUGUUUUAAUUGCACACAUUCGCUUGCUCUGCCCAUCACCAUCAAUUUUGUGGUCUGAUGAUGAGAAAGACAAACUGCGUCUCUUGACCGAAAUGCCCCGUCAUUAUGUUGCAUCUGUGCCUCGAAGGAGUGAUGUUAUGACAUGUUUAGGUACCUUGGCUUAAUUUGGCAAUCAACACGAAUCAAUAUUUAUAUUUUUAGGAGAUUGCGGCCUUGCUUUUGGUUGUUUUAGACUUUACAAAAUUUAAAUUAUAAAAAUUGAUUAUAAAAUAAUUAAAAUUAGUAAAAACUGCAUUUUAGGUGAUUAUAGAUUCUAACUUUUUAAAUCAUUAAAAAAUUUAUAAUCAAAAUGCAAAAGUAACAGAAAACAUUAGAAAAAUUGAUUCAAAAUUUAUAAUUAAUUAAAAUAAAUUCAACCACGAACAAGUCUACGAUACUAUAUAUUUGUUCAAAAGUUACAUUGGUUGACUUUUUAUUUUUUAUUAUAGUGAUUGUUAUGUAGUAAAUUUGUUUACUCUUUUUUCGAGUAGAUGUUCCUUAUUAAUUGAUACUUGUAAUUAGCAUCAUAAUAGUUUUAUCAACUUUCAUCUCUCACAUCCAAUCUUUUUUUCCUUUUAAAUAACGAUUAAUUUAUAUGAAUUGGUCAUUAUUUUUUAAAUUUUUUUUGAUUAUGUUAUAAAUAUAACCUCUAAUUAUUUAUUUAUCAUUCCAAUGAUUUUUUAUUUAAUGUAUAUCAUACUACAAACAUGCUAUAGUGUUUUUUAAUAAAUAAUAUUCCAUCAAAAAUAUUUGGAUACAAAUUACUAAACCGUUUUAGUAGAAUUGUUAUAGAUGUUAUUGGACAGAAUUGUUAUAAAGUAGUUCUUCAAACUAACACGUGUGACAAAAAAAUUUUGGUCAAUUGUAAAUUUUCUUAAUCCUAACAUCAUAAAAAGUUUUAAAAAUUGUUUAAAAAAUUGUUUACUUGCCAAUGUAUAUAUAAAUAAUAUAUCACAUUUUCUUGAACACCAAAAUAGACAACAGCUACUAUUACAACUAUUUGCUUGUGUUUAUGCAUAGAUUCGUUAGUUGAUCUUCAUUCACUUAUUUAGAAAGAAAUAAUAAAGCCUGGUCAAACCAAAAAAUAAAAAGUUUGGGCAGUAUAGUCAUUUUGAUUGUCAGGAGGUUAUCUGAUGCAUCGUUCUAGGGGGGUUAUACGCCUUGGCUGGAACCGGACAGGCGUCUCUGGUUUGUCCGAGACGAAGGAGAAGAAGCAGCAGCUGAGCUGACUAAUGAGUAAUGACCAUGACAAACCCAUCAACAGCUUCUGCUAACUCUAUGCGUCAUUUAUUAAUCGCUGUAAUCGGAGGUAAUCAUUUAAUAGCAGCUCUAAAUCAACAUUUAAAGUUUCUUCUAAUCUCGAAGCAUUAUUGGUUUUUUCCUCUGGUUUUGAGUAUUUGUAAUAACUCAUACUUUUGUCGUCCUUUUUGCCUUUUGGGUUUUGUUCAGCAGUGGUCUUUCAUGCUCUGGAAGCUGUUUCAGUGGUUGUACCAAGUACCAAUUGCUAUGCCCUAGACAAUUCCAGUCGCAUUUAUGAUUUUGUAUCCUGUUAUAUUAAAUAAAGUUGCCCACUUUAAAUCUUGUUAUCUCUCAUUAUUAAUUCCCAUUAACGUAUGAUUACCUUAAGUAAUUAUUUGGAGUAAUUACGUCAUGAAGCUUUCCGUGCACUAUUUGUUUUCUCUCAAGUGAUGAGUAGAGCAGCUGGAUCGGAUACCCUUUUCAGUAUGAUGGGAAGGUAAUUUGUUCUAAGCUUUGCUCUGCUAUAUGAUGCAUAUAUAGGUCAUAAUCUGAAGGGCUAGAUAUCUAAUGGUUCCAAAUAUAUGCAGGAAGCUGACUUGGUCGUGAGAUUUUGUAAAGAUGUCGAGACUAGAUCACAAGCGGUACUAUUGAACUUAUCUUAUUUGUCUAACUAUGAGAGCAAUAAUUAGACAGUUAAUAUUUCAGGGUCGAUAAUUGAAUUGGACCCUUUUGUUUGCUAUUCUAUGUAUGCUUAUUUGCUUGCAUAUCUGAUGCUGCAGAAAUGGCUGAACUGAAUUUGAUUAUUGUACUUGUGACUGUAAACCGGCAGGGAUAUGUGGAUUUUGGCAGAUUUGACAAGUUAAAUCAGUUUGUUGCUGCUUCUGGAAAUUUUAAGUUUGUUCAAGUAAGCUGUGAUUGCUGACCCAGGUUCUUAACAGUUUAUCUCUUAAGCUGGAAUAGGUGACUGUUUGUUUGGUUCUAGUUCUCAAAUCUCCUGUCUGAGGUCAUAAAUACAGUCCACAGUUGCCUGAAUAGUCCUUACACUUGUUCGCUUAGUUGUGCUGCAAUUGAUCCAUCUCAUUUAACUCAUUAUGUAUGAUUACCAAGAUAGGUAGAUUAGCCUAUCCAGUAUGCCUUGCUGAUGAAAUCCUAGAUGUGGAAUUGGACUAACAUAAGCAAAUUUAAAGUUUUUUCUCACUGUAUACAGUCAUUAUGUGUGCAUAGCCUUUGUGGAUAGUGAAUGUGUUCUGAUUUGCUUUGCUCUUCUGAACAUUCAGCAAUAUUAUAAUGGUGACUUAACGAGCUGUGAGCAAAGUUUUGAUAAAUUGGGACGCACAGCACAGGUCAGAUCCAUUGAUACAAUUAUUAGUUACAAUGUGUUUUUGUAACUUUGAUUGCAUUCUUUAAAAUUUCAGUUUUAAUAGCAUGCCAACUGCUCUUAAGGAACGUUUUAAAAGUUUGUUCUUGUAAAUUUUUCAGGUCAGCAUCAUAUGCGGAAGUUGCCCAAAUGGGCAAUGUAAAGGUACUGAAAUAUUGCAUGUUAAGAAAGUUAGCGCAUUCUUGACAGAGUCGUUCUAUUUGGUUGUACCUUAGCAUACAUUAAAUUUGCUAAUGUUGUCAACAUGAAGAGUCUUUUUGCCUUGAACGGGUUUCAGAAAUGGUCUUACCACGGUGCUAUAAAGAUAUUCCCAGAAGACUACCUUUCUAGCAUAUUCAUUUUACUUGUUACUACUCUAUAAAGAUUUCAGUACCUUCUGCAAACUAUCAUACAUCAUAACUUACACUACAUAAAUCAGCACUUAAUGCACAUGAGGUAUAAACUUCAGUGAAUAUCUUUGCCAGAUUCAAGAUAACCAAUAUUUGAGGAUUUUUUUUCUGUUUAUUCGUUUUCCUUUUCUCCUAAGUUGAUUCCUAUGAAAGCUGGACCAUGGUGUACUUCUAGACUAUCAUGUUAUGGCUAUGGAUUUUGUUCAUCUAUUUUUGUUUUCUUCCCAAGGCUGCUAAUGACUUGUUGCAGAAUGGAUGAUAGCUUGUUUUAGUGAUGCUUUUAUUUUCUAUUGUGUGCUGAUGUGUAACUGCAUUAAACCCUGCUGCAAAGAGAAAAUGGAGAGAUGCAUAGUGUUAGCAGAAUAAUAUGUUUAUGGAUUGCAGCCCUUGAGUUUUAUAUUUAGAGUUUCCUGUGGUUUAUAAAUUUUCUAAAAUUUAUCUCAGGUGGUCUUGGAUGCAUAUGUGAUGUGACGUAUGAGUCAAAUUGCAGGUUUUUCUCAUGAUCUCCUGCUAUUUAGCUUUUCCAUUUGUUGGCUUUACAUGCAUUAUACAUAGCUGUUUCUGUUAAGGCAGUGCUCUUGUUGAACUUGCCAUUCCAUGCGAGAAACCGGGAGCACGAGUAUUUGAAGGCUAUACAGUUGGUUUUCAUCCACGUUCAUGGGAGAUUGUAAGAAGUUUCUCUUAUUCUCAGUGACAAGUGAAUAAUAUUUCAACUUUGAGUAAUUGAUGUAUGGAAUCCUUAGGUGUACAAUGGCAUGACUCAAUUAGGUUUUGAAAAGGCUCACAGCGAAUUCAGGUACUGAUUUUUCAGCUUUUGCCAUUUGCUAUCUCUUUUUUCAUUAUUCUGCAGUCUGCAGUGAUCGUAAAGGAAAUAAGUCCAGAAAGUAUAAAAUUUUUAACUUGGUCAUAUGUUUCCUUUGCAAAUCUGGAUCUAUCAUACUUCAACUUCUUCUUGCCACACUGGUGGUUGUUUUACAUGAAGUUAGGUAUCUAUUGUUAGCUAAAUUUAAUCUCCUUCCUUAUCAGACUUAUGUUGUGAAAAAUAGAUGAUUGUAUAGGGGUACAAUGUCUAUCUACGGAUUUGUAUGAUAGAGUAUUUUGCCAAAUAAUUAUUUGGAAUAAUUACUGUAGCACUUUUUGUGAUGUAAUGUAUGUGAGAUAAAAAGGUGGUUGGGAAUAUAAAAAGGUAGAUUGGGAAAUGUGUCUAUGAUGCAAGCGAAAAAUUUUUUGGAAAAAUUUGUUAGCCAUACAAAGCCGUAGGAUCUAGCAUCUAUUAGCAUAUUAUUGGGGUAUAAAUGAGGUGAUUGGUGUGGUUUAUACAUGUUGUAGGGAUGUUUGGGUAGAGACAUCACUUUUGGUGAUUAAUCUUACAUAGUGCUGCUCUUUGAGGAUUAAUUCAUAGUAUGGGCUUCAAUGACUUCUGUAUCUCAAUGAGAAACAAGAAAGAGCAUUGAAGGCUAUAUUAUCAUCCAUAGAAUUGAUUUCUAAGGACAACCAUGUUGGGUGGCUGUUACUGGCUAAAUAUUGGAUACUUGAGAUAUAAAGAGUUAAGCUACCCUUGUGGCAUUGUUCUUUUCUUUCAACUUUAGGAAAGUAGAGAAUUUGGCUUUGACAAGAUUCCGAAUUAAUGUCUUGGCCACUGUGAAGUGCUCCACACUAUGACCAACUUUCUUACCAAUCUAAGAAAUGUAACUAGAUCAGGUGCUUACAUCAAUCACUCCAUUGUUUUCCUUGUUUUAUUGCAGCUUGAGCACAGAACAAACUCAUGUAGCCCUUUACAUGACAGCAGUUGCUUCUCAAUCUCAUUUAGUGCAAAAACCAACAAUUAAGGUAAUUAAAUUUAUGCUGAUGUACGUGGAUGUGUUUCAACAGAAUGGUUUUGAAAUUUGGUAUGAUUUCCAAUCUUCUAGGUUUUCCCGGAGCAAGGCUUGGAAAUUAAGCUUUCAGGUUCAGGAGCAACUGGUGGUGCACCAACAACACUAUCACCCACCGUUUUAACCAUAGAUUGGACAUGUAUACAUUAUAAUAGCAUCUUUCCAUUAAGUCAAGCAGAGAUUCAUGCACAGUAUCUGCAUAACAAUUUGAGCUCUACUCUUGUUCCUCUAAACUUCUACUUUGCAUUUUUCAGGCACGGAGGCUCGUGAUGUGCCAUAUGAAGUUGAAGUCACCAUCCCAAUAGAGAAUUACGAUCCUAUUCUGUUUACUCUAGCAAAAACCUGUGGUAUAUAUCAUGGGGACAUCAUACAUGCAUGUUUAUGAGCAUAGCUCAGACGAUUUGAGUAUAGACAUGUACCAAUACACAACCAUGCAUUUUUCAUGUUUAUGCAAUUGAUAUAUGACCAUAUGGCACAUGCUUGUGUAUGUUCUUUUUCUUGCAUUUCUUAUUGAACUGUUUGCAAUUACAACUUCAUCUGUUUCCUUUCCCUCUUCAGCUAUUUGGUUUCAUUUCUGAAUAUUUUGUUUCUCGAUUAUAAAGUAUAUUCCAUAUUCCAGUACUUGCAAGUCAAACUCUUUGUUUAAUUUCAAAAUGAUAAUUGUAUUGCUGGUUUAUGUUUUCCGGAGUAGUACUUUCGUGUACAGUAGCUAUAACACCUGAUUCACAACUGUUCAAUAUUGCAGAAUAUGGGCAAAGUGAAGGUGUGGAUGCUACCAGUGGAUGGGCUAUAUUCGGGAUACUGUCGUGCAUGUAUGCUUAGCUACCUUUUUAGUGCUUGUUAUUUGAUUCUAAAAGUCUGACUGAGGCAAAUACUACCGAAAUUUAUUUUACUUUUUCCAUUUUGGUGCCUUUUCCCAGAGUUUUGUGUUCUAUACUAUAAUUUUACUUUCAAAUAUGCAUUACUUAGUGAUUUUUUUUUUUUUUUUUUUUAAUUUUGUUGAAGGGUGUACAAAUGGGAAUAGAUCCUUUUUUGCAUAACCCUGCUGUUCUCUUCCAAUUGAUAUUUGAAUAUGUCGGGUUGAUGCAGAUUCAUUGUUCUCUCAACAUUGUUCUGUGUCGGAGGGUUUGUCUAUAAGACACGAGUAGAAAACCAGGUAUCUUAGGGAAAAAGUUCUUCUUCUUUCGGAUCUGUGUCUGUGGAUUUGAUACAUUCUUUAUACUUAUUUACUUAAUAUGCAUCAUGUGUAGCAUGGACUUGAUGCUUUGCCCGGAAUGACAAUUUUAGCUGCAUGUUUGGAAACCGUAAGUCUUACUUAACAUCUUUCAGUAACUACUCUUGGAUUGGUUUGUUGAUCAAGCUGUUCUGUCCAUGGUCCAAAAUUUCAUACUUCCCUCCCCUUAUAUUCAAAUUGCAAAGGUCAAAUACCAGUACACCCACAGGCAACUCUCUGUUUUUUUGUAAAUGUCACAGGUCAGCGGAGCAGGGCAUUCCAAUAUACGUCGACCAGCGGAUGUUAAUGAUCCCUUCAUAAGUCAGGCUUCAUGGGAAAACCAUCCUCAAGGAACAACGAGAAGUAGAGACAAUAGAUAUGGGACAAUUUAAACUCGCACGCUUCAGCUUUUUGGAACAAUUUUGCAUACUGGUUCACAGGGAAAGUUUUGCCCUUUUCAGAGAGAAAUUCAUGCUGCAUUCCAAAAAUACCGGGUCUUCCUCCUAGGUCACAAACUCAAUAAACCGGGAGCAACAACUCGAAAAGAGACUAGGAUUUUGAUCCCUUCUCAGACGGUCAAACUUCAAUGUGAAGGAUACGUUAUUAUUGGCCGGCAUUCUCCACUUUCUUUGUCUGAGGGUGAUGAUUCAUUUGAUUUAACUAAGCCAUGCGACAAACGCCAAAAUAGAGGAUUAGCCAUCUCUUUUUCGUCUCCCUGUGCCUCUUUUUUAUACUACUACUAAAUGUAAUGUAACGAGUGUGUUUGGAUUUAAUUGAUAUGUCAGACAAAUUAGAGCGGCACUUCUCCUACCCCACCCAUAUUCAUAUCCUUUACUGGAUCAUUAACCUAAUUAGAGGUGGCAAUAAUUGGUUUUGACUUAACGGAUGGUGGAUGAAAUUUAUCCAAUCCAUUUAAUAAAUGGAUGGAUCUAAAUGGAUUAAAUAAAAAUUAAUUAUCCAUUUAAAUAUUAUUUAUUCAUUGGAGCAAUUGGUUUGUGCUUUGAUUUGUAUAAUUAUGGGAGGCUGCCCAUUUUUCUGCUAGGCCCUCUCCUUCAAGCAUUCGAUCCACAUCCGACAUCUUAGGCCGGUGGGCGGGGGAGGUAUUGAGUGCAAAGUAGAGCAACUUGGAGCAUCUCACCCACCUCAAUCCGGUCACAGUUGACAGCCAAUUCUCUAUCCCCCAAAACUUCAAUUUUAUUUGAUUUUUAAGUAAAUGGAUAUAUAUGGUUUUCAUGGAUAAUUCAUUUAAUUUAAUGGUUUUACUUUGAUCAACCAUUUAAAAUCAAUACUAUAAAUGGGAUAAUCCAAAUCCAUUUAAUUAUGGAUUAUAUGGAUGGAUAAAUGGAUUUCAAUCCAAAUUGCCACCUCUAAACCUAAUAUUCUGACCUCCUGUUUAGGACCGCUCCUCCAUUCUUGAUUCUCGAGGAGCCCAGCAGCAAAGGAACAUUUCCAAUAUCAAUGACACUUUUACGCGUCCAAAUCGAUGGGAACGUGUGUGCAUGAACCCAUGGUAAAGAUUGCCCGCAUACGUACAACACAAGGAUGGGCAUGGAUCCCCAGCUACCUUUACUUCUUUAUGCCGCUGAAUUUGAAUCCCGCCACACCAAAUAAUGAAAAUCAAACACGCAAUUUCACAUUAAAAUUUAGUCUCUGUUUUCCUUGCCAAGCUCCAUGUGCCUGUACAAAGAUAAAUUAUUUGCAAUCUCUUUUUUAUUCCAGCUCAUUUCAGCAGUCAAGAAUGAAUAAUUAAUGGACACCGACACAAUCUGUUAGGGGAACCAGCCAAUAAUGAUUUUUUUGAACCAUCCAAUACAUUUCGUCAACAGAGCAGGUACUUCUACUCCCACUCCGUUUUUCUCAAUGCCUGCUGUUUGUCAUCUUCUCACGUUUAUAGUAGCUUCAAACCGGGAGCAAAAACAAACAAUGCGUGCGGUUGGUUGACCGAAUCAACUCUCAAAUAUUUAACCUCUCCAAAACAUUUUCUUGCCAACGAAAUCCCAAUGAUGUUUCUGCCCUUAAUUCGAGGAUUACUUCAUUCUUGUAAGAGAAUCAAGAAAAUACAUCAUCGUUUUUUCCAAAUAUUUCAACAUAGUAUUACUUUUUAAGCCCAUAGCUAACGACGAACUAAAUUCCUAUCCUAUCCUAUCACUUUCAGCCAGAAAAUCACUUCCUGGAUGAACACUUAUUUACAAUUCAAUAAUUUUAACCUUUAGUUGCAAUUAUUGGUGCAUGAUUGCAAGACAAAUAUUCUACUGGAGACGUAAAAAAAAAAAGUCAGAUUGAUUGGACCACACAAACACACAUAACGGAUAGGAAUGACUUUUAGGGUGGUCAGGUAGCACGCAGGCUAGAGUAGAGGGCCGAUAUCAGCAAUCUGUACUGCGAUGGCAGUGAAACUGGAAAUCUGAUGCGGUAAAGCUGUCCGACAAUGUCUACGUCAAUUCAUUUCCAUGUGUUAAAAUUAGACAGCAAAUUAAUCGUGCUAUUCCAAAAGAUUAUUGCUUCACUAAACCAUCACAUGAACGAGUACUAAGCCUAACUAAAAUUCCACCAACUCCAUGAUUCUGUCUCCAAAUUUCGUUUCUUCUUCAUUUUUUUUUUCUCUUUUCUUUUGAAGUUUGUUCUAUAAAUAACCAUAUCAUCCAUCACAAACCUUGACAUAAAACGAACUCUCUACACAAUCUAAGCGUCCUUGUAGAAGUCUUCAACCUUUGGUCUCCAAGAGUAACAACAGAGAGUUAACGAAAAUGACUCGGCCCAUGAGCUUUCUGAUUAUUGCAGCUAUGCUAGCUUUUGCACCGCUUUGCUUGUGUGGUAUGACAAGCGGAGGCUACCUGUAUCCUCAGUUCUAUGACCGGACUUGCCCAAAAGCUAAAGAAAUUGUGUAUUCCAUCGUUGCGAAGGCCGUUGCCAGAGAAGCCCGUAUGGCUGCUUCAUUGAUUAGGCUCCAUUUCCAUGACUGUUUUGUCAAGGUUUGUGCAUGCAAACUCAUUUACUCAUCUUCAGCAGCACACCUACUUAUCGCUUAUUCAGUGAUUAAUACACUUGACUAACCAAUUCUUCUUCCUGUUUCUGUUCUCCCCUUUAUAAUAAGGGAUGUGAUGCAUCACUACUCCUCGAUAGCAGUGGAGCCAUAAUCAGCGAGAAGAUGUCGAAUCCAAACAGGAAUUCAGCCCGUGGAUUCGAAGUCAUUGAUGAAAUUAAGUCUGCAUUGGAGAAGGAAUGUCCUCAUACUGUCUCUUGUGCUGAUCUCCUGGCUCUUGCUGCUAGAGAUUCCACUGUUUUGGCAAGUAUCAAGUUCUUACUAGCAAAUGAAGUUAUAAUUACUGCAUCACUUUCAGGAGAGCUGAUGGUAAAUGCAUUAUGCAGUCUGGUGGACCAAGCUGGGAGGUACCAUUGGGAAGAAGAGACUCCAGAGGUGCCAGUUUGAGCGGAUCCAACAGCAACAUUCCUGCCCCAAAUAACACAUUUCAGACUAUUCUUACCAAGUUUAAGCUUCAAGGGCUUGACAUUGUUGAUCUUGUAGCAUUAUCUGGUAAUAUACCAAGCUGGCACAGUACACACAAACAAUAAUAUAAACUUCACUUGAAAGCCGGUAGAUGCCACUAGAUAAUGAUCAUAAUAAGUUAACUCCCACUUAAUUAUCCCUUUCCGUUUGAAAAUUUCAAAAAGGGAACCCAAAAAAAAGUAUGGGGGCUUUCAUAUAUGAAGUGCUCUGAUUGUCCUGCAGGAAGCCACACAAUCGGGAAUUCAAGAUGUACCAGCUUCAGGCAAAGGCUUUACAAUCAAUCAGGAAAUGGGCAGCCUGAUUUCACCUUAAAUCAGGCAUACGCGAACCAAUUGCGGACCAGGUGCCCAAGAUCGGGUGGUGACCAAAACCUGUUUGUCUUGGACUUUGUCACCCCAACAAAAUUCGAUAACAGCUACUUCAAGAACUUGCUGGCUUCAAAGGGCCUAUUAAAUUCUGACCAGGUUCUUGUGACCAAGAGUGCUGUAUCACUACAGUUGGUGAAACAAUACGCCCAGAAUAACCAACUCUUCUUUGAGCAAUUCCCCAAGUCCAUGCUCAAGAUGGCAAACAUUUCACCUUUGACAGGUUCCAAGGGUGAGAUCCGCAAGAACUGCAGGACGGUCAACUCUUAGUCUUAAGACUACGUAGUCAUAGCUGCCAAAAAACGGCAUGUCCUAAUCUUUCUGUCACUCAAGCAGUCAGCAUCCACCUAAUUCUCCUCUCAGCGGCCGGGAACACCUCAGCAGUCAGCACGGGAUCAUCCUAUCCGCUCUCAUCUUCCGCUACUUAUUUAUUUCAGCUUGUAUUAAUUUUCAUGGAGCUUUGGCCGCAAUUUGUUGUUGUCCUGAAUGAAUUUCAAUGCUUUUUCCUCUUUUGCAUUUUCCAAGUUUUCGUUUCUUCGGGUACCUGACAACUAUCAUCUCAAAUUGGGCACUUUGAACUUACCCGUGGCGGAUAAUCAAAACUUGAACUCUGGAUUCACAUGUUAGAACUUUGCCUAAUGCCUCCAAGGGCAAAUACGAGCCCAGGGACAUUUUUUUUGGUCGGAACGUACUCUUCAUCUUGGAUAAUGCCUAAUGCAUGGGCACCAAGAUACUUCUAUUCAUAUUGUCAUUUCUUGUGCAAAAGAAAGAGCACUUUAAGAACACAGAGCUAAGGGAAUGGAUGUCCUCCAUUAAUGCCACACAUCGAACUUCAGGGCAGUUUCUUUGCUGGAGGGCUUUGAUUAAAGCUUUGUUGCUUAUCCCUACUUUAACUUUCCUCCAGUUUUUUCCGAUUGCUUUCAUUAGGACCAGUCUAACUGCUUCUGCAUCAUCCUGCAUCGAACUCUUGGAUGUUCUUUCUAGUUAUCUAGUUAUUGUACGAAAAUUUGAUGUAACCGUGACAAAAUAGAGUUAUGUAGCUUUCGAGAUUGGAAGACUAUAAUUAAUUUGGAUUCUAAUGCAACCAUAUACUAUUUCCAGCGAAGAUAAUGUGGAACAAAACAUCGACAGAUAAGUAGGGAAGUCGAGGAAAACCGAACCUUGGCAUCUGCUAUAUAUAUAUAAUCCAGCUAGGAAGGCAAUAUUAGACACGCACAAAAACCAAAAUGCUGCAAUUUGGUGGAGAGCGCCUGGAUAACAGGUCAAAAGACCCUGGUUUCACAUUGCUACUAGCAGUAAGAUGAAAUGAGAAAAUUCGACUUUUCCAACAGUAAAAGAAAAACUUCACCAUCAAAGAUCAAGGUCAGAAACUUUAAUCAGCAAACUUGAUUUAAACUUCCCAUAGGAGUAUCUACCAGUAGAUUUUAACAAAUUGACUUCAGCAAUUCGUUAAUUUCUAACUAGUCUAGAGCUAGAAAUGCUGCAUGGAGCUCAACAUGGUAAAAAGUUAAAAGUCUAUCUACAGCAAAGGUGUCAUUAAACUUUUUUUACAAAUCAAGUUCAAUAAUAGUUUAAACAGCCUAGUAACGAGCAAAGCUGAACUACAGGAGUCCAUGCACAAGAGACUUUCGGCAGAAUCCACUUGCUUUCUCCUUCAGAUCCACAACCUUUUUAUCGAUCUCCUCAGCCUUGUUCUUCAUUGCUUCCAGCUCAACUUUUUCCAAAAAGAUCUUCUGUUGUAAGACACCCAGCUCUUCCUCCUUUCUUGCAAUCAACUCAAAGUUUCUAGUCCUUUCUUUCUUCAGGCUAAAAUAGUCCCCAAGUAUAUGUUUAGCAUAAGAAAUUUCAUCUAUCUUCUGAUGGAGCCACUUGACAUCCAGCUUCAUGCACUCAAGAUCAUGAAUUAGAUGAAGCAAGUUAUUGAGCUCAAAAGAUGUAAUAUCAAGAAAUGCAGAGUUUUCGAGCUUUUGGUAGAUACCACAGACCAUUUCAAGGAAGAUUCCACGGGUUUUUGGAGACUCCAGAAUGGAGUUUUUAGCAAUGUCACCAUAUUUUGCAAAGAUAGCCCUAAGUAGGGGUGCGACUUCUUGGUUCACUCUAUACUGAUGUACUGUCACCAAAGCAGGAUCAAUUGCUGACUCGACCCCCUCAUUAUCAAGAAAAUCAUCAUUGGACAUAUGAGCCAUCUCAGAAAGGUUAAAACUUGGACAUCUGCUUAACUGGCUAUUUUUUUUAGUAUGGCUGCUUGUUGCAAUCUUCUCUGGUACUUCAUGGAUAGCAUUUGAUCCCAAAUUGGCACCAGUCAUGUGCAAAUUUUUUUCAGUUGAGUUCCGCUCAUUAAUGAGCGGAACAAGUGGAAGGAAAUUUUCAGGUCUUUCAGUUUGCGAAAGGAGAUUUGCAGUAAACUUUUCCACAUCUAGCCUGUCCCCGCUGCUGAUUGGAGCAGACCAUUCUUUGGUUGAAGCAGAACUUCCAGCAUUUUUCAUGCUUUUACCAAUUUCAGCACUGGUACUUGAGUGACUUAAUGAGGUAGCUGCAAAAGUAGAGACCUGUACACCAUAACACCAUCAUAAGGUCUGAUUACUGAAUGCUUCCAGAUUUACAUAUGAAAUGAAAUCAAUGAGGCAAUCAAGUGAAUAAAUCAAUUGUUAUUAGAAUCUUAACAAUUUACAGAAGUUACGAGGACAGACAAGGCUGAAGGCCUAAUUUCGCGUUACCUGAAUUUGAUGAGGGAGUUCUGAACUGCAUUUUUCUAAAGCUUUUACGUCUCCACCAGCUGGAUACAAUGUAUUGUUUGCCUCUAGCAAAACCCUCUUUGCUGUGACAUAAGAUUGCUUGGGAGUUCCAAUUUGGUGUCGAAGUGGAAAAGUGAGAGAAGCCGUGGAACUAGGACAUUCAUGAGGGACUGCAAAUGAACCUCGAGUUGGAUACCUAUGCUUUGCAGGCAGAAUCACUGUGUCCUAUAUAGACAUAUCAACAAAUUUAAAGCUCUUAUAUAAAUAGCCAAGACAAGGAACUGAACAAGUUUGUCUAUAGUAAUACAAAACCUUUAAAAUAUAAUUCAUAUACUAACGCUUUGCAGGGAAAAUUGCUGUGUCCUGUAUAGACACGUCAAGCUAAAGCUCUUAAGCCAAGACAAGAAACUGCACAACCUUGUCUAUAGUAAUACAGAAGCUUCAGUAUCUAUUUUAUAUACUCAGGUUCAAUGAAAAAAAUAUCCUUCUUUUUCUUUUUUUUUUGGGUUUUUUUUUGGGGGGGUGGGGGGUGCAAUCAAGUCUAAAGCUUUUAAACACAUAGCCAACUUAGGAUUACAGUGGAAAGGGGAUAAUAGCUUUCUGAAUAUGCUUAACAACCUACAACUAAUAGUCUUAGGGAUGUUAAAUAGUCCCACUGCAAGGGAAUAAUAGCAUCAUCUGCUUCUUUUAGUCUGUAUCUUUUUGUGUAAAAAAAAAAAAAAAAGAGUAAAGCAACAUACUUGAUCCUCUUUAUCAGGUAUGAGAAGAUAAAAUUCCAGAAAUACUAUGACAUUGCAACACUAAAGCAAGAAAUCCUGUGCAAAACCAUUAAGAUUGAAGCGCAAUGUUGCAGCGGAACUAUUUAUCACUGGUUAAAACCAUUGAAGUUCCACGAAAGUUGAAAUCUUUGCAGAAUAUAGAAACCAAAAAUAGAAGUUAUUUCUCCACGAAAUUCAAGAUGAAGGACCAAAUGGUCUGAUUCGUACUACUAAAAGGUUCAAUGAAUAACUAUCAAAGGGGCAAUGCAAAGCCUGGUAAUCAAAGAGAUUACACGAUCAUAACAAACCCCAGAAAGCCAUUGCUUGAAUGGAAAAGCAAGAACACCAGCAAAUUAUGCUGUUAAAAAAAAAUUAAGAAAAGCAGUAGAUAGAGAAUGUGGAUUUUGAAACAACCUGACGAGGAGGAAAUGAAGGUAGGAAGGGGUCAUCCAGUUGCAUUUGGUGUAGUCCACCACCACCACCACCUGCAGCAGCCUGAAGGCUUUCUUGAAUUAAUACUUCUUUUCGUUUUCUUCCUCUCUUACCAGGGCCAGCCAUUCCUAAUUUCUCUAUGCCUUCAGGGCCUCUCUCAAGGCUUUCAAGUUCGACGGAGAAAAUCUAAAAGAGAAAAUACAGCAAGCAAUAAUCAUAUGCUGUUGCUACCGCCAGUAAUAUACAACUACCAGAGGUACCAUUUGCAGUAACACACAGCACCAGACGAGACACGUUUUUGCGCCAGCGCAGGCAGUACGAGUCUCGUGCCUGCAGCCUGGCGUGUUUGCAUAAGGGAUUAUUUAAAAUAUUAUUUAGAAUAAAUAUAAUACUACUCUUUUUUUUAUAAUGUAAUAUAUAUGAAAUAAAAAAUUAAUUAAUAAAAUAAAAUAAUAUAUUAAAAAUUAUAUUUGUAAUAUAAAUAAAUCAUUUUUUACUAUUAUUUGGGUAUUCAAAUACAUAAAUGAGUGUGUUUGAAUAGAGUAUUAUUUAAAAUAAUUACUGUAAUAUUUUUUAUAAUGUGAUGUAUAAAAAAUAUAAAAUAUAUUAAAAAAUAUAUUAAUAAUAUAAAUAAAAUAUUAUUUAAAAUAAAUUUACAAUUCAAACACAUUCACGUCAAAUACACACCGUAAUUUUCAAAACAAGUAGUAGUAGUAGUAGUAAUUAGUAAAUAGUAAAAGACAAAACCAUUGACAAAUAAAAAGAAAAGAAAUAGCUAUUGAUGCUAAAAUGUAAAGCCUGCCUCUCAGUCCGAGAAAGCAAGGCCCAAACAUCCUUCCUAAAUCCCAAACCUUAAACCCACAAAAAUUUUCUCCGCUGGUGGGAUUAGCCCUCCCUCCGCAGUCCUCACUCGAGCUGCUUCUAAACUCACUGCAAUUUAGCAAUUUUAAAGCCAUGCUUCCGUAAUCUGUGAUUUCUUCACUCCCCAUAAUAGAUUGCUCUAACAAUGAGGCAUUUUUAUUGCCGGCUCAUUUCUCAAUCUCUCCGGUGCUUACAAUUUAAUUACACGAAAACCCACGUCCCAAAACCCCCGAUUUUGAGUCCCAGAUUCUCGAACUUCACGACCGUAGCUGAGCAACCAAAGCCGCCGCCUGCACCGCCGGCUAAUGUGUCCGCAAUUGUAGAUGAACUUUCGGGACUGACGUUGCUUGAGGUUUCGGACUUGACGGAGGUGUUGAGACAGAAAUUGGGGAUUGAGGAGAUGCCGGUGAUGGCGGUUAUGAUGCCCGGAAUGGGGUUUAGUGGUGCCGGAGUAGGAGGAGCAAAGGGGAAAGGUGGUGGGCCGGCUGCCGCGGCUGAGGAGAAGAAGGAAAAGACGGCGUUUGAUUUGAAACUGGAGGGCGGAUUUGAUUCUGGGGCGAAGAUCAAGAUUAUUAAGGAAGUGAGAGCGUGCACUGAUUUGGGAUUGAAGGAAGCUAAGGAUUUGGUGGAGAAGGCGCCCACAUUGUUGAAAAAGGGAGUAACCAAAGAGGAGGCUGAGAAGAUUGUCGAGAAGUUGAAGCAGGUUGGGGCUAAAGUCACGAUGGAGUGAGGUAACUGCUUUUGCAUUCAUGCUUAUUCGAUUAAGCUUGGACAGAGUUUAAGCUAUUGGUACUUUGUUCUUAUGAUUCGGGAAUUUAAGUGCUUAUAUUCCAUUAUGAUGAAUUGGGUGUCUCAAUAACUGAAUUUGUUGGCAAAACUGGCUGCUUUCAUAUUUCAGGAUCUCGUUUGAUAUAGAUUCUGAACUUGUCAUUCAGGCAUUUGUAGAAUGAUGCUAUCUUUGCUGUUUUUGUACGGUCUUGUCCAGCUUUUUUCGUGGAUAAAUAGGUUUUAGCCAUAUGAUGAAUAAAAGUAUGGAUUUUGUUGCGUGCAUUGUCUGGAGUCUAUCACCUGAAUUGCAGUCACACAGAGUUCUGCCUGCUUUCAUAACUCAAACUUGUUUCAGUUGCAGUUGGGCUUGAUAAAGUUUUCGUGUUGUUAAUUAGGAUGGCCAAAGAAGGCAAAUGGAUAGUGGAGAUGUCUAAUAACUUAAUAAGAAGGCAAAUGGAUAGUGGAGAUGCUAUGGCCAUAUACUUUGAUCUGGUCAAAUUUUUCCUGACCAUAAUAGGAAUAUAGUUAGACAGAUUUCAAGUUACUUUCAUUUGGAUUUAAGAACUAUCCAUUUUUUUGACUGAAAAUUCAGGAGGACAUACUACCUUGUAACUUGUAAGUGGUAUUCUAAAUGGUGUCUCAGGAAGCACAUUGGAAUCAUUAUAUUUUGUGUGAAGCUCAAUUGCCAUGGGGCAUCAUGGAGGUGGGGUUAGGGCUGUCAUUUGAAUUUUAAUAAAGAUGGUCUCUAUCUCCUGUACACCCACUUUCCAUGUCAUGGUAGUAGGAGUAGUGAAGGUGCACGCAGUGUGGCAUAUUUAAGAGUUCAGGGUGUUCAUUAAACUCAUUAUAGAUAUUAUUUUCUUCCUGGCUUUCAGAAUAAUUUGAAUUUACAAUUACAUGUUGUAAAGUGCUUGGAUAUUUGGAACUUUUUAAUGGGUACUGAUUUGCAUAUUACGCUUUUUGUUCAGGAUUUUUCCAUUUUCAAUGCUAGCAGCAUAACAACUUCUAGAGGUUCCGCUCUGCAACCUGAUUCUGCUGCAGUUGAUGUAUUAAUGAAGUUAUUGGUUGAUAGGCAACACGUAUUAGUUUGACCUUUGAUCACCGAGAGUAGUAUUUCUGUAACUCCUUUUAUUACGAUUAAGCUCAAAGUGUAUGGUAAGCUUGAGUUACAUUUGUUACAGCUCUGCAACCGAAGUGAAGUAUUUCCAUUUGGGUUGGUUGUUCAAGCUGCAGACAACGCAUAAUCUUUCUUGUUUGGGCUAGCUAUUAUGAAAUUCAACAGAUUUAAGAAGUUUCUUCCCAUACGUAAUUAGAUUGAGUCAAGGUUGUUACAUUUUUGAAGUAGCUUUGUAUGACCUGAACAUCUUCAGUAUUUGUCAUGAUGGUUAUCGUUCGAGCUUUUAUCUUUCUUAUGGAAUGCUUAAAUUUCUGAGAAACUACUUGUAUUAUAAUAUUAAGCAUUUGACAUGAGAUUUUACAAUUAUUUUGUUGUUGUUCAGUUAUUGUUGGUUGUGGCUGAUUUUUGACUUUACUCUCUGAUCUCUAAAGCAAUUUUAUUGCUGAAAACAAUUGAAUGUUGUUCCUGAAUUUACCUAUGAUGGCUGUCUCCCUUGCCACGAUGUAGUAUAACAGGGCCAAAUCAUGCAUGAUUUCUGCCUUUUGGUCAUGUGUAAGGGGCAUCUCCUGUCUUCUAUUCGGGACAGGAGUACUUUUAUCAUUAUAAGAACAGAAGGUUCUAAGCUCUCAAGUAGUUGAGAAUUUUUGGAUCUUGACUAAGACAAUGACUAGUUAUCUUCAGCUAUUAAAUUAAAUGUAUAGAUUGGUUUGCAUUGAUUCUAUGCCUUCUUUAAGCUGGCAACCGAAUACUGUGACUGCUGCAUCAAGAUAUCCGACUUCUGGAGGAUGAAAGAUAUUGUGGUAACCUUUUAGUUUUAGGCGUUGGACCGUCUUUACUUUCCCUAAUGGUAUGAAAAACAGUUAAUCACAAGUCACAAGCUGAGAAGCACCCUUGGUCUUCUCGCGUUGCUAUUGUCCUUCAGUAAGUGGUGGAGACCUGAGCUUUCAAUGCUGGUGGUGCGGCGUUUUCUGGCCCGACGACUCUGCUUCAUUCCAUCCAUCCCUAGUCCAGUUUUCACUUGCAAAAUGCAUAAAAGCAAGAAAGAAAAAGUUGCCACGGAAAUAUAAUAAAAGAUGUGAUGUGUUGAAAGAAGCACAUUUAUAAUAUUAACAAUAUUAUUUCGGCAUUUAAUAAUAUUAACAAUAAUAAAUUUCUUCUUAUUCUUUAUUUUGACAAAACGCACGCGAGUACUCCGUGAAGGAAGUCGAGCAGCACGCUAAUCUUUGAACGAAGGGAACAUAAUAAUAAAACUUUCACCAUCAAUCAGAGAGUAUAAAAGGAAGAAUUAUCAGUAGGCUAAAACAUAGUUGUCAAAAUUGCGAUCCGGAUCGUACGAUCCUACGAUCUGGAUAACCAAAAUCGUUCCGGAUCGUAUUCAGAAUCGCAAAUCAUAACCAAAAUCGAUCCGGAUCGUAUUCAGAGUCGCAAAUCAUAUUAAUCUCUGUAUUUUUUUUUUUUCGGAAACGAUAGAUGAUAUUUCAUAGAAAUUUGAGACUUUACAAUAUUUGAGCAACGGCUCGACUAACUGUACCAAGUGUACCAUGACACUUAAGGAGGAACAAAGGUUCUCUCCUCAUCCAUACAUAUGCUUAGAGCAUAAAGACUAAUCUGAUUACAUAAAUUCAUAUUACUAAUAUCCCUUACAACAAAGGAGCACACUUGAAAUAGCUUAGCUAAUGCUAGAAUAUCUUCCACCAGCGUGACCAUAUUUGGAUGAUCUCCUGUCCCAUUUUUUAGUAAGGAGGUAAGCCUUUUGUUGGCAGUGACAACUUUGAUCCUUGGCCAUCUCAGCUGACUUGCUUUUAUAAGAGCCAAUCUUACUCCUAUGGCUUCAUCUUGGAUAGUCUCUGAUGAGCUCCUGUCUACUAGCGCCCACUCCACUAUGCUUCGUCCACCUUCCUGCUGAGCCACCAUUCCUAUUCCUAACUUAUGACCCUCCCCUUCCUUAUUUGUCACAACCUGGACUUCUGUUAUUCCAUUAACCUCCAAUCCUUCCUCCUCCAGACUUGAAUUAGCUGCCUCUGUUUCUGGUGUGCUUCUGUCUUCCUUUCCACUACUAGCCUCCUCAAACUCCAGCCACUCUGAGUUAGCCUUAUGAACUACUCUUACUCCUUCUCUUUCCUUCCCUUCGAAUUCCAGCUCAUUCCUGUCUUUCCAUAGUUGCCAGAGAAUGUUUGCCGUCAGAGCUAUGUGCUGCUUUCCUUCUCUCCUAGCCUUGGCUUGUACUAAAGUUGCCCACCAUUGUUUGAAGCAUCCUGUUAGAUUCUGGAUUCCAUCCCAUUGCACAGGAGCUAACUUCCAAACCUGUUGAGCCUGAGUGCAGUGAAACAAAAUGUGUUCAACUGUUUCCACCUUAUCCCCACAUCUUAGACAAAAUGGUGAUCCUUGUCUUGUUCUUCUGAAUAUUGUCUCCCUGGCUGUUAGAGUAUUGGUUAUACACCUCUAUAUGAACAGUUUUAUCUUAUGUUUGAUGUUCAGCCCCCAUAAAGACUUCCACAUCUGUGUGUUAGAAUCAUCAAAGCUAGAGCCGGAUUCCCCUCUUACAGCCAGUUCCUUGCUUUUUUCUUCCUUUAGCAGCACUUGAUAACAAGACUUAACUGAGUACUCCCCUUGUUGACUAUGGAUCCAAAAGUGCCUGUCACCCACUCUUGACAAACUGAUAGGAACCUUCAGAAUGUUCUCAGCAUCUUCUUUAUUAAAUGCUCUGAAUAUUUUAUUUCUGUUCCACCUGAAGUUGGUAAUCAGCUCAUCUACUGUGCCUUCCUCCCAAUCGUUUGGUUUCCUUGUGGUAGGUACCCCAUUAGGACUAUUUGGGAUCCAUUGGUCUUUCCAGAUCUUGAUACUCUUUCCUGAUCCAACUCUCUUCAGUGUUCCUUUCUUCACUACAUCCCUCGCAGACAUAAUGCUUUGCCAGAACCAGGAAGAAUAUUUGGGGCAUUCACCUUGUAAUAUGGAUGUCUUGGGGUAAUAUUUAGCUUUGAGCAUUCUGCUUACGAGCAGGUUUGGGUUUCUUAGGAGUCUCCAAAUCUGUUUUCCCAAUAAUGCUAUGUUGAAACACUGCAGAUUUCUAAACCCCAGUCCUCCAUCCAAUUUUGCCUUCAUCAUUUUUGUCCAUGAACACCAGUGCACCUUAGCUUUCCCUUCUGAGUCCCCCCACCAGUAUUUAGCCAUCAACCCUGUAAUUUCCUUACACAACUUAGUUGGUAGUUUGAAGCAAGACAUAGUGUAGGUUGGCAUUGCCAUAAUGACAGCCUUUAACAUAACCUCCUUUCCUGCUGCACUUAAGAAUUUAUUCUUCCAGCUGCUUAGUUUAGCUUUGAUACUGUCCUUUAUGAAUCCAAAAAUCUGGCUUUUUGUUCUUGUAAUCACCAUGGGGAGGCCUAGAUAUUUGCCUUGAUUCACUACCCUUACCCCUGCAAGAGGCCUACAUGUCUCCUCCUUGUCCCUCUCCUUAGUAUUCUUACUGAAACAAAUGGAAGAUUUUUCCAAAUUAAUCACCUGCCCAGAUCCUCUCUCAUACUGCUCCAGUAUUUCCUUCAACUUCCUUGCUUCUUCCCUUACAGCUUUACAGAAGAUUAAUGUGUCAUCUGCAAAGAAUAGGUGGGUAAUGGCUGGUCCAUAUUUGCUGAUCUGAAGUCCACUUAACAGCCCUUGACCUGCUGCUUUCCUUAGUAAAUUAGAUAGUCCUUCUGAACACAGCAAGAAGAGGUAAGGUGACAAGGGGUCACCUUGUCUGAUCCCUCUAGAUGGCAUCACAUAUCCCUUGAUUUCCCCAUUGAUAUUGAAAGAAUAAGAGACUGAAUUGAUACAGCUCAUUAUCCAUUCCACCCACACCUGGUUGAACCCCAUCUUCUCCAUCACAGCUUUCAGAUAUCCCCAUUCAACCCUAUCAUAAGCCUUGGACAUGUCUAUUUUUAAAGCAGUAAAUCCGUCCUUGCCUUGUCUCUUGUUUUUAAGGAAAUGAAGGCAUUCGUGUGAUAUAAUAAUGUUGUCCAAUAUCUGCCUGUUGGGGAUAAACGCAGAUUGAUUUUUGCAGAUGCAAAGGUCAAGAACUGGUUUGAGUCUGUUAGCUAGAAUCUUGGAGAUGACUUUGUAUAGAACGUUACAAAGACUGAUGGGUAGCAGGAUCGCCUAAAAUCGUAGUAGGAUCGGUAGGAUCGUACGAUCCUACAAUUUUUUUGUAACUUUGUGAAACACGAAACUCCAUUUUGCAAGUAAAUGAAAAUAUUUGUGAUAUAUUUGUAAUUUAUCAAAAAAUUUUAACCUUUAAUUACAAUUAAGAGCUUUUGAUAGGAUCACGAUCCUGUGUGAAACUAAAAUCGAUCCCACGUAGUACCCAAUUUUACAAACCUUGGCUAAAACUAAACCCCAACAAAAGAGAGAAGCCGCCUCAAAAGAGAAUUGAAAAUGUCGUCCAAGGCAAGCAACCAAAGUAUAUAAAUUCUCAGUAGCGUCUUUGGUUAGUUUCCCUCCUCUACUGUUACUUCCCAGGUUCAGAUUGUAUGGUGGCGGAAUCCAUCAUUUAUUGAUUGCUUGCCAUUCUCUUCUCUUCUUAUAGGAUAGGAAUAGACUUGAGCUUCCACGAUUUGUGGCUUCCGUAUCGUUCUCCGUAAUAUUUGGGCGUCUUAUUCUCUCUUUCUUGCUUGAUCAAUGAAAAGAAAUGAUAGGAAAAACGCUGUCGUAGCAGAACCAAGAAUACUGACGGAGCUUUAAUAGCAGAGAUGUCGGCGUGGCGGUCGGUGGUGGACUGGCAAUGGGAGAACGCCACCGCCGGCGCUCUCGCCGGUCUCGCCACCGUCACUUUCUCUCAUCCCCUUGACGUAGUCCGUACCAGAUUCCAAGGUUACCUCCCGCCCUUCCUUCCUUCCUUCCUGGCCCCAUUCUCUCUAGUCUCGUACGUAUAUGCAUUAACUCGAAAAGGAAAAGGAAAUAAAAUCAUCAUGACGAUUAGUUUUUGUUUAUUUUCCAAAUAGUGCACGACGGGCGAAUCUCCAACCUCCCGAGCUACAAGAAUACUCCUCACGCUCUCUUCACCAUUGCUCGCUCCGAGGUUUGUUUCUUUUUUCAGCAUCGCUUCUUCUUUUUAGAUACCUUCGCUUCAGGAUUCCAGGUAGAUGAGGGGUUGAUGGUAACUCAUGUAGCAAGUCCUUUUGCUGACAUUACUUUUUUAUAUGAAUUUUGAAUCAGCUCUUCUUCCUUUUAAAGAUUUGAGCUUACAGAAACGUGAAAGUUUACUCUUUUUUUUUUAAAAAAAAUUGACAUUGAUGUUAUCAAUGCUCUUGUAACUGGUCAACUUGCAAUACGACUUGCUUUUGGUGAUUAUAUACAAAUUUGAUUUUCUCCUUCUUCUUCUUCUUCUUUUGGCAGUAUUUCAAAUUUUUAUUUUUUCCCCUCUUAUUGGCUAUAGCUCUGGUAUCUAAUUUCUACGCUUUCUGCCUCAGGGUCUCAGAGGGCUUUAUGCAGGCUUUUACCCUGCUGUUCUUGGGUCAACUUUUUCAUGGGGUUUGUAUUUCUUCUUGUAAGUUUUACUUCUCGGGUCUUUGCUAAUAUCUUGUAAUACACAACAAGACUAUUGAGUCUAGUUCACUUGGAUAAAGUAAUAUAUUAUUUUUUCAAGUUGAAGAUGAAUGCACCCAAUCAUUCACCUUUUUCUAGUGUAUGUUUGCUAGUGUAUCAUGUUUGGCAUUUUCUCCAUACUUUUAGUUUCUUCCAGCAUCAUCUGUUCCUUUUCUGAUAAAAGAAAAUAAGUAUAAUAACAAUAACUUGUGCAGCAAUUGAAGGUUAUUGCACUUGGACUUUUUCUCUAAUUCCAUUUCCCGGUUGAAUGAGUCUCCAGCUAUAAGCUUUGUUUUCCAAUUUGGAGAUAAUUUUCCUGCCUAUUCGACAUGAUAUUCUUUUAUGCAGCUAUAGCAAGGCCAAGCAGAGAUAUCUAGAAAAUAGGCCAGAGCUGAGCCCAGGCCUGCAUCUAGCUUCAGCUGCUGAAGCGGGAGCUUUGGUUAGUACUGUACUUAAAUGGAAUUCUGACUGUUUUAAUUGCUGCUUGUGCCAAUUUUAUUGUGUAUAAUGCAGUUCCAAAAUUGAAAUUUGGACAUCUAUUUCAACCUGUAACAAAAGUGAGGUUGUGCCUAUCUCAGGUUUCUUUGUGCACAAAUCCUGUUUGGUUAGUAAAAACAAGACUUCAACUACAGACUCCUCAACAAGUCCGUCCAUACUCUGGCUUUCAUGGUAUGCUCAGCUCUUUCAUGGUAUUAGAUUUUAAUUCAUUUGCCUCUGAUUUACUAUUAGGAAUAAUUUAAAGUAUUCUAAUCAGUUUUGGUAAAGGGACUACUAUCUAUUUCCCGUGAUAUUUGCAUACAUAUCUAAUUCAAAAUUUUGAACAGCUGUAUCUGUCUACAUUUCCUUUUCAGCAUGUUUAUGAACAUUAUUCUUGCUUUCUGCUGUGACCAAUCUGAGGUUCAUGUUUUCCUUCUGAUUGUAGAUGCUUUAAGGACGAUUCUAAAAGAAGAAGGGUGGAAAGCACUUUAUAAGGGGCUGGUGCCUGGCCUUUUUCUUGUUAGCCCAUCUCUUCUCUCUCUCUCUCUCUUUCUCUCUCUCUCUUUCUCUCUCUCUCACACACACACACACACAAAAUGGCAGCUUUGUUCGGUUAUUGAAUUUAUUGGUUUGACUGGCUUCCUUUCAUUGUAUACUCAUGUAAACAACUGACUGGUCCUGGUUUUGCUUCAGCAGGUUACACAUGGAGCUAUUCAAUUCACUGCAUAUGAGGAACUUCGUAAAGCUUUCAUUCAACUCAAGUCUGAAGGAGGUGAAGGCUCCACUGAUGACUCAUUGGUGAGUCUUCAGCAUAUAUACCUGUCUGUAAAUUGUUAUGGGGCGAACCUUUAGGCCUGUUCUCUUUGGUUUAAAAUAAGCUAAUUUUAGCUUUUUUUGAGCAAAACUAAAAGCUGCAUUUGGGCAUCCUUAUUUGCUUUAAACUAGUGCUUUAUGCUUUCCUUAGGCUUAAAAAUUCUGAUUAUGAGAAGCAGGUGUUUUGUUUUAUGAGAAAGCCUUGCAGGACUUCACCUGAUAAGUUUUGUGUAUCUGUUUGAUAAACCGAAUUCGCUGCUGCUUGUGUGCAUUUGGGACAUUUGUCUUCUGUAAAAGUCAUAUCGCUCUUUCUUAUCUUUAAUACAUCCUUUCUGCCCCUAGUUUAAAAGAUACAAGUGUGUUGUCAGUGUAAGGAUUUAGAGUAAACUCACUAGGACAGAACAUGAGAAGUCAUAAGUUAGUUUUAGCUUUUUACACAUCUUAUGACUGCACUACAUUUUUUUCAGUGUUGGCUUUUUAGGUAUCUUAUGAAUGCCCUACAUUUUUUUCAUUUUAAUGUUAAAUUCUCCUGUAGUUGCAUACUUGGCCACCUUUGGAAAGUUUCACCUCUCUUUGUUAAAAAUUUGAAGGCGAGUUGAUUUUGCUUCUUCUACAUGUAUAACUGUAUUAUGUUGGUACUUAAUUCUCACUUUGCUGUUCUGUUUUAAUUGUUAGUAAAAGUUUAAGAUGAAUUUUCCUAUUUUUUGUUUCUCUUUUUGGCUUUGUAGUCCUAUUUGGUCUCUUUCCAUGUCUGCGUAUCAAAUUCCUCUGGCUUGGAAACGCAGAAUAAUUGCUGAUUUGCUCUUCCUUCAGGAUUUAGAAGUUUUAGCAUUGUAUUGUAUUUUCUUGACAGGAUUCAAUUGAUUAUGCGGCAUUAGGGGCUACUUCAAAACUGGCUGCCAUUGUUUCAACGUACCCAUUUCAGGUAGACAGCUGCACAAACCCUAUCUAAAAUUUGGUUAUGUUGAUGUAUUUUUAUUUUGGAAGCAUGUUAUAUAUACUUCUCACAGUAUUAUAAUCGCUUUACUAAGACCUUGUUAACACUGUAUUGCAGGUCAUUCGAUCUCGACUGCAGGUGAGGAACCUAAACAUUCACUUGAUCUUAUCCAUAUCUUUCAUAUUCACUCACGAGAUGAGGAGAGAGACUGUGCCACUAAGGAUGAUGCUCUGGGUGGCUUACUGAGAGGAAAAAAAAAUGUUUAGAUAGGGAUAUACAUAUGAUCUUGUUUCUUCCUGUAUUAUGGUAGCUAAUGGCCAAUUUGAUUUUUACUCUUCCUUCUGUAGCAACGGCCGAGUACAGAUGGAAUUCCAAGAUACAUGGACAGCUGGCAUGUAAUGAAACAAACAGCAAGGUGAAAUCAAAAUUUUCUCCCAGUCUUGUGGUGAUCUUUCUCUCCCUCGUACACACACGCAAACGCACGUGCACACGCACAAUCACAAUCACAAUCACAAACACAUGGUCCUUGGCAUGUUGAAAGUACUGUAGGACAUUCUUUGCAAGACCUGGCUGAAUGCAACAACGAGAAUCAUCUGUCAAGUUUGUGCAACAAUCUUAGCCAAUUUCUACUUUAACAAUGGGAAAAUUUUCAUUACACUUUCUUCACCUUUAGCCUUCCUGUGGAAACUUUAUUAGUUUACAAUUUGUUUUACCUUCCCCGUUUUCUGUUCACAGGUAUGAGGGUCUACGAGGGUUUUACAAGGGUAUCACUGCAAAUGUGCUAAAAAAUGUUCCAGCUGCUUCGAUAACAUUUAUUGUGUAUGAGAAUGUUCUAAACAUGCUAAAACUGGCUAAAUGGAAAGAUCAAUAGCUUAGCUAAUUUUUGUAAUCAAGAAAUCUACAUGUUAGUAUCAAAACCUUCGGAAAAGAAAAGUUGUAGUUGAAAAAUAUGAUAUAUGGUGUAGUACCCAAUGCGACAGCAGAGAGGAGUGAACUAUGAACAGUUGAGGCAAAUGUCCUGUUCAAUUGUCUGUCGGUUAAAAUUGAUUGAAAGUGUUACAUCUCUAGUUUGUUACAUUGUCCAACUUCUGAUACUGUCUACCAAACACAUUGUCUUGGGUUCUAGCCACGAUUUGCACGCAUCAAAGAUGGAACUUGCAGACCAAGUUCGGGUUCCUUAUCCAUCAGAGUCUUGUAUCUUUUACUUUGUGAAGUUAUAGCAGUUAGAUAUUUGCCAGUUCUAUGUUCAGAAAUUUCAAAAUCCGAAUAGAGUAUGUAAUAUACAAUCUUUUUCAAUGGUGGUGCAUGGAGCAAUUAUUUUCAGAAAUUUUUUUUUUUAAAAAAAAGCCAUAUACAAUCUAUUUCUACAUUGGUACUUGGAAUAAUGUAAUACAUUCCAGUUACUUUUCCCUCACUGUGGGUUAUUAUUGAAAAACAAGAUUCCACCGAAAAGGCUCCACGCUGAUUGAGGUCUAUCUGAUUCAGUGUCUUCGCAUUUGAACAACAAAAUUUCGGCCAACGUUACAGCUUUCUGUAGACGGUAGAGUCUCUACAAAGCAUGACGUAUAAAGUCCCAUUACUUGGCAGGAAAUUUUCGGAGGAAGGAUAGAAUUUGUUCGGAAACCUCUUGAGCUCUCUCUUGUUGGAUGAAAUGAUGGCCGUCUAGUAUGACGACUUCAUGGUUGGGUACUAGGCUCUUGAACACAUUUCCUUCUAUGUACUCCCUGGUGCCAGAAUCAAAUCCAAUAUCCUUGUUCCCCACAAUUAGCUUUGCUGGAACUGUUAUUUUAGACCCUUGCCACGGUGCAAGUAGCUCCCAAUUCCUGUCAUCACAUGACGUUCACAACGGGAUUAACAGGACCAGCUACAUACUGAUACCGGAGCAUAUAAACUCUUGCUAUCUAACAAAAUCGAGGUGAAUUUCGUGUUCUUGCACAUUAUUACGCUACAAAAGAUUGAUCAUGGCAACUUAAUUGAGUGAUAGGCUUGUCCAGUCUGGUUAGGGGUGUUUUCAUUUGCUACAGUUGAUUAGUGUUGGAACUGCGGUUAGACUUGCAGGUCCAUGGCUCGGUAGUAAUUGAAAGCUCCUGUAAAACCAGACUCUAGGAACUUGUCAGCGAUGACCUGAAGUUCAUCUUCUGUAAUCCAGCGCGGUAAGUAGGAAGGGGUUUCUAAAUAAUCAAUAAUCUCCAUACCAGGAGGAGCUAUCAGCUGAUCGGUCUUGCUAAUGAGAUAGAAUUUCUUCAUCACCGUAAGAUAAUCAUACCUCGCAAAUGAUUUUUCUGCUCUUCCAGGUUCCUACCAUUUCGGAUUGGCACUGAUUUUAUCAAAUAUGAAGAUAUUUGUAGCAUAGCCAGGAAACAGAAAUCAAGAAUACCUGAAACUGGCAAACGUAGAAAUUAUCUCCAAACAUCUGUUUGAAUGAGUCGGUCGUUUUGAUGGUUGAAAAUCUUGGUGUGAAUGGAACCGAGAGAGCAACUAUACCUCUAACUCUAUUUGGCCUGAGCAGGCUCAACUGCCAAGCAGCCGCAGCUCCCCAGUCUAUCCCCACCACAAAGGCCUUGCCAACAAAUAAUCAAGUCGUAGUUUUACAAAACUACAGCUCAGAAAGUAAAGCUCAAAAAAUCGUGCAAAUUAUCAAACAAAAGAAUUUACCUGCUCUUGGCCAAAAUGAUCCAGAAGGCCGAUGAGAUCGCCAACUAUGUGGAAAGCAGUGUAAGAAGAGGGGCUGAGGGGGGAGUCAGUGUCUCCAUAGCCUCUCAAGUCAGGUGCAACUACGCGGUAACCGUGUUUUGCCAAGAAGUUGAUUUGAUGGCGCCAGGAAUACCAUAUCUCAGGGAAGCCAUGGAGGAGUAAAACAAGUGGCCCUGUUCCUUUUUCAGCUAUGUGCAUCCAUAUACCAUUUGUCUUGAUUCUCUGGUGAUUGACAUCCGCGAUGACGCUCAUCAUUUUUACCUCACAAAACUUUCAAAAUUGAUUGCCUGCUAUGAUGAUCGCUUUGUUUGAUAAUUUAUUUUCUGGGUUAUUUGGGAUUAAUCGUCAUCAAUUGACUAUGGGCAAAGGCGUAAGCGAAGAGACUUAGUAGGCAAGGUCAAGAAUAUGCAGUCAGUGCUUUGGUGUCGAACAUUGUUUGGCUGCUUGUCUCAAGCCAGGCAUGCAAGGGUGUUCCGGUCAAAUCCGGGUGAAGAGCUGAUUGAUGACCAAGAAAGAAGCUGCUUGAGUAUGAACUAUGAACUAACACCCUACCAAGGACAAAUGAUGUUUGAGUUUGAAUAUUGUCAUGAAGGUGUACUCCAUUUCAUCAAAUGUCUAGAAGUAUACUCCAGAUUUAUUUCUCGAGGAUUUACAUCUAUGCAACAGAUUCAUAGAUUGAUUUUCAGUACUCCCGACCAAGACUUGGCUACAAUUCUAUUGAUCCUUUUUUUAUAGCGACACCAUGUACCACGAGGUCGAGAACAGGAGGACACUCGGACAAACUCCUCACUCUAACGAGAAUUCAGAUAGUAUAUAAGAAAUUAAAUGUCUUCGGAAAAUUAAUUUGGAUUAGAUGAUGCAAUCACCACAAACACAGCACAGAUUGGAGUUCAUGACACUGCACAUUGUACUUCUAGCAGCGAGCACAAAAUAGGAGUCCGCUCUUCAUUUACAAAUACCAGGAAAAUAGUCAAUUCACAUUGAAUUGUUCUUCGGCACUACUCCUGGUUGCCAAUAUUUAGCUUUACUUUUAAGCUGAAUUCAUCUACCAAUGGAAUAAGAGCUGAUUUGCCUCCUUAAAACAGUUAAUGACAGUGAAGAAAUUAUUAUUUUUACACUUUGUCAUCAUGAAACCACCAUCUUGUUUCCUUUGGAGAUCUGCCAUUUUUACAGUUUCUUACAUAACGAUCAUUGUCUUCUGGUGGUUGCUGCACAUACAGGCAACGAAGGAUUAAUAUGCAUCCGAGAUUUGCAGGUGAUUGAAAAAUACCUAAUCUAGAAGCCGUCAAGGACUAAUAGAGGCAUACCUUUACGGUUGAACUUGACAGCAUUGAUAGAAUGCUGAUACAGACAGAGCUAACAGUCAUGGCAGGGGACCAUGAGUCAUACAGAAUAUCUGCAUUGCACGAGGAUAUAUAAGAUAUGAUUUACUGAUUUUCCGAAGGCCAGAGUCACAAUGAUAAGUAUCUAACUGCAUGGAAGGCAUUACAAGCAAAGGCAAUCAAGACGGUCUCACAUUGGGCCUUCAUUGCUUUCACCAAUGUUAACGUCAUACAUUUUAGGACCAGCUGUGGAGCCAAUAUUCGCAAGUUGCAGGAGGCAAAAACAUAGAGAUGCCAUUUCAUUUAGUUUUGAAAAUGUAAUUCUCCUAAAAGUGAACUCAAAAAUCUAAAAUUCCUAAUGAGUGUUCUAGUAAGUAAGGAACGAGGUACUCCCACUUCCUCUCUUAAUCUGGGCUGAGGAUCUCUGACCAGAAACUUAAAAAUCCAAGCCAUUAUAGCUUCAAGCUUCUUGUCAUUCACCUUGAGUAAUCCAGAGAUGUAUUCACAGGAGAAGCUUUGAUUCUCUCCAUUCACAAGAAAAAAAUCUUAGUUUUAAUAGGAAGCCAAAUAGCCAAUCAUAUUCUUGUAUCCCUAUCAAGCAGAGAACAAUAUCGAGCUAGAUGGGGACAUGCAAUUCCCACUAAUGCUAUCUCAUACUCUUGUUACCCCUUCCUAAAAGAGCAAUUUCUACAACAUCCAGUGUCAACAAUUGGUAAUGCAGCUUGUCUGUAAAAUGAAAAUCCCAAUAAAUGCUGCAUUUCUCAAACCUCAUAAGAGGAUAAAGAGUCUAAACCUUAACAUGCAACGGUCCUCAUAAUAUGCUUUUUGUUAGCACAUGCUAAAAAUUACAACAAACAACUUUAAGAAACUAUAAAAACAAGGACUAAACGGCUUCAAUCAUAUGAGGAAUUUUUCCUUCUCUUAAGAGAGAAAUAGAGAAACCUAUUUUCAGGAAGAUUGGAAAGACAAGUGAGGGUACAAUUAAUACAUAGAAGAUUUGAAGAAACGGCAAUGUUCUCAAAGUAACUGCCAUCUCAGUGCGUUCAAAUAGUAGUGAUUUUUGCACAUAAUAGAACUAUCGCUGUCAUUGCAUGAUGGUGACAAUAAAUUUAGUGGUGGCGUAACAUAUAACUCGCACAAAUCUUUCCAUUUCUUGAGAUGCUAAACUUAAUUAGACAAAAAGAGUUUUAACAGCAAAUAGAUUAGAUCCCCUGUAUUGACAUCCGCAGAAAAGGCAAAUAAGGACAAAGAACACCAACCUAACAAUCAAAAGAGCAAAGAAAUCUCUGCAGAUUAACUGCAUCCGGCAAACCUAAGUGGCAAAGAUUUUUUAUGAAAUGUCAUAUGAUUAAGCUUACCUAAACAAAUGUGGCCAUUGCUAUAGAUAUGAGGGUGCAAAGGAGCCGGGCUCAAAAAUAUCACCUUGCAUCAAUCCCAAAUUAAAAGAACAAAUCAGAAUGCCAUUCAAAGAAACUUUUGCCAAAAUUAUACACAGUAACUCCAAAAAUUAAAACAAAAAAGAAGAAAUACUGUAAAAAGAUCCAACCUGGGGCGCUUCCAUAGGAUAAUGUUCUGGAAAAUCUACUUGUAGCUGAAAUGUUUCAUUAGCAUAUAAAGUUCCAGGAGCUCCAUGCACUUCAAUGACCCACCUUUUUAUCAAAUCAACUUACUAAAUCAAUAGCUAAUCACAAUUAUAAACAACUACAAUGUUACAAAAAGCAGUAAUUCAUUCAUUAAAAAUCGAUUUAGUAUCAAUAAUUUCCCUGUACGAAAUGAAUAAAUCCCGUAUCAUAUCAACGUCCACCCACCGCCCUCCCCCCCCCCCCCCCAAAUAAAAAAAAAAAAAAAGGGAAUAAAACAAUUGUUAGGAGCAAGAAGCAAUUGGGCUAAAAAAAGUGAAAACUGAUAAACAAGAAAGAAAAAGAAAACAACCUCUGAAGAUUAUCGGUGGGCUUGUGCUUAAAACCAGCAGGAGGAUUGACCUGCCACUCCACCAGCUCCUUCUGCAACCGGUUGGUCGCUAUUUUGCUUAACGCCUAAUUCAACAAUUACUAUUGUCAAGAUAAUAAUCUUUAAAUGAAUCUAAGAAAGAAAGCUCUACAUCGGAAAAGAAAAGCUAAAAUUUUGUACAGCGCAAUUUCGUAAAAUUAUCCACAAAUUCCAUAUAGAGAGACUGAGAGGAAUAAACCUUGCGAGAGGCGGCGGAGGAGCCGGUCAUGGCGUCGCAAGAUCACCUGAUACCUGGCUCGGAUAGACAGUAAAAGGCCGACUAUUGACGACGAGGAGGAUGAUUCUACGGAGGAGCACACAAGGAAUAUGGCCCUGCCGCUGCUAAUUAUAAUAAUAAUAAUACGUCCUGUCCCCAUUCUUUCUUUUUUGCUUUUAUUUCACCCCGUCUAAUUUCUUCUCCAAAUAAUACUCCUCUACUAAUUUCUUCCCCAAAUAAUAUUUUAUUAUUGUCUUCGUAUUGAUUUUUCUACAACUGUCCUGGUACGGUAUUUAAGGAUUUUAUUCUACAACUGUGCUAGUGGGAUAUUUUAUAACAAUUCUUAUUACUGCUAUAAGUUAUACUAGUAACUAGUAGUACUAAUUUUCUUGGUAAAUAUUGACCUCCUCUCCUGCUGCGGUUGAUAUAAUAAAUUCUAGUACUAAAUUAAUGUCGUCAACGGGAGCGUUUGAGGUGAACGAGAUUUUAUCACCCCAUUGAGAUCGCAUCACCAUCUUGAUGCUUGUUAUGAUUUACCAGAUGGUAGUAAUACUAGUAAUUAAAGAACAAGAAUUGGUCCAAAAUGGGCCCGGUUUGAUGAUGAUCGAAGUGGGAUGUCCCUACCCGAAAAAAAAUAUAGUACCCCCCCUUGAGAAAGUGGGAUGUUGCCAAUAGUUCCCAAAAUCAGCAAAAUUCAUUUUCUGUCUUGAAAAAUAUAUUACGUGUAAACCACCCAGUCUAAAACUAAAAAAGAAGUAGCACACAAAAAGUAAUAGAAAGUUCCUAUUCUUUUUAGUGUAGAAAGUUGACGGGAGCCCUUGACGUCUUCCCUUCAAUCCAAGAUGCCGGGCCGAGACAGGAAAACCCUUAUUAUCAUUUUCCUGUCAAUUAUUAUUGGUUUCUAAAUCAAAUACAACAGCUCAUCUAUAUUACUAUUAUGAGGACGGUCAUCUCGGCCCGAUCGCUCUAAAGAAAGGACCGGGACUUCCUGUAUUUACCGUCAUCUCGGCCCGAAAUUGUAUCAACUCGGCUUCCCAGUGAAAUGCCGAGUUCUCACGCGUCUUCAGUCAUCUCAACUCAUCACCUCACGAAUACCUCAGUGUCUCGACUAAUGAACUGACGCCUUAUUGGAGUCCACUAUCCUUCCCUCCGGUUGGUCAGAUCUUAGGAAAUUGGAGUCCACUAUCCUUCCCUCCGGUUGGUCUUCUAUAAAUACCAUUCCCUCCUAAAUAAAGGGAGAGGACUCUCUACUAUUUUCAUUCCCAUUAUUCAUUUCUCACAAAACUAACUUAAUCAUUGGAGGUACUCCGAGGGAAAAAAGCGCCGUCUAGUGUGUUUACCAGGAAAAGUACAGCACAAAGUCACCUCGCUUAAGAAGAAGACGUAUUAGGUUAACUAGACUUGCCCAUCCAAAAAUAACCUUUUCAUGCUACAUAUUUACAACAAACGGAAAAGGAAAAAAUUUGAAUCCCUAAACAGGAAAACCAUUGUCAUUUUCCUGUCAAUUAUUCCAAAGAAAUACACUAUUGCACACUGCUGCAGAGAGAGAUUUGAAUCCUAAAUCUAUAGUCAGAAUUGCCCCUCAGCUCACGUAAUGCGAGUCGGUUUCCUAAAUUCUAGUCACCGGUCUUCGUUCCUAACCGACGCCAAGUUCAUUGCAUAGUUUCUCACUGGUCCAAGGUAAACGACACGUCUCCUUACGAGGCACCAUCAAAGUAUCGAGUGGCUUCGUAAGCACGAUAUCUUCCCCUGGAAUAGUUUCUGAAUUCGGCUCUUCUCAGGCCUGUCAAUCUGUUUUUUCGUCGACCAAGUCGGCAAAAAGACUCGAGAUCUACUUCUAGAAAACAAUUCGUCAAACGAACAAAGGGAAAAAUAUGUCAAAAGUGAUCUAAAGCAAACACUUUAUUAGCUAUUUGCUAUACCCCAUUUGGACGCUGUCACUAGGAAGGAAUCGGAUUACCCACUGACGUAUCCUCCAAGGUAAUUAACUUGAAAGGACAGGAUUUCAGUUUCAACACAAGGAGGAUUAGGCAUAUCCUUUGCAUCAUUUCAAUUUUAUGACUGCCCCCACCAAGAAAACUAGACUCUGGAAAGCAUCUAGCGUUUGCAGAAUAAAAGUUUAUGCCUAUUCCGAUCUUGACCUAUCUUAAAUCAGUAAAUAAUCAAUAAACAAUAUUGAUGAUAAGUUACUCAUUACGUGAGAAUUAAAACCGCAUUUAGGUACUGGAUCAUGGUUAAUCAUCGUCCCUACAAAACAUGUUAGUCUUGGUAUGUUCUUGUAGAGUAAGCGACCGGUAGAAAUGGCAUUCUCACUGAGACUGGAAGACAAAUGAAAUACCAACAGUAUACAGUAUGGUCAUCACAAUCUUUUAAGGAUGGCUCAAGUUACUUUGCACAAAAAUUCUGCUCAUUGAAGGAUGGCUUAAGUUACUUGCACAUACUUUUAGGAACAGCGUGUCUCAUUGAAGUCUCAAUUUCUCAGCCUGUAAUCCGUAAUCUACAAUCUGGGGUAUGAAUUUUCUUAUGCAAUCUAUUCUCAAUUUUGUGUAAAAACCUCAAGUCGUACUCUGAGCUGAAAAAUUGGACACUUGAAAUCAUCAGUUUAUUUCCUUAAUUUUGAGAGAGGAGGCUCGAUGGAAGAACUUUGUACGGGUUGAGUAUACCAUUGGGGUCAAGCAGCUUCUUGAUGGAAGCCAUUACUUGCACCUGUCAACACAAUAAUUUGUUUUAGAUUCUUGUAUGGAUGGAAGGUAGUAAUUGGGAAAAAUAAAAAAUCAGUGAAGGAUCGGAGUGUGUAAAGGAAGGAGAAAAUAUUUGAACCUGUAAAUCGCAUUGGAAAACAAAAGGCACGAGUAGGAUCAAGCAGAAAGACACAGACAGAUAAUAGAAUGAUUAUCAUCGAGACAAGAUGUGUCAGGUAACAGUUCGAAUACACAAUAAUCAAAGUCUAUCAUCAGCCUUACAGUUUCAGGUGACUUGCUGUAGUGUAUUUUAGCAGCUUUCAUCAAUCCAAGACCAUGCUCAGCACUAAUACUCCCACGGUUCUUUGAUGUCCAUUCAUACACGAAGGGCUCAAUUUUUGCCAAAAUCUGAAAUAUGUGUGAUCAUCUUAGUGAGGUAACUACAAUUCAGAAUCAAGGGAACUUCACGGAGAGAGCGGGAACAAGCACGCUACAUUAUCAUCAUACGCUGGAGCUGAGAUAUUUAGAUGUAAGUUUCCAUCCCCAAGGUGACCAUAUGCCACUACUUUGGCUGCAGGACCUAGAGAUUAACAUGCAAGUGUGAAAAGUUGUCAGAAACAUUUAAUACCUUACUGACAGUCAAGUCCAAAUGUAAUGUUAUACCUAAGAAGUCAGAACUCAAUAAGUGAAACUCAAUCAGCCAAGUAAAGUAGGAUCUUCAAGUUGAAAUGAAGCAUGGCUUCCAUGAUAAGUUAUGAGAAAUAACUACUGAAGCUAUGCAUCCAUUGGAUGAAUCCCAUCCAGAAGAUUGUUCCACCUUCAAGGUAUCACCAUGAAAGAGAACAGCAUUCUUACUGUUCAAUAAAACAAAGAAAAAGUAAUGAAUUUCAUUAUUACCAAUUUGCACUCGCAUUUCCUCAACAAGAUCAUACAUCUUUUCAAGAGGCAGUGACAAAUCAUAUUUGUACACGGCCCCUGCUUUCAUGAGAGCUUCAGGUAAACCCUGCAACCAAGAAGCUGCAUAUUAGCAAGUUUCAUGUAUACACAAAACGCCUCAUGUAAUUUAAAGAUACUUCAUGCUAUUAAACAGAUCACUCGGAAAUCAAUAUUUUAGGUAAUAGUUGCAUUCUUUUAUACUGUUUAAAAAUUAUAAAUUAAAGGAAAUUUCAUAGUUAUUUGCUCCAAUGCAAAACGUUCUCGUGAUUUUAGCAAUAAGUCAAUCCAUUUUAUCUGACUCCUACUAUAAUUCUGACAUCCAAAAAACUAUUAUCAAGAUAUAGAACAAGGAGAUAUUCUAAUUUAUAACAGAACAAAAUGUUAUUCUCAAUUUCAGAGAGAGAUACUGAAACAUCAGGAGAAAUUCAGUAGAGCAGAUGAAGCACCACAUCAGAGCUGAGAUGUCUAUGCAAAUAAAAUAAUAUCAAAUACCCGAGCGUAAGUUCCCAAUUCCAAAGUAAUAUUGGUGACUUUGAUGAUACGACAAAAUGAGGAUGCAUGGUAAUAACCUCACGAAUAUGCCAAAAUGAGGAUGCUUGAUUGAUAUCUUGAGCAAGAACUCCAUUGGCUACCAAACCACUUUCCACUGAAUGAAGAAGGAAGGCCUCAAGGUUCUCCCUGGAGACAUCAAGAUAGAAUGUUUAGAACCAAAAGAAGCAGCAAAUCAUCAUUCCAGGCAUAUUUAUUUGAUAAACCUUAAGUUUUCUGAUAUAGAACGUUGGACAUUUGUUCAAACAAAGAGCAUUAUUCAUUAACUUCAAAGGUGGCUGUUGUCCAAGAGGUUUUAACUCCUUUCAAACUAUAAGCAAAAAGCAACUAGGAAAUAGAAUGGGAAAUAGCUGGCCAAGCUGGUUGUACUGAUGCCUAUGGUUGCCCAAGCAAGUUUGGACGAUAACAGUUUACAUAAAAUUAAUAACCUUCUUACAUCUGGGAGAUCAUUUGCUAAGUUUUAUUAUUCAAACUGAACUAAGCUAAGCUUGCCCCCACCAAAAAAAAAAAAAAAGUCCUAACUAGCUCGUUGAUAGAAACUAAAAUAUCCCAAACAGAAAGAAAGAGCUUCUGUUCAUCAGAUUCAUGUCAUGCCACAGAAAGAAAGUGUGUCCCUAGUGUAAGAAGUAUUUUUUUCAGAAGUUUUUUCUUCAGGUAAAAUAUUUCAUCAGUGUAUCCCCUCUAUUUCCUUGUUAAACAAGAAACUGCUUUUAAACCUGUAAAGGGAAGAGGUUGUCAAUUGUAACAAGACCUAUUCAACUAUUUUGUCCAAUUCCUAUUCGGUGACUUUCUUCGAGACCUUCAAUUUAGACGACAACAAAAUUUUAAGGAUGGCAUGUAGCAAAUAUUUUACUUGUCAAAAGUUUCGUUGCUUCCAGUUGUCUCAAUCAGAAUAUAGAAGUUGUGUAUUGAGGGAGGUAAAGGAUUGCGAACACCAUCCAAAUGUUUCAGAACCUGUCGCAUGUAACAUAUAAGCAUGGUGAUGGAAAUUAACAGCAUAUUAUUCACACAAAGUACAAGACACUAUGCAUACAUAAUCUAAUGCCGCUCACAUGUAACUUAGCUGAGUAUAUUAUACUGAGAUAAAGUUAAAAAACAUUAAGCACAAAUUACAUGAAUAUACUUCCACUUGCAUAACUGUACCAGAACUCAAGGGGCAAUGCCCUGAGAUCAAUGGAAGUGAAAUCCUGCCCGUGUUUAUCUUUUAUCACUUCUUGUCCAUGAUUUUCAGUUCCCAAAAAAGUUGUGGAACUAACCUUCAUACAACACAAGAAAUCAAAGCCUCAUAGAAUUGAGGGAAUUUCGCAUCGACUGACAACCAAAAACUUUGUGGAAAUUAGAGUAUUCCACCAAAACCCCAAAAAAAUAAUAAUAAUAAGAUCCCCACCAAAACCCCAAGCCGAAAAAACAAAAUCUAAGUCAGGCAAAACUGGUGGCAGCACAUAGAAAAUGUCUUUUUUGCUAUCUUUUAUCCUAGUUACUGUGAGUUAAUAUAUACUUUCACGGGGUCAGAACACAUGAACUUAAUAGCUUCAUGCGGACAAAUAUCCAUAAAUUACAAAGUUUUGGAAGAUAUCAGAGCUAAAUAAGAUUUACUUCAGUCCACUUCCUUACAGCUUUUGCCUUUAAAUCAAACAGACACCUCAUGUAAUAUAUCAACAAUUCUUGAAAUUUAGUACUAACCAUCUACUCUGCAUGUGCCUCUCUAGGGGUGGAGCAACAUAAGAGUUUUCUUCAUGAUUACAUGCAUUGCACAAGCAUGAAAAAGACCACCAUCAUUGUCAUCAAUUAAAGUUCACGAAAUUAAAGGCAAAUGUACGUCAAUUCAUCAGAAAGAUAUAAGGCCAUAGACAAAACUUACCAAACUCAUUGCAUCAGAAUCAAGAAACUCAAAUGCAGAAAGAAUUCCUCCAAGCUUCUUUUUUGCUUCCAACAGAAGUUUCUGGAGCCAAGAAUAGGAUGUACAAAAAAAUAAAUCAAACAUUAUUUUCCCAACUUUAUAUCUAUUCUACAAGUAUCAUUAAAUGGAAGAAAAGUAUAUAGUCAUGAGAACCUCACCACUACAUAUAGUUGGGAAUUUCACACUCGACAUUUUAAGUGUGGAUACUGGUGUUCCAAAUGUGAACGUAGCAAAAGACAAAGGGCUUUUUUCCAAGAAAAAUAGAAAUCAUAACGAAAGGAGUCUCUUAGCCUCUCAUGACGUAUAUUACCUGGCAGCUGGUGUAAUCUUCACAAGCAAGAAAAGCUAUAUUGACAGAUGACAACUUUGGAGGGGUAAGAAUUGAAACCUUUGUAACAAUUCCCAAAGAUCCUUCACUUCCUAAAGACGCAUACAGGUUGUUGAAGAAGGUAAACAUAAAAUUUCAUUGAUAAAGAGACAAAACCAUCAACGACUAAGUAAAAAAUUAUCUCUUUUCACCUAUAAAUAGGUGCUUAAGGUCAUAUCCAGUAUUGUCUUUUCUUAAAGUCCCAAGCAUGUCGAGCACAGUACCAUUUGCCAAAACUGCUUCAAGACCUGAAAGAAAUAUUUUAGAUCAAUGUUUUAGACUAACCACCUUUCUCAAAAGGAAAGUAAAAAUUCUUAAUUAUCUUCAAUAAAGGAAGAUGAUUCAUCUUGAUGCUGCCUAGAAAAAUAAUUUCCCAGUAAUAGUACAGUACCCUGAAACUGCUUUCAAUAAACAGAGGCAUUAUCCAGCCGAGCAACACUGAUCACUAUGCAACAUGAAUAAAUAUGUAAUUGUGAUUACCUGUUCCUACUUACUCACAUGCUAAAUCUAAUUCGUGUAUAAUGUACAAAGUCAAGUGGAAUAUCAGUUCAAAUUUUACUCAGAUGCUACCAGCAAAAUCUACAUUAGACAACUUAGGAAUAACAGGGACCUUUUCAAUUUAAACUUGAACUCCAAAUGAGGCUACUGGCCGCAGAUAUCAGCAUUAUACAUCAAUUACAAUUCAAGACAUCAAAAGCAAAUUCUAUGCAUAAGAGUGGUAUCAGUAUUGAACUGGAAAAGCAUACCCAAUAUCAGUGCAUAAAAAAGUUAAGAACAUGAAAACGAGGAACAAUGCUUACCAAGAACACUGCCAUGUAGUGAACCAUAUCGCAGAAGACGUAGCCCACCAGCAUUAGUUGAUACAUUUCCUCCAAUUUGACAGCUACCUUUGGCUCCUAAAUCUAGGGGCAUAAUAAAUCUGAAAAGGAACCAAAACUUCACUAAUACAGCUAGAUGUGUAAAGAAAUACUCAAUUACAUAUUUCAAGGCAUGAUCAUGAAAUUUGAGGACCAUCGCCAAAAGCUUGAAACAGAAUUAAAAUCAGAAAAAGAUCUGUUAAAUGAAUAACAUAUGAACAAAACUUCUCCACUCCUCAUAAAGCAAAAUUUUGAUCAGGCAAAAAUAGAAUAGAAGAAAUUCUUUCAUGCAUACAAUCUUUGAACACUAAGUACUUGUUCAACAGAGGUGACUGAAGUAAUUUGGUGAGCUGGUGAAUACACCAGGAACCCUAAGGUAGCAACAUUACUAUAGCAGAACCAUUUUACAACCACCAAAAAAAAAAUUCCACAGAAUUAUCACAUCUACUCAGGACUACAAGUGAAAAUGGCAUAAUAGGACAUCACAGUCAUCAUCAACUAACCAUCUGUUAUAUUGAGUAUUCUAUGUUCUUUGCAGUCUCAGAGAAGAAUUAUGACAAAGUAGUGAAUUUUUACCCUUCAUCAUCUAGGAAAGAAAUCAAGUUUUCCAAUAUGCAUCCUGCUUCACAAACCAGGACACCGCUGACCUGGAAAAGACAACAAAAGGAAAGACAAUGGAACUCAUCUCAGCAAUUUGAGUUUACAACUGACAUGAUAAUUUCUAAUUUUUAAUUUCUAACCCAAGUUUGAAGUGGAAGGAAAUGAAAAUUAGCAAAGCCACACUAACACUCUAAAGAAUGAAAACUCUGAUAAAGAAAAGACAGUCUAUUCCAUUUCUACAACAUCCUUUCAAAAUCAAAAUGCACAAUGUGUAUGUUAAUAACAAAAGCCAGGCAAAAUGCCUCAGUUGAAUAUCUGGCAUGAAAGCAGAAAUUUGAAAUAUAGAUCAGUGAACUUACUAUUACCUUGUCAAAAGAAAGGAUGUUCCUCAUUAAACCAACAUUGAUGAUCACCUAUGAAGUUUCAACAUGAGACAAGUAAGCCAGGUGCCUGAGAAUUUGAAGGUUUGGGAAAUGCAACAUGUGGAAGCCACUAGAUUUUCCAAAAGCAGUUAAUGUAUUCCUGAAUGCAUUUUUAGAUAGGUGUCGCUAGACCAUUAGUUCAAAGUUGGUUUGACCACAAAUGAAUCCUUUUAGGACCCCAAAACUUGUCAAGACUGAACUAUGAUUAGAUUGGCUGUGAUAAUAUCUGAUAGAUCAAAACAUUAUCAGGAUACUAGUUUCUUCAUUCUACUAUGAAUUCAAAAUUAAAUGACUCAACACUCAACAAAGAACAACCUUACUCCAAGUAAUCCCCUGAUCAUUUAGUGAUCAAACUUUUCAAAUAGUAUUAAUUUUGUAAUUUAACAAGUCUACAGCGCUUAAACUGCCAGCAGAAAUCUACAUGUCACCACAAAAUCGAUGCUUACAUCCGACACCUUGUAUUCCAAUUAAAGUCUCUCCUCCUUGAAGCAAUAAUAAGAUGUAGAAGUAAAUCAAUACCCUUUUCAUCAACAAUAUACAUUCUCCAAGCACAACACAAAUUAUGUUCCAAUUAACUGCAUUAAGAACAUAUUUACUACAGAAUUCAUCUUAGAUAAACUGAAAGAUUCAACGCACUAUAAAUUAAUGAGUUAUGAUAUAUACCUCAUCAAAAACAGGUACACUUCCACCCACAAGACCUGUGUUUCCACCUUGGGGAACAACAGCCAAGCACCUGGAAUUACAGUAUUUAAGAAUCUGUGAAACCUGCAUAAACCAUGUGGGCACAACAGAUGAUUACGCUUGACUUCUUUGGGUAAAAAAAAAAACCCAAUGUCUUAAAUAAACAAUAAAAAAAAGUUAUGUACUUCUUCAGUGUUCUUAGGCUGAAGCAGCAGCUUGCUCGAGCCUCUGUACUUGCCCAUCCAAUCAGUAUUUGCAGCAUCCAGUGCCAAUGCAUCCUGAACAACACCUCUCUCCCCUAAUAGGGUCUUGAAAUAGCUGAUAUCAUCAGGGCUAAUGAUAGAAAACAAGGGAUUUCUGUGCACUGUUGUGGCCACGGAAUAAAAAUAUUUCCCCUGUUUGCUUUUACAGCUAUUGUUCCAAUUAACCGCUGUCGUUAGCAUACAAAUAAAACACCAAUUAUAAACUUAAUAAGACAAUCUGCAUUUGUUUUGUCUACAACAUAGGCAGGGCGUAGAAAUUGAUAAUCUAUUGAUCUCCAGAUAAGCUACGACUUAUUAGCAAGAAAAAAGUCUUUAAAUUUAUAUACCCCUCAAAGCAGUAUAAUUUCUUUUGUCAUAAAUUUUCCUAAUCUGAAUUACUGAAAUUCAAUAACAAGACAACCAACUUGCUCCAUCUUUGCUAUUCAUUGCUACAGUAGAAAUAAAGACUACAUAGGAGUACUUACCAAUAAAAUGGGAUAGGGAAAAAACAGCAUUCUGAUACUAGCGGGUGUGUGUGAUCAUAGUUGAUAAUUGUGCACGUAAGUUUGGUACCUGAAGCGAACCUGCUAGAGAAUUUGAGCAGACGGUCAGCAGCUCUCCAUUUCUCCAUCUCGUAGAGAAUUUGAUGACUAUUGAGGGGCGAGCUAUUUCAUGAUAGUGUCAGAUUACUGGGCUAUUAAGGGAGUUUUAGGACCAGUUUGGGCAAAGAAAUAUAGAAGAGACAAGUAUUUGGAUAAAUUGGAGGCUAACUUUUUUUUUUUUUUUUUUUUUUUUUUUUUUUUGGGUAGGAGAGGCUGACUUUGUUGAAAGCUUCAGACUCGUUGCCAUGCCCACUUCUAUCCUGUCCUUUCUCUUGUGGUGCAUGCGUCUUGUUCUCAACUAUUUCUAAUUGUGUAAAAAUUAAUUUUAAAAACUUAAAAUAAAAAAAUAAAAACUUGUUUCUGAUUUUCAGCUUUUUAUGUCCAAAAAAUUCAAAAUCAAUAUAAAAUAUAAUAAAAUAAUUUUUAAAAAUCAAAUCUUAAAAGUCAUUUUGUGAUUAAAGUCCAUACUUCGACAAUGUGCAGGUGCACUCAGUGCUGGUAAAAAUAAAUUGCAUGUUUCAUUCUCUUUUUACUUAUUCCAAUAUGUCUUAUUACCAUUUUAUUUGAAACUCCAAAAAAUACAAAAGAGACAAUCACCCUUUGGUCAUAUGUCUGGCUUUUAUUUUUAACUAAUUCCAUCCAAAUUAGGUAAUGGGAAAAAAUUUAAAGUUCAAUUUAGGAGAGAAAAUGAAAAGAAAUCAACAUUUUCACAUUGUCUUGUUUGUCGAAAAUUUGGAAAAAAAAAAAUUUUGAUCAUGAAUGAAUAGACAAUGUGCAUCUAAGGUACUUAACUUCCAAUUUUUUUUUUGGGGAGGAGGGGUGUAAAUAGAUUGGGUGAUACAGGAGAAAGCCGUCUAAAUAAGAGAUCAUGACCUCAAGAGCUUCCACUUAAAAAAGAAAAAGAAAAAGUCUUCCAAUUUGAAUUAUUUAAUUGUUCAUUUUAUUGGUAAACUAGGCAACUUAAAUAUGUUGACAAAUAGUCUCACUUUUUUAUCUAUAACUUUUCCCACUUAUUAGAAGGAAAUGAAAGAAAGAAAAAUCACUUCAUUAAUUUUUCAAGAAACAAUUUCAAUUGUUCUGCAUUCUCUUUUUUUUUCCAAAAAAAAAAAAAAGAAACUCCCAAGUUUCAAUUAUCCAUCCAAACAAGCUUAAGGUGUUAAACAAAACUGAAGUAAUGGGUCGGACAGGCACUGCCCGCUUGCUAUUCGGAUCCUUUCAUUUUCCGAGCCCUAUCCAUCUCUCUCCUUCAGACUUCCCAAAGCCAAGUAGUCUAUCAAAGCUAAAUGGCGACUGCCACUGCUGCCGCUGCUGCUUCCAUAUCUUCUUCAGUGUCGUCUGUCUUAAACCAACCCCACCACCACCCUUCUCUAAUCAUCCGGCUUCCUCGGAGAUGCUCCGCCGCCUUCUCUCGCCGACUCCUUGGGUCCCCAAAUCCCCUGAAAACCUCAUCAUCUCUCUCCCGUUCUUCCUACCAUGUCCUCUCCCGCUCGCCAUUAUUAAAAGCGCGGCGAUGUUUAAACUUCUCUUUAGGAUUCGUUCGGAACUCAGCAUCGCACAUUCCGCUUUCCCAAAAGCAAGAUAUCCCGAGUCUCCACCAUUUCAUGCCAAAAGCUACUCCCGUUCCUUCUGUUUCUGAACCCCAAUUCGAGUAAGUUGGGGAUUCCAUCGAUUUCAUUUUUAUGCGUGGUUUUAUGUUUGUAUUAAUUAUGGGUUCUGUCCGCUGGAAGUAUUUGUCUUGGAUAAUCUGAGAAAUCUGAGAAAGAUUUAAUCUCGAAGAAUUGCCUGGUUGUUAUUCAACUUGAAGCUUGUACGUUAGUAAUGAGCUCAACUGUUAGUUACUGCUACAAAAAUGAAUAAGCCUUAUCGGUUUAUUUGGCUAGUAAUCAAGCUAAAAGAGAAACCACUGAAUGCAAUUUUCGAUUUUGCAUCAGUAUUUGACGUCAUAAUUGGAUAUGUUGGGAUUAUAUUGUUUGAGCAUAUUCAUUUUUAGUAUCUCAUUUAGUUAUUAUUGUAUGCUCAACAAUGCCAUUAUUUAACCUUUGCCUUCUUGACGCUUUCCGGUUUUGAUGUUGAAUAGUUGUAUUUGCUCUUCAUAGUGUUUAGUGUUGACUGAUCAUACAGAUGGGUAACUUCUGAAACUAAAGCCGUUAUAUGCACAGAGUUGUUGUCUUGUCAACAGUGCAGUGUCUAAUUACCAGCGACUUCAUAUACUUCUAGUUUUCUUAAACAUAAAGUGCUCUUAAGUCCAAUUAGAAAUAUCUCAUUGUUAUUUCUUUUCUUGUUUGUUUUUGUCCUAGCUUGAUAGCACCUACUGAAGUUCUUCCAAGAGGUCGUAUUUAUCAAGAAACAUAUGGAUGUCAGAUGAAUGUCAAUGAUAUGGAGAUAGUAUUAUCUAUCAUGAAGAAAGCUGGGUAUAGUGAAGUGGUGGAUGUUCCUGAGAGUGCAGAGAUAAUAUUUGUCAACACAUGUGCUAUUAGGGACAAUGCAGAGCAAAAGGUAUGGCAGAGGCUCAAUUACUUUUGGUUUCUUAAGAGGCAUUGGAAGAGCAAUGUUGCCAUUGGACGGUCACAGUCCCUGCAUCCUCCGAAAGUUGUUGUUCUCGGCUGUAUGGCUGAGAGGUUGAAGGAGAAGAUAUUAGAUGCAGAUAAGAUGGUUGAUGUUGUUUGUGGACCUGAUGCUUAUAGAGACCUGCCACGCCUAUUAGAAGAGGUAGACUCUGGUCAAAAAGGGAUUAACACUCUACUUUCACUUGAAGAAACUUAUGCUGAUAUCAAUCCUGUUCGUAUCUCUAAAAAUUCAAUCAGUGCUUUUGUCUCAAUUAUGAGAGGUUGCAAUAAUAUGUGCUCCUUUUGCAUUGUGCCUUUCACCAGAGGCAGAGAGAGAUCUAGGCCAGUGGAAUCCAUUGUUAGAGAGGUGGGAGAGCUUUGGAAAGAAGGUGUUAAAGAGGUGACGCUUCUUGGUCAGAAUGUUAACAGUUACAAUGACACAUCCGGGCUUGAAAAAGAAAUUGAACCAGGAGUAAACUGGAAACUUAGUGAAGGUUUUUCCAGCAUGUGUAAGGUUAAAAAGAUGGGUUUACGCUUUGCAGAUCUCUUGGAUAGACUUGCUGUGGAAUUUCCGGAGAUGCGGUUUAGAUUCACUUCACCACACCCUAAAGAUUUUCCUGAUGAGUUGUUGUAUGUAAUGCGAGACAGACACAAUAUCUGCAAAAGCAUCCAUUUGCCUGCACAAUCAGGGAACAGUAACAUGCUGAAAAAGAUGCGACGUGGCUAUACACGAGAAGCAUAUUUAGAACUUGUGAGUAAGAUACGGAGUAUAAUUCCUGAUAUGGGGAUCAGCAGUGAUUUUAUUUGUGGUGAGAGUCUUAUUCACAUUGGUUUUACUCAUCAUAUUCUUAGUUUUCAUUAAUUAUUUUAUCUUCUCUUCUUUGAUUUUCUUCAUUUUAUUGCAUUUUUCUGGUUCUUUUACACCUCAUGGCUUGUCAUCAAGUUCCUUGACUCUCCCUGAUUAUCAAAUGGUACCACUGUCAAUCAUGAAUCUCUGGGGUUUAAGUUUCAUAUGGAUCCUGUAAUUGCCAAGCACUCCCAUGUUUUGGCAGUAGUUGACCAAAUCUUCUUGAGCUUUUAAUUUUAAUUGGUUGGACUAUUUUGGGGAUAGGAUUGCUUAUGAAUCAUUUCUUGUCUGAAUAAUUUGGUGCCUUGAUGCAGGUUUUUGUGGUGAAACAGAGGAGGAGCACCAAGACACACUUACCCUGAUGAAGGCUGUCAGUUAUGAUAUGGCAUACAUGUUUGCAUACAGUAUGAGAGAGAAAACCCAUGCCCACAGGAAUUACAUGGAUGAUGUUCUUGAAGAUGUAAAGCAGAGACGGCUAACAGAGCUUAUUGAAGCUUUCCGGGAGAGUACAGGUCAGUGCUUUGACUCCCAACUUGGCAGUGUCCAACUUGUGUUAGUUGAAGGGCCCAAUAAGAGGGCCCCUGACACAGAGCUUAUAGGCAAGAGCGAUAGAGGCCACAGGGUAUCUUUCAGAAACUUGCCUGUCCCUGAUAGGGUUGAGAAUGAUGGUAAAAGGAAUCCAAGAGUUGGUGAUUUUGUGGAAGUUCAUAUUUCAAAAACCUCAAGAGCGUCACUCUUUGGAGAAGCACUUGCGAUUACUAAACUGAGCUCAUUUUAUGACAAUCUACAUGAACAUGCUUUUGCCUGUGCUAGCAGAAUUUGAUCUAUUCUUUUAAGGAGCCCCUGGUACAACUUUUUCCUCACUAAAUUAAUCUACUCAAAGGUCGUUUUGCUGUAAUUACGGGUUUAAGUUUCAUUCACCCCUUUGAAUUAUUGCUUGGUCUCAAAAUUAAGUGCUUGUUCGGCAGACCUAUAUUACACAGUUUAUAUUUCUGGAGGAAAUUCCAUACCAAGCAACAGUUCUGGGGCUGAAGGGAGUAAAUUGAAUUUGCCCUUGAUUACAUCCUGGAAGCACAGGAAGCACAGGUGAUUUCUAUUGGUCUGGUUCCUUGGGAUGGGCUCUGGACCUCCGUUAAAAGGGUAGGAUAUUUCUCUUGGUUUUGCGUGAUGCUUGUAGUGAAAGAUAGGCUUUUGUGUAGUUUCCCACUUUUCACUCAAACCAGGCGAAAAUGCCAAGAUCACAGAAUCAAAUGCAGGAGAGCAAAAUACUUGGUAGCACUCUUUCUCAGAGUUAUUAGAGAGUAUCCAAGACACUCAGCAGUGCCAGUGAAAUGGAGCUUCUCUGAAGCAUGAAUCUGGGAGGUUAAACAUUCUCCAGUUCAGGUGGAUCAGUGUCAGCAAGAAAAUGGGUUUUGUACGCCAGGUUCAUUUAAUUUUACGUGAGAUUAUAGUUCUUAACUCCCAGAAUCCAUUGUCAUUGAGUUUUGGUGUACGACUAGAUUAGGACAAACAAAAUACACAUAUGAGGAGUUUGGCAUGAAAGCCCCACCGGGGGGGAUUCUGAUGCAAGUGAAAGGGAUGAAUUAUACGGAAAGCUUUAGCUCGAACCCUGUACACCUUUUCUAUCCUAGAGGCUCCGCAUGUUUCCUGGUGUAAGUUCAUUGCUGAAAGCUAAAUGUAAGUCAACUAUAAUUAUAUACAUAAAAUAUAUAUAAUAAUAUGUAUAAUUUAUAAUUAUACCUAUUAUAACAUAAAUUAAUAAUAAUUUAUAUAUCGAUUUGUGGUAAUUCAUAAUCAUUAAAUAAAUAUUAUAUUUAAUUAUGAAUUCGUUUUGAGUUCAAUUUAAGUCCAAAGUUCAUAUAAAAAUGUGAAUCAAGUUUGAGCCUCCUAAUUUGAGCCUAAACUCGAAGGUCCAAAAGCCUGAAAGUUCUACUGAAUCACGUUUGUGAACCAAGUUUGAGCUUGUCAAAACUGGCUCAUAGAGCCUAACCGACAGCCCUGCAGCUAAUUGUUUUCCUUGACAGCAACCGCAUUCAGACGUUGCAUGACCAAGUGAUGAAAUUUUAGGCUCAAUGCAUUAUUACGCUAUGCUAAAGACUCUGAAAUACGGUAACACUUCAUUGGAAAAGUUUAUUAUUAUUAGAGAGCUUUCAAAAGAAUUACUGGUGUAGUGGAGGAAAAGUUUCCCAAGAAAUACUUAAUUGAAUGCAAGGCAAUUAGCUGUGUUUGGUUUUGCUUUUAGGCUUUUAGCUAAUGUCAGGGGGUGCUGAGAACUGAGAAUGAGUGUGUGUGUGAAUUUGUCGGGUUCUUGAGGAGAAUGAGAAGAGAGAGUGACCAAAAAGAGCAGAGUGAAAAUUGAAGAGUGAUAAGGACAAGUCGAAGUAGACGAGACUUGUGAGGAAGCAAAGCAAAGCCAUGGGGAGCGUCUUGAAAAAUGAAGAUGCAGCAGGAGCAGAAAAUGGAGAGUUGAGUUCACCAGUCCCGCAUUCACAUUAAUGUACACAGCAGUCAGUGUCGGCCGGGCGAGUCUGAGCGAGCAAGAUGUUCUAAGUAGUAGUAUUAUGGUACCGACUAUGCAAAAACUAAAAAGCGCAUACAUUCAUUCGUUACGUAGGUUACAAUACAAUACCCCGUCCCGUGCGUCGGCGUCCUCAUUAAUGAAUUCCCCGCCAUUCUCUUCUUCUUAAUGCUCCCGCCCUUCUCCGACGGAUCCACAGAAAUGACAGUGAUGAUGGAUCACUCAGUUCACUGUUCCUUCGUUUUGUUACUUUCACUUCAUUCCAGCCCUCAAAAAAUGUGUGUGUUUGUAGUAUUAUUAUCUGAGAACGCAUCUACAAGCAAAAAUGUUCGCUGCUGCGUCUCUUGCAUAGUUAGCGUCCGAUCUCGAGUCUGGACUGAUUUUUAUUCAAACGCACGCACAAGAUGCAUACCCAUUUAUUGCCUUUAAAUACACAUCUACUACGAGUAAAAAAGUUUGCUGCUGCGUCUCUGGCAUAGUUAGGGUCCGCUAGGCUCUAGGCCUCUAGCUAACAUAGUAUAGUGCAUCUAGGGGUACGGGUGAUAUCGAGUCGAGUCGAGCUCGAGUAGUGCACUACUCGAGCUCGACUCGAGGCAAAAUAACUAGGCUCGAGCUCGAACUCGUCAAGCUUUUAAAAUUCGAGCUCGAGCUCGAGCUCGACAUCAAUUUAUGGAGCUCGAGAUUGAGUUUAAUUAAAUGUAAUUAAUUCAAAUCAAGCUCAAUCAAGCCUAAUCAAGCUCAAGUAAUAAAAAUUAAUAUUUUAUAUAUAAUUUUAAAUAAAGGAUAUUAUUGACAUUUCACAAUAAUAAAAAUAAAAAAUAUAUAUUAUAGAAAGCUCGAUAGAGCUCGUCGAGUUCUCGAGUAUUAUAUUUCCAAACUCAAACUCGACUCGAUAGCUCUAACGAGCAGCUCGAGCUGUUGACCAAGUAGCUCGCGAGCUCCAGCCGAGCUACUUGGUUCAGCUCCAGCCCUAUCUGGGGGUCACUGCAAUGUUAAAUUCUAGGGUUAAUUACAUUUACCUCCCCUGAGGUUUGACCAUAUUACCAAACAAUCCCUAUAAUUUGUCCAAAUAACGGUCUCACCCUUUGAAUGAUCAAACAUUUAAGAAAAACCCCCUUAAUGCCGAAAAUACCCUUAUUGAGGCCAUGUUGCAUUAAAAAAAGAACAUAUUUUUAUUUUAUUAACCUUGAAGCAAUCCAAAAAAACAGAAAAAAAUUUUGCUUAUUAUUUUAUAAAAACCAUAUCUUUGCUUCCAUAAAUAGUUUUGAAUCAAUAAUUAUUUUAAAUCUUAAAAAUGAAUAUUAAAAAUUAGAUAAAUUGAAAGAAAAAUUAAAAAAAGAAGAAAUUAUUUUAAUUGCUGAAGUAUGGUUCAAAUUGAGGAAAACAUGCCCUGUACUCUCCGCAACAUGCCUUGAACCACAAAUUCGAACCAUACUUGAGGAUUUAAAAUAAUUGCUCUUUUUUAUUUUUUUUUCAAUUUAUCUAAUUUUUAAUAUUCAUUUUUAAGAUUUAAAAUAAUUAUUGAUUCAAAACUAUUUAUGGAAGCAAAGAUAUGGUUUUUAUAAAAUAAUAAGCAAAAACUUUUUUCUAUUUUUUUGAAUAAAAUAAAAUAUGUUCUUUUUUUAAUGCAAUAUAGCCUCAAUAAGGGCAUUUUUGGCAUUAAGGGGGUUUUUGUUAAAUGUUUGAUCAUUCAAAGGGUGAGACCGUUAUUUGGACAAAUUACAGGGAUUGAUUGGUAAUAUGGUCAAAUCUCAGGGGAAGUAAAUAUAAUUAACCCUAAAUUCUACUUAAAAAUUUUCGGAAGCUUGGAUUUUUAAGAGUUACUAUUUCAGUUUCUCCAGUAUCAUACAUAGUAUUCUAAACCAGCCUUAGGUCAUUAGAAAUCCAUUUUCACUUCCAACUUCAUGCUUAAUUUGUUUCCUAAGCAACUUUCCUGUUCGCCCUGCCAGAUCUCUACUUUUUUUCCCCUUAUGAUGCUAAAUCUCUACUUAAUUUAUAUAUAUGUCUUGUGCUUUUGCAAUUCCUCAUGAUUAUGAAUAGUGGACUGAAAGAUAAGGUGAUUAAUUGAGCCUGCGCAAUCUGUUUUAUGUUGAAUUAGCUAAAAGUUAAACUAGUGUUGCUUAGAUUAGAAAAACAGGACUAAGUGCUAUAAUACUCCCUAGUCAAUUCCAAUUAGUUUCUUCAAAUCUCAUUUUAAUUCUCAACACGUCAAAUCACACACGCACACACACACGUACACAGAAUAUAAAUGGUCUAUCCAAGGGGUACCCAUGCCCUCGUUAAAAUGUAUUUCAUCUGUCAUAUUUUUUAAAAUGUAAGAUUAAUUAACGAAAGUAAAUAAAUACAAUGAAAAGAAAGUAUAUAAAUGCAAUGAAGAGUAAUAAUUAUUAAUAUAUGUAUAUACAUAGUACGUUAAGUGAAUUUUAUACGUGUGCUAAUGGACACACAUUAGAAAAAUCCUAAUACAAAAUGAUCUUCAGUUCUGAUUUUGGUAGGUUGUUAAAUUGGCUAUUUCGACAUUCUAUCAAGUGGACAUUUUUUUUUCAUGCCAUGUGGCAAAUUAAAUUGCAAGAAAAAGUGUGUCCAUUUAUAUCUCCGUGGAUUUUAUUUUUCUUUUUGUGGUAACAAUUAAUUAUACACCUUAUUAGAGUUCCUUAUUUAUAGUCAAUUUCACCCAAUCUAUUAAUGACCUACCUUAUAUAAGUUUGUAUUAAUUAUAUCUUUUUAUUUUUUUUGGUCAAUCAACUCAUAUCUUUCUUUUUAAUCUCCUCAAUUACUUUUUCUAUUCUUGUUAUUGGCUUGAUUACUUAUUGCCAUUACUAAAAUUUGAACAAAAUAUACUAUAUUAAUGCUCACGUAGAUAGUAUUUCUCUUGAUGGGUUACUAAGUAGGCUAUACUGAAAAAAAUUUGCCUAUUCCGGUUUUUUGCCAAGUGUAAAUUCUAUCUUUUCGCCAUGUGGAAAAACAUUAUGUAUGCUUAUGUUUCUUGGUGUAUUUUAUUCUUUCUUGGUUAACAAUUAAUUAUAGUCCUUUAUUACUUUUUAUUUAUAGUAAAAUUUAAACAAUCAAAUAAUUGCCUACUUUAUAUAAAUUUCUAUAAUUUAUGCUUUAUUUUAUGUGUUUUUCUAACUGGUAUCCAAUGAACACUAGUUAACACACCUACAUGUCACCCCAAUCUAUCAUUUUUAUACGCACACUAAUAAUUACUACUUUUUUCUUACAUUUAUAUUCUUUUUCUAAUUAAUCUCCUUGUAUUUAUACACUUUUGGUAGUUAAUUUUAUAUUGCUAGAAAUCUAAUACUUGAAAUACAUCUUAACAAGUACCCAUAGGGCACCCAUUAGACAUACCAUUGUUUUAUUUUUGUUAAUAGCUUUCAUUUUUUAAUUCUCUACAAUCACAUCUGAUAUUUUGCCAAGUGUAAGAUCUAUCUUUUCACCAUGUACAAAAAUAUUGUGUAUGGCUCUUGAUGAAUUUUUAAUUUUCACCAUGUACAAAAAUAUUUUUUAAUUAUAAUUCUUUAUUACUUUCUUAUUUGUAGUAAACUUUAAACUUCAAACAACUGAUUAAUUACCUACUUUAUACACAUUUCUAUAAUUUAAGCUUAAUUUUAUUUUUUGUUAAUAGCUUUCCUUUUAUUAUUCUCUACAAUCGUAUCUGAUUUUUGUCAAGUGUAAGUUCUAUAUUUUCACCAUGGAGAAAAAUAUUGUGUUUGCUUAUGUUUUUUGGUGGAUUUUAAUUUUUUUUGGUAACAAUUAAUUAUAGUCCUUUAUUACUUUCUUAUCAGUUAAUUACCUACUUCAUAUACAUUUCUAUAAUUUAUGCUUUAUUUUAUUUUUUGUUAACAGUUUUGGUUUUUUAACUCUCUACAAUCUCUAUUCCUAUUAUUGAAUUUAUCAUUUAUUAUUAGUAGGAUUAAUCUUUCACGUAUACACUGUCAGCGCACUGUUAGCACCUUGGAUGAAUGACAACUAUGUAAAAUUUAAAUUUGAAAUCCAAUUUUUGCGCACGUGUCAUGAAUUCAAUGGUAAUUGUGUAUACACUGUCAGUAUACAAGAUUUACUCUUAUUAUUAUUACUAAAAUUUAGAUGAUCUUUCAUUUGUAUAUCAAUUUUUUAUUUAUAGUAAAUUAAAAUCUAUUAAUCCCCUACCUUAUAUAUAUUUACAUUCAUUACACUUUUCUUUUUUUAAAAUCAAUCAACAUUGUUUUUUAAAAUUUUCUUCAAUUAUGUUGACUAUAUUUCUAUUGUUUGAUUCGAUUAUUUAUUUUUAAUUCUAAAGUUUUGACAAUUUUUAUUUUUCAAUGGAUUUAUAUACUGCAAUUCUAGCAUAUACUCAUACAAAUCCACUUAAAUUAUAUAAAUAAUCUUUCUUUUUCUAAAUUUUUUCUAUUAAUUUUUAUGCUCUCUUUCCAUUGGAAAUCAAUUCAAGCUAAAAUGGUGUCCAUAUAAACACCGGAUUGUAAAAGUUUUCUCAAUUUACCUUUUUGCUAAUUUUUAAUAAUUUGAUCAAAUGAUAAGUUCAUUAUCUAUUAGUUUGCUUUUUAAAAUUCUUAUUAGUCAUGAAAAAUUCAAAUAUUAACCACACUUAUUUCCUAAUAUAUCUUCUUUACUCACAUAUUGACAUAUCACCAUUAAUUAGAGUAAAUAUAAUUGAAUCAUGGGAUAAGGUUUGACUGAAACUAAUCAUUAAGUUGUUAUGACUUAACUAUUUUUAAUCUAUUUAAUUUGAAAUUUUAUAAAUGAUAUUUUUAGUUAUUUUAUAUCAAAUUUUAUUUAAAAAAUGAAAACUUUAGAGCAUUAAAAUUGCUCGUGUAAAUCCACAGGUACAUAACUAAUGAAGCAUUAUAUUUCGCAACAUUGUAAUAUAUUACCACUGCCAUUCUUAGCUUCAUAGUCAAGAGACUCUAUGCAAGUACCCAAAGUUUGUGUCUCUGCCAAUUCAAGACUAAAGAAGACAAAUUUAUUAUGUCUUUUAAUUAUUACUGAAACAAUUACGUCUUAGUUAGGCAAAUGUAUAUUUUCUUUGUGAAGCACGUGCCGCAAAAUCUCAAUCCUUGAAUUAAACUGAAUGUAAAUAGUUUUUUAAAAUAAAUAGAUGUAGGAAUAGCAACGGGAGCGAACAUGUGAGAAUCCUCAUUUUUAAAAUACAAUUUCCCCAAACUACAUGCCUUGCACCAAGAUUUAAACCACCUCUGAUAUGCCCUAGUAUUAUAUUUCACAAUGUGUUACAACAAAUCCCUUGUAUUGACCCUCACUUUAAAACACAAUUUUCUUUUUACAUGCCUUAUUAUAAGAUCUAGACCAUUUAAUAUAUGCCCUUACAAAUUAUUUUCUAUGUGUUAUAAUAAUUUCCAUGCAUUUCAUUUCAAUUCAUUUUACUUGAAGUAAAAUAUAUUCUUGAGCUAGGUUGUAAAUAAAUCACCACUUGUAAUUGUCCAAGUGUUCUUUUAUUAGUGGUAGAGACUUAAUGUGAGAGAUUAGAGGUGUUGAAUAAUUAUUGGUGCAUUUGGAAAGGUAAGAAUGGCAUUAGUCAAUGAUUAAGAAAAGUUAGGACAAUAAUGGAGCCAUGUGGCAAAACCCUAGCCAUGUAUCUUGUUUGACCAAAGGAUUAGAGGAAUUUUAAACCAACUUUGCUUCAUUUUCCUCCAAAAUUUCGUCCACCUUAAGGGCUUCCAAGGGAAGGAAGAAAACUCCAUCUUCUUGCUAUGACAACCUUAGUUUGAUCUUGAACAAAAACCAAAAGAGAAAGAUCUAGAGUUUGUAAGAAAAUUUCCUUCAAUCUUUGAGGUUGUUUCAAGCCUAAAGCUUCUAUUGUGGUGGUUUGUUUGGUGACCAAAGCAACUUGUAAGUAAGGUAUGUAAUCUUUACAAAUUGGGUUUAUGAUGUUAUAUCAUCUACUUGAGGAUGAAAUGGUGAAAAACAACUUGUUAUGGUUGAAUUUGGGGUUAGUUUCUUGAGUUAAUCAAGUAAUGGUUAGGUUUACUAACCAGCAUACCAAGUGUUUGAUGAAAUGUCUAAUCCUUAUUCAUGUGUGUUUAUGAAGUAUUGAUAUGUUUUAAACCCCUAUUUAGUUGGAUCUAAUACUUGUUAUGUGCAAGGAAUGAAAAUAACAAGAAGAGUAGAAGUUAGAAAUUUUUAAAGUGUGCUGAUCGAAACUUUUUAAGCUUGCUGUCCGGUUUUUCCUUGAUAUUUUCAUGCAUAUUUUGGCUACAAAUGUGAGUGUUAUAUGUUGGGUUAUGUGUGUGGAGGUUUUCUACAAAAAAAAUUAGGCAAUUUGGUUGAAUAAAUUUUGAGUUAUAAACAAAGGAGGAAAACUGGACUAGGUCCAGAAAUUUUCUGUGCAGCAAUCUUGUUAAGGUCAUAAUGUGUUACUCACUGAUCGGAAUUGAGUGCCAUUUGUGGCAAUUGAAAGUAGAUCUUAGAGCUUUAAAACGGUACAAAGCUCAUUUUCUGGUUCAUCCCGAGCAAUCCGUGGCGAGUCUGGAAAGUUGGCUGUCCGGGCGGUACUGUUCAUCCGAGACAGUCCAGAAAGUUCAUUUGGUUUCUUAAUUUUAAGCCACUUAUGUUGGGAUUUUGGAAAUGGUUUCUUCUAGACAAAUUUAGCCUUAUGAACUUAGUUUCCAAUGCAACUGACGGAACCUAAUUCCAACUUUCCCACAAUGAGAAAUGACCAUUUUCCCGAGGCUGGCCGGGCGAGAUAGUUUAACCCGUAAUGAAGUCUUUGAGCUUUAGUGAAACUUUUCUCUUGCCAAACUUUCAUGUACAUACUAGACUUUUUUUCCAUGAACUUUCACCGUGGUUUAGACCCUAUUUGCAUGCUGGAUUAAGUAACUUAAGCUACUCACUUGGCCUCUUAAUGAAUCUAUACUUUAGUAGGGAACGAAUCCAAUUAUUAAUGUUUUCACUCGUUGACUUAGGUUUGGGCAACGACGGUGAUUGUAACUGAGACGUUUGACGUCGAUUAUUACUUUUGCUUGACAGGUGAGUGUUCCACUACCUGUUACUUGUUAUGUGAAAUAUUUGUGUGCUUGAAAUUACUGAAUUGAUAUUGUUUGAGCCAAAUACUGUUUUAAUAAAAUUGAGGCGAGUGUGUACUUUAUCAUACUCGACCUCCCUUGUUUGUUUACUGAGGCUCUAUUUAUCGAAUGAAUUACCAUGGAAUGAAGUAAUGCUAUAUGUGACUGUGCUUAAGUUGCGUGGAGGACAUUCCACCGACUACUGUUACUAUUUGGGUACCCAAUCUCACAGGUGAGUCGGUCGUAUCGAGCCAGCAAGGGUUUGGUCGAGAAAACAGAUAAACCUUGAGAACUGUUUACUGUUCACUGAAACCGGUAUACUCGAAUAUUACCAAACUACUGUUUAUGAAGUGCGGGCUCGGUGGGGGGUUGUUUGGUGGAUGGAGACUGGUGAAAGUGGGGUUCUACGGAUCUAUAUACUGUUACAAGUGUUGACGGAGUGUUAACAGAAGACAAUUAUGAUCAAGCUCAAGUGGACCUUUGGCUCUUAAAAGCCACCCGUAUCGUUGAAUUGAACUGUGAUUAAACUGUUAUUUUACUGUACGGUGUUUAGUUGGUUAUUUUGUGAUUUUAUGUGGCUAUGUGUUUACUUGUUUACCUAGAACCUCACUGGGCUUUAACUCACCCCCUUCCCUUUGUUUUCCUUAACAGAUCGGGAAGGGAUUUGACCGAGGGCUUUCUUAGCUUUAUUUUGCCGUUCUUGCGUUUUGAGAUUGUAAUUUUCGUUUAAGCAGACUUGUAAGCUUAAAUUCUUAAGGGUGAUUUAUAUUAUGUAAUUUUGAGUGAAGCGUGGUAAGUUGGCAUGCGAUAAUAGAUGUACUAAGUUGAAUUGUUGGAUUAGUGAUUAUGUUUGAGUUAGUGUUUCAAUCCCUUGCAUUGUCAAAUAUUACAUUCAUUUCAUUGAUGAUAUUAAUACUUUGAACGAUUGAGUCCUGGCGAGAGUUGGACAGGCAGUCCGUUGAUACCCUAUGGUUUGCCCUAGGGAGAUAUGGGGCUGUCACAGAACACCCACUUUGUGAAAGGAGUAUGAGUUGGAGUGGGGAGGAGGAUUUUUCUCCCCCAUCUUAAAUGAGGUGGGGUGUGAGAGAGCAUAACCUUGCCCCAUCUUCCCCUCCGUCCCUUGUAUUAAUUAAAUAAAUAUAAUAAGAUUAUUAAUACAUCUAUUUUUUCCAUAUUAUUUUGGGUUAAAUUAUUAGUACUAGUCAUAGUUAUAAAAUUCGGCCCGACCCGGCGGUCGAACCGGUCAUUAGACCGGGCCGAAUUUGGAAUCAAAUCGUUUGUGCAAAGAGACCGUUGACUUAGUCAAUGACCCGGCGAUCGAACCGGAUUAAACCGGAAACCCUGUCGGUUUUGGCCGGGUUUGUCACUAACCGGAUUUUGUGGAAAAAUUAAUUACUGUUGUUGGAACUCGAACUUCGGACCUCUGCCCCAACACUACCGCCUGCUUACCACCAAACUACUUCCAAAUAUGUUGACAUAAUAGCUUUAUUAUGAUAUAUAAAUGUUUUUUCAAUUCUAUCUUUUUUUCUCUAAAACAAAUUUAUUUGGAAUCUUUUAAUAAAAAUUUAUUACCCUCCAAACUCUAUAAGUUAUAAAAUGGAUUUCAAAAAUAACAUAUUACAUAAUUCAUUUAAAGACAAAUAUUAUUUUUAAUAAUUUUUUACACUUAAAAUUCAUAAAUAAGCUAGAUAAUUACACUAAAUAUAGAUAAAAUUUUACACUUGAAAUUUGGUAUAUUAAUAAAUAACUGUAUAUUUGAUUGAUUCUUAUAUGAAUUAAUUAUUUUAUAACAAAUUAAAUUAAAUGAGCUUUUGUUAUGGCAUUAUUUAUUACAAUUUAUAUCAUAUAUCUUAUAUAAAUAAUUAUGAAAUAUAAUAUUUAAAUAUAUGUAGUGACCCACCGAUUCAACCACUCACCCUCGGUUAAAUCAGUAACCUGUUGACCCACCUCUUUCGCCGGGUUCCUUCCCGGAUUGGGUUUAAUAACUAUGGUACUGGUAGAUUCUUUUUUUUUCCCUAAUAAUAGUACUAUUUAUUAGUAUUAGUGAUUGUAAUAUUAGUGAAACCAAAUCAUGUUUAUGCAAUAACAUUUGUUUGAAAUGACUACUUUUUGUGAUGUCCUUGAAUCAGUGCAAAAUGCUGUUGCAUGUCUGGGAAAGUUGUCUCGAAUCGAGACAAACUGUGAGCUUGUUAUGAAGCUUGGACCGCCUCAUUAGUGUUUGGCUCGUGCAUAAAUACGUGUACUAAUGAUACUUGUAUUAGUUUGUGAGUUUGAUGUAACUAGGGCCUAAUAGCUCCAUUUUAUGCACUUAUUUCUUAUCAAUAUAGUGUUCAUUUGUGGCACUCGUGGGGAAAUGGGAUAGGGCGAGGAUGGGAGAUAAAGCAAGAGCGGGAGAUAUAUAUCAUAUAUGACAAUGGAGCGGGAAGGUAGGGAAAGGCUCUCCUGCCUCAAAUCCGCAUUGUUGCCAUUCUUAAAUGUACUCGCGGGGAAAUGGGACAGGACAGAGACUAGAGAUGGAAUAGGGGCAAAGGACCUAUAUGACAACAAGGUAGGAGGUAGGGAAAGCUUUCCCGCCCCAAAUCCAAAUCCGGUUCGCUGCAUCUUUAAAGGGUUAUUAUUACUUUACCCCCUUAACAUUCGGUGUCACUAUCAAUUUCUCCCUUAACAUUAUUAUCAUUUAGUCAUUUUAUCCUCAGAACUAAUGGUUAAACUUAACGGAAUUUAUUAAUUAAAGUAAAAAGACAAGUUUAGCCUUUAAAGUUACUAUCACUUUACCCCCAUAAACUAUAACUUCAUUAUCAAUUUACCCCAUAGAGUUAUUUUUUAGGCAAUUUAUUCCACCAUUAAACCAAUUUAGCAAGUUAAAAAAUUUUAGAAGAAAGUACCCUCAUUUUUAUAUAAUAAAAAUAAUAAAAAAUUUAGAGUGACUCUUCUAUUCUUUAGUAUCAAGAAAAAAGUCAAAAUAUUAAUCUCUUUCUUUUUGGCGAUCUUAUUAAUAUUAAAAAAAAUAGAAAGAUCGGGGGGAAAGGGAGAGGGGAAAGAGAGAUAGAGAGAGAGAACUCAAUUUUUUUUAAAAAAUACAAAUAAGAAAGAAUUAAAUACUUUUAUUAUUUAAAAUUAUUUUACUUUAUUAUUUACCACCAGAUUUCAAUCCUAAUCCCAAUACGAUAAUGUUAGAUUUUUUUUUCUUUGUAAAAUCUAAUUUUCUGUCUCCUUCUUUCCUAUCUCUUUUUCUUCUUCUAGUAUUAAUAAGUAUGUAAAAAUAAAUUUGAGAAAACUCUUUUAUUUUUAUAUUUUUGGAUCUCUUAAAGUGAAAAAAAAAGAAUAAUCAUUCCGACUUUUUUAUUUUUAAUUAUAUAUAUAAGGGUAAAUAUAUUUAAAAUUUUUUUAUCAUACUAGUUAGAUUAAUGGUAAAGUAAAAUGUUUAGAAAAUAAUGUUAGAAAUUAAAUUGAUUAUAUCAUUAUAAUUUAAAGGAAUAAAGUAGUAAUAAUAAUGUAGUAAUGCUAUAGAAUAAAAAAGUAUUUUUAUUCAAAAUUUCUUAAUAUGUCGAGUUGAAUUACUUAUAGAGGUGAAAUGAUUAAAAAAUAACGUUAAGAAGUAAAUUGAUAGUAGCGAUAUGAUUGAGCGGGAUAAAGUGAUAAUAACCCUAUCUUUAAAUAGAUGUAUAGGAAAGUGGCCUUGCUCUUACACAUUCAAACCUACAAGUUGUAAGCUUUUGACUAUGUGCUUUUUUCCUAAAUUAUAGACACUUUAGCGGAAAUUCAGACACGAUUAGGUGUCAAAAUUUGACUUUGUGUACCGAUUGCAAUGAUUAUUUUUUCCAUCCCGAGAUGAUGGUAGUAAGUAAUAGUAACACAAAUUUGCAAAUGCCCCAUAAAACACACAGACUAGUGUCUAUUGAUUUGACACACACACACAUAAAAAAAAAAGCAAAAAAGAAAAUACUAGUAUCUUUUUUGAAAGAAAAGAGAAAAAAAAAUUAGUGUCUAUUGUGAAAAGCGUGAUGCGAUUCAAAUCACAAAAGCUUUCACUUGGAUUUUGCAACUGAUUCACGAAAGAAAAGGUUAGGCCGCAGAUAAAUAAUUACUAUAAUAUUUUUUAUAAUUUAAUAUAUAUAUAUAAUAAAAAUAUAAUUUAAAAUAUAAAAAAUAAAUUAAAAAAUAUAUUUAUGACACUGGAAAAUAUUAUGUCAGAAGAAAGCAAUCCAAACACAUCCAUAGUUUCUUUCGAAGGGGUAGAGACAAAAAAAAAGGAUAAGUUGUCAUACCCCCAUUGCUCAAUCAGAAUGGCCUUCUUCAUUUAUGGAAAAGUAAUCCCAUAAGAUCUUCGCACAUACAACUAAAGAUUCACUAUUUACUCCUCUCAUUUAAUUUCCUGAAGACAGACACGCAGGCGCACCCUGCGCCCCCCUCUCUCUCUCUCUCUCCCCCCCCCCCCUCAUCCCCCCUCUCUCCAUCUCUCCACACCGCUUUCUCUCUCUAUUUAUGCCACAAAAUCAUUCAUUUAUGUACUAGCUACAACUAUAAAUGGAGAUGCUGCAUCAGUACUCUGAGUACUCUGUGAAAAAGCCAGUCUUGGCGUUCUGAUUCUUUAAAGCGGUUCAGCUCAGAAAAGGAAUUGGAACUACUUGCGAACCAAAAAAAAUCUUCCGAAAAAACACACAAGUUCUUUUCUUUCUUUCUUUCUUCCUUUUGAAAAAAAAAAAAAAAAAAGAAUCCUUAAUAAGCGUAUAUCUAGGUGAAAAUGACAUGGGUUUUGAUUGGUAUAGUUGUGUCAGUGUUCUGUUUGUAUAAGGUGAUGAGGAAAAAUAAGGAAGAGAGAGAGAAGAAAAAUUGGAUUCCUAGAGGAAGUUCAGGCUGGCCUCUUCUUGGCGAAACUCUCGACUUCAUAGCUUGUGGUUACUCUUCUCGCCCUGUCAGCUUCAUGGAGAAACGGGCGGCCCUGUAAGCCUUCUUCUUGCUUCCAUAAUUUUCGCAUAAUUUACCAUGAUCUUCUUUUCUUGUGACUUAAUUAUCAUUUUCUUCUAGAGUAAGCUAUUCUUUUUGCUUUUUUGUAUAUUAUUGGCACAUGCAGUGUGGUUGAAAUUGUUAAAAAUUCGUUUUGAAGAGGAUUCUUUACAAUCUCCGAUGAUUUGCUGGAAAGGGCAACAGUUCCAAGCAAGACUUUAAGUUUUGUAUUACAAGUUUCAUCAUUCAUGUGGUUUUUUUACUUUGGAUAUGUGCAGUUUAAGAAAAUUUUUACAUCUAGAUCUUUGGGAAAUAAGAAUCCAUUAAUUUCGACUUGUGGUUGAGUAUUUAGACCGCUCACUCAAAAAUUUUCUAACACCUGACGGUACUAUGUGAAAAAAAACAAAUAUUCCUUCUAGUCUAGUUGUGUUUGGAUUGUAUUUUUCAUGAUUUUUUCGUGGAAAAAUUACUGUUAUGAUUUGAUGUAUAUAAGAAAAAAAAGAUAAAAAAGAAAUAUGAUCACGAAAACGAUGUAAUUUUUUGAGAGAAAACAGCAAUCCAAGCAAGGCUUCCUAACAGAACUUUUAUGUUAUGUGAUAUAUAUAUAUAUAUAUAUAUAUAUAUUUUUUUUUUUUUCAGUUUUGUGCAAUCAAUGAAACUGAUCGUAAUGAAAAGAUGUCCAAUUACUUCAGAGUUAAAAUGCGGAAUUUACAAAUUUUUUUUUUGGUAAUUUAAAAUUGUCUUUAAAAUUUUUUAAAAGGUUAGGCCAGCAGGUAACUUAAGUAACGUACUAUUUGAUUUGCGAUAGCCCUUCAAUUCUAGAAAGAGAAAAGGAAACGAAGUAAGAAGACAAUCACCAGAUUUGUAUGGUACCUAAUAAUAUGUUAGAGGGGAGGUCUUGUUUUGUUACUUUCAUAAACGAAACUACUACUGCUACUUUGCAGGACCAUUUGAAGUAAUAGACUAGUUCUUUUAGGCUGUUGGAUUGGAUAUAGCACUUGUUUUUUUUUUUUUUUUUUUAAAAAAAUGCAGUGGAAUGUAGUGGAUUUGCACAAUUAACGAAAGAAAAUCAAAAAAGAAAAAACAUGUUAUUGUUUUUUUUUUGUUGGUGGUGCGGUGCCAUUCUGGAUCAGGACCCUGUCAAUUAAUCCAAGUAGGAAAUAAAAAUGAAAUAUGUAUAUAUCCUUUACUUUCCAUCUGUAUGUGCCUAAAAUAAUUCGGCGGAUAUAUGGUAAUAACAGCAGGUAAAUUAGAAAAUAGUAGAAAUAAAGUCAGUAGUGACUCGGAAACGUCAAAAGAUCCUUUACCUUCUUGUUUCCUACUCACCUUUAUGUAUGUGUAUGUGUAUGUGGAUGUGUAUAGUAAUUGUCUUAUUAUCGCAUGAUUAGCACGAGAAGACACAGAGUGCGUGCUUUUACGAGUCUCAAAUUGAUAAAAUGGCUUCAUCCAUCAUUGCUAGUUGUUGGCGUGGUAAAGUUACUUGUUUGUGAUACUAUGAAAUUUUCUCUAAGCUUUAUGUUUUUUUUUUUUUUGGAUUUAUUAUUAAUAAUUUGCCGACAAUUGCUUUUCCAGAAGAUUGUGAUACGGAUGGAGUUUUUUUUUUUUUUAAAAAAAAAUAUAUAUAUAUAUGUAUGUGUAUUGCAAGUGACUAUACGGUUGGCUGGCUUGCGUUGAUGGAUGAUCGAUCAUAUCCAUUGAUGUUGCAUAGGUUCCACACAGAACCCAUAUUCACGUGUGUGUUCAUUGUCAUACGUUUGUAGCAUUACGAUAUAUCUAUCACUCCAGCCUUUUCUAUAAUUGAUGGAUGAUACAGCUGCUAAAACAUUAACAUUCAUGCCCUCUCUCCGAUAAGACACAAAAAACCCCACAGCUCGUUCUUAGGUCAUCCAAUCGAAGAUAUAUAUAUAUAUAUAGUCCAUCCAAUAUUGAGGCCUUUGUUUAGCGAAUCAUCAAUUCUUUUUUUUUUUUUUUGUCUCUCUAUCUCUCUCUCUCUCUCUAUAUAUAUAUAUAGAUAGAUAUAUAUAUAUAUAUACAUUGUUGGAGUUCUUUUACAAAUUAACCAAGAAAUCACAUGUAUAUUUUGUUAGAAUUCUUGUAUAAAUAGUCCUCUUUUGACGAAGGGGCUCCAUAAUCUUUAAUGCGAAAGUAGAGGGUUAUAUUGCCUGUACCAUUGUUAGGAAUAAUCUCCCUUUGUCCAUUUACCUUGACUAAUCAUCGUUGCAUCGCUAUCAGACUGCGCGUGUCUUGCAAUUUGAGGAAAUUGUCUGAAACGAAGGGUAAAUUGGAUUAAGACAUCUGCCCAUCGACUGUAAGGAAUUUUUUAUUUUUUAUUUUUGGCUGGAGUGGAGUCACGCUACCCUGACUGAGGAGGUUUUUGGCUUCAUUUCAUGAACUGCAGAAGGAGAGAGUGAUACGAGUAGCGAAGAGCUUGACGUUAAAUUGUACACGUACUGGUUGUGGCAGAUUUGACUGCUGAAAUUAAUAGUGCUUGGGUGUGAUGUGGAAUUUUCUUUUUUUUAAAAAAAUAAUUACUAUAACGAUUUUUUGUCAUACACAGAAUGUAAAUAAAAUAAUUUUUUUCAAAAAAAAUAACGUAUUCGUGAUAGAAACCAAAAAAAAAAAUAUAAAUAUAAAUAUGACUUAUGCAAACACGUACACCGGUGUGACCAGGUACGGGAAGGUGUUCAGAACACAUAUCUUAGGCAAAGCCAUAAUCGUGUCAACAGACCCGGAGGUGAACAAGGUUGUUCUGCAGAAUCAAGGGAACGCUUUCAUUCCUCAUUAUCCAAAAUCCAUCUCCGAACUGCUGGGCAAGUAUUCAAUAUUGCACAUUAAUGGACCUCUGCAGAAAAGGCUGCAUGCGCUCAUCGGAGGCUUCCUGAGGUCACCCCAGUUCAAGGCUCAAGUCACUCGAGACAUAGAAGAAUCCGUUCGACAUGUCUUCUCAACCUGGAUGCAAAAACAGGACCGACGAAUUUACCUCCAAGAAGAAAGCAGGAAGGUAGGUAUCUAUUAUUAUUGUCUUUUUUUUUUUUUUGGUUUGAAUCCUCGCCACAAAGACAGAGGUACCUGUUUCUUUAAACAAUUAUUGUACUUGAGGACGAUUAAAUAAAACCAUGGUUAAUGUUUCAGAUUGCAUUUGAAGUCAUGGUAAAAACUUUGAUGAGCGUCGGCCGGGGUGAAGAUUUGAAUUUGUUGAGAACGGAAUUUGAAGAAUACUGCAAAGGCUUGAUUUCUUUGCCCGUUAAACUUCCUGGAACGAGGUUGUACAAAUCUUUGAAGGUACAAACGCAUCCUAUAUAUGCAAUUGCAAUUGCAAUUGCAAUUGCAUGCAUGCAUCCAUCCAUCUAAUUAAUAUUUCCAACGGUUUAAUUAUUUACGUUGGAAAUAUAUAACGCAACGCAGUAUAUUUGACCAUUCAUAGAUUUUUUUUUUUUUUAUAAAAAAAAUUGGUUGCUGAAUUUGAAGUUAGUCAUUGGUAGGGUUUGCACGUGAAUAUUAUUAGGGUCCAUGCAGGCUAAAGACAGGAUGUUGAAGGUGGUUAGAAGCAUAAUACGGCAAAGAAAGAUGGCUGCUUUGGAAGAAAAACAAGGAAUGAAUGGGCUGCUGAAUGACGUAAUUGAUGUAUUAUUGCGCGACACGUUUGAAUCAUCAGCAGCAGAGGAGGCUCAGCCACGGCUGCCGUUGGAUUCGAUAGGUGAGAACGUCAUAGAGUUGAUGAUUCCCGGUGAAGAGACUGUUCCGACGGCUUUGACGCUAGCAGUCAAGUUCUUGAGUGACAGCCCCGUCGUGCUAGCCCGAUUGCUGGUAUGUACCAGUACUAGAUUUUUUCUUCUUUGUACCGUGGCUGGCGCUAGCUUGGAUUUUACGAUUGUUUUUUCAAUCGACGGAUAGGAGGAUGAGGUUCUGGGUAAUCCUACGGCUGGGAUCAACUAGAUCCACGAGCUUCCAGUGGGCCAUUGGAUGUCAACUUCACUUUAUGAUUGUCGUACUCGAUUGACUUUCAAAUGUCAUUUUCAAUCAGACACACGAGCGCCCCCCACACGUGGGGAAAUGCUCGUCGGCCCCACCAUGGUCUGUUUGGACUUAUUCUAGCCGUACGAUUUGGAUUGAACGGCUGUCAGCCGGUGGACCAAUCUUACAACUACGUACCUUCUUUGGAUUUUUUUUGUCCUUUAGAAAAAUUCUUAAACCAUUUUUUGUGAGCACAAUUUGUAAUUAUUUUUUUACCUUAUAUAUUUUUUAAAACACUAAGGCCUAAGCUCCUUUUUUUUUCCUUACUAUUUUAUACUAUUAUUUUUGUCCGUCAAGUAGUGACUUUUUUUUUUCCAAAAAAAAUGGUGGCUUUUUUCACUAGCUAUUUUUUCUUUUUUCUUUUUUUUUUUGGAGGGGAGGCUUCUUUCUUUCUUUUUCGGUGUCAGCCUUCUUUUGGUCGGUGUCAGCCUUCUUUCGGUCUAGGUACUACUACAAAUUUCUUUCAAGAUUUCCUUCUUUCUUUCCGGGUACUACUGCAAGUUUCUUACAACUAAUAUGUUUGGGUAGCGAAUUUUUUCAAAAAAUGUUUCACUCGUAUUAUAAAUAUAUUUUUUAAUUUAUUUUUUUAUAUUAUUAAUCAUUUUUUAUUUUAAAUGUAUCACAUCACAUUAUAAAAAAUGCUAUAAUAAUUAAUCAAAAUAAUUAUUAGGAAAAACACUACUCUUAUCAAACAAAUUAAGCCUCCCUUCCAAAUUUAAGUAGUGUGUGCUUCUUGUAAGUUGUAACCUCUUAUCACUUGGGCAGGAGGAGAACAUGGAACUGAAGCGGCAAAAGGCUAAGUCGGGUGAUGAAUAUUAUUGGACUGAUUAUGUCUCGCUCCCAUUUACCCAGAAUGUAAGUUGCUGAGUCGCUGUACCAUGUAACCAAUAGAGUCUAGACCCGCCAAAAUGAAGAAAGGGAACAUUCUUUUUUUUUUUUUUUUAAAGAAUUGCAAUAUUCAAGUAUCUUGUUCUUUUCUUCUUUUGGUCACUUCAGGUCAUCAGUGAAACUCUGCGAAUGGGCAAUAUCGUGAAUGCAGUUUGGAGGGAAGCAGUAAAAGACGUGAAAAUUAAAGGUAUGUAGCUCUCUUUACUUUUAUGGACGUGUCGUUUGCCAAAAGCAGGUUGUACACUACCCUUUUUUUUUUUUUCCCUUCACAAAUUCUCGUCAGGAAAAUGCUAAUUUAGGUUGUGGGGGUUCUUUUCCCAGGCCACUUGAUACCAAGAGGAUGGUGUGUCUUGACAUCCUUCAGUUCACUUCACAUGGACGAAGCAAACUAUGAAAACCCCUAUGAAUUUAAUCCCUGCAGAUGGGAGGUAUACGUGUCUUGUCCGAUUAUCUGUCUUGUUACCAGUUCAAUGACUUCCUCUUUACAACUUUCAAUUAUCAAUCAGAGCAUCAUUUUGAUGUCGCCCGUGCAAAAUGUCAACAUGGAGACGAAACAAAAAGAUUCUUUGGUCUGGAUACCAUUCUAAUCAACAUUUUUUUUUGGGCAUUGGUUGGUAGAAAACAGGAGCUUCGGUUAACAGCAACACAUUUACACCAUUUGGUGGUGGCCAGAGGCUGUGUCCCGGUUUAGAACUGUCGAGGCUCGAAAUUGCUAUUUUCCUUCAUCAUCUUGUUACAACAUACAGGUCAUUUUCUUCGUCUUCUUUCUUUCCUUUUUAUUAUUAUUUUUUUUAAAACUUCCUGUGACAAAUAGAUAGUUGAGACUUGAGAGAGUCACAUGCGGAUGCUACCCCUAAAACUUUUAGCAGUGGCACUAUGGUUUCUUAUUGCAUUAGGUGGCUAAGGUGGUGACGGGUGAAUACUGAAAGUAACGGCAGCUAACACGAUCUUUCAUUUUCUCCCUUGCAGAUGGGUGGCCGAAGAUGAUGACAUUACCUAUUUUCCAUUCGUCAGACUGAAACGGAAGCUGCCGAUCACCAUCACACCCCUAGUAAGCGCAUAAUGAAAGAGAGAUCAAAUGAUGAAAGAAAGGAAAAAAAAAAAAAAAAGACGGUUGGAUAACCAUAAACCUAAGGCAAGGGUCAUCCCCCGCAACCACAGGCCUUACAAGAUGAGACUAUAUCAAUUAUUACUACCUGUAGCACAUCUCCCCGAGAUUUUAAGCGUUUUGAUCAAUCUAAAUUUUACUGCAAUCCUAGAGCGUUGGAGUAAUGAUAUUUAUCUUCGUGACUUGUAAGACAAAUGGCAUAUGACUUCUCUAUUGUAAGUACAUAUCAUUGAGUUUGUUCCGGGGUCACUGUCUUUCUUUUGAUUGAAGAAGGGUUUUCUUCUCCCUGGGCCCUGAUAGAAAACUGAUUAGUUAAGCCUGCAAGUGGAGUGGGGUUAUGAUUUCUGACCUUUAUCAUCAGAGCCAUCAUGGCAUGAAAAUCUAUAUUUUCUUCUUCUUCUUUGAUAAGAAUGGAUGAAGGUGCAUGGUGGUCCUCUACCACGUCCAACAUGUGCUCUGCUGGUACAUCGACAGUGUCUGGUAAUCGAACGACGACAAUCCUGCAUCUCUCCCUUUUUUUUUUGGGUGAAAAAAGUCUCUUUUUUUUUUGGUACAAAAAAGUUUAAAUGAGUUCGAUUCCAAUUAUCAUCUUUGAUCAGGAUAUGCCUUGAAAUCAUAAGUCGCUUAUAAAAAUUUUUACAGAUCGUUUACCAACAGAAUUCUCUUAUUGAUAGUAAAAUACGAACACGCCCACGUUUCAUCUUUUGCAAACAUUGGUUUAAUGAUGUUAUAGCUUUAACCUUCAUCCCUGUCUACCCGAUAAACAAUACGUUGUAGGGCAUUUGCAUGAUUAUGCUCGUGCUUUAAUGCCUAGUACGGCCUAAAUUGCUGGAAACUUCAAACUACAGCUGACAUAGGUUAUUUUCAGCAGUCAAUACAAGAGUUAUUGUAGAUUAUUUUGGCUCAAUCGCUAAAUCUGUCUACUUUUUAUCCUGCCCUUUAGAUCUAAGAUUUGUAUGCGGACUGAUUGGAACAAAUAUAGGUCAAUGUAGGCCAAGAAAUUCCAGCUGAAUUGUAGACAGCCCGCAACUGCUAGUUCAAACGGGAAUCACUACAAGAAAACUGACUUUUCACGACGCCAGAAAUAUGCUGCAAAAAGUCCAAAAACCGCCGCGAAAACCUUUUUGCGGCACAAAUGUGACGGAAUUAAAUUGUGCCACAAAAGUAGCCGUUACAAAAGAAAACGACACAAUUUUUCAACAUGUCACAUGCAUUUGCAUCACUCUUUGCGACGCCAAUUUGAGUGUCACAACUCUACUUGCGGCACAAAAAAUGCGCUACAAAAUGUCCACAAUGUCAUGCGACAAAAACUUGCGUCGCAAAAAAGUCACCAAUAUAAAGACCAGAAAUCAAUUUUUUCAUGGUACAAUAAUUAUCAUGCUCAAACAUCCUAAAAUCGAAUAUUAUAACAAAAUAUAGUUCCACAAUACACUAGAAUAAAGUACCAUACAUUGUUUUAGUCAAAUUCUACAAACUUUAUCAUUUAAUAUUGUUCGCUCCAAUUACAAGAUGUUUCAUAUAUUCCAAAAUGUGCUUGAAUUCAAAAGUACAGCACUUCAUCAUACAUCUCUCAAAAACAUCUUCAUAUCUCCCAAUCCGCAUGCUUCCAAUGUACCAUCAAGUCCAGGGCUGCAAAGUGUAUUCUAUUAGUCCCCUGCUCAUAUAACCCCAGCCCAUUAAGCAUGAAGAAAACGUUAAUAUAACAAUAGAUACUGAAACGGAAUUUGUAAUUCAACCUUUUCACAGACAGGGACGGAGCCAGAAAUUUAUUUUUGGGGGGACUGAAGUGUAUUAAAAAAUUUUUUUUGUGACGAAAUAAAUAUAUUUAAUAAGUAAAAUUUAGAAUCAAUAAUUAUAAAAAUAAUAAAAACAUAUAAUUAUACAUACCCAAAAAUUUGUUAUUGAUUAACACUUGAAGUAUUGGUAGUUGUUGCACUCGAAUAAUUCAAUUCUUUUUUUUUUUAAGGUUGAGAACUAGAAAUAGUAAUUUAUUUUAACUUUUAAAUCUUGAGAACUAAAAGUGCAUUUUUUUUUCAGUUUGGUAAAAUAUGACGACUUUGUAAAGCUUAACACCUGCUUGAGAGGAAAAGUAAACACAGAUGGUUUACUCAGGAAUAGAAAAAUAAUGACAAGUUGAACAACAGAAAAGAACAUUACAAUGUACUAUGUGUCUAGCUUGUGUACAGAAUACAGUCUUGAUCCAAUUGUGAUCCAUGCCACUUAGACUAAGCAAUAACUGCUAAAACUUCAAAUUCAUUCACAAAAUGUAAUAAGGUCUCCAAAAGAGAGAAUGGGAAAGACUUUGAGAAGUUCCAUUUGCAGUGGGCAAAGACUUGACGUACUCAAACUAAACAAAGCUGGAUAUUUGGAACUUUCUUGACUUUAGGCUGCCCAUCCAGCAUUACUACUCAAUUCUGCACAGACUGGAAACCACCUCAAUUGCCAUAAAUUCCAUACAAAAGGUCAAUGUCCACUUUGGGGACCAGGCCAGUUAAGAAGCACCCAAAUAAUGAAAGCACCACACCCAUCCAUUAAUUUAACGUCGCGUUAUCAAGCUGGCAUAUUGCCCAUGAAUUCUUCAUCCUCUUAGCCAGGAACCUUCUUGUCUCGUUCUCACUCGGCCAAGUAUAAAAAGACAUUCCCAAUGCUGAUGUCCUCGCUCAAAUCCAAAGCUAUCUGAUCAUAUACUAGCAUAUAAAUUAACCCCCGCUUCAAUUCUUCUCUAGAAUUUCACCUUACGACUUUCAUACUAGGGAUUUCUUCCAGUUAGUAUUAUUACCAAAAUCUAAACCAAUGGCCGCCGGAAUCCCCUAUAUAUAGGGGGUUUUCCGGCGGCUUGGGGGGGGCUUAAGCCCCCACCAGCCCCCCCUUAAAUCCGUGGCUGUUCACAGAUACUGAAAAUUAAGACCACUUCUACUACAUUAUGUCCCAUAAAUAGCUGGCUAAAUCUUAACAAAAACAGCUCGUCUUCCCAAUCAUACAAAUACUCAAUGGAAAACUUGACAGAAUAGAGUUAUUUCCAGAAACUUUUCCAGUACCUCAAGCAAGUCGUUUGCAAGUAGUCCUGCUCCUUUUCUUCUUUGUAUGAUGGUUCUGGUAUAACAAAAGACUAGUCAAUUAAAUAUCAACAAGGAGCUCACGCACAAAUAGUCAUCAACAAGGAAGUCAUGCACAAUUCAAUAUCAACAAGGAACUCAGCAAAAUUGGUCUUCUAUAGAAGGACCAACUCAAAGUACGCAUACUAUACCUCAAGAAUAUCAGCAAUUGAAGAAACUUUUUUAUUCAUUUCACACUUGUUUAUUUCAGCAUCAUUUGUUCCAACUUCCUUGUACAUUUCAGCAUCAUUUGUUCCAACUUCCCUGUUCAUUCUAUCACCAACCUGUUACAUUAUCAACAAAGUGUGAAGAAAAGAAAAUCAGGCCAUAGCUGCUGAUAUUUCAGAGAGUUUGAACACAAAAUCGAAUUGUAUGAAUUAAUAUACAACCUCUAAUGAGUCCGAAAUUUGAGAUUGUUUUGCUGCAUUCAUUUCUCUUCUUUGGAGUGAUGCCAAGUCACAUGUGGAUGCCCUCUGGAAGAACAAAGAUCAAUAGUAACUAAAGCAAUAAAAAAAUUAGAAAAACUAUAAUAUUUAACCAAAUAGUUAUCCCAAACCAUUCUUGCUUCAAAUUGAGCAAUCAACUCCUCCUUAAAAUCUGCCAAUUUCGAAUUCAUUUCUUCUCGUAGUUCACCACGUAUGAUUUCCACUUUCUCAUUCACUGCAUCCUCAAAUGCUUUCUUUUGUCCAGCAUUCAUGUUAUCUGACAUCCUAUACACGUCUUUUGGAGUCGCACCUACCCCAUAAGUUCGAAGACGACCUGGUUUUUCAGGUCCAAGAAUAUUUUCAUAGAGUAUAUCUUUCACAAAAUUAUCAUCCCUGGAUGUCUCUGGCAGUUUUUGUAUUUCCUCAUUCAUAGUUGCCUAAAUUGAAAAACAGAAGAAAGAAUUAUUUAUGAAGUAAAACCAAUAAAAAGUGACUAAAAGCUAUUCUUACAAUUGUUUGUGAAGUCAACUCAUCCAUUUGUUUUCCUUGUCUUGAAUGAAUAAAAACGUCUAGUUUCGAAGGCUCUUUUCCAGUUUUAAUCCGAAGCUGCCACAUAUUCAAUGUACAAACUAAAGUGUUAAUAUUUCUAAAUAAGACUAUGUUCCAGAAAAAAUUGCUAGAAACAUAAGCAUUAGAAUUUAAUAUACCUCUUCCCUGAGGUUCACAUGAUCUUUUCGCCCUGUUCGAUGUGGCAUCUUUUGUUUUUUUCGAUUCUUGCUAUUAAUCUUGCUUUGCUUCUAAUUAUGUACAAAACAGAAAAAGGUAGUUAACAACACAUCAAAAUCAUAAUAGCACUAGAAUUUAAUUCAAAAGCAAAAGAGAUGUGACAAUAAAUACAUGCCUUGACAUCUUCUGAGCUCCAAUAAUCAACCAAAAUAGGCCAUUGAUCCUCCUCAACUCUUGCAGGACAGUGUGCUAAUAGCCAUGACCUGUGCCUCCUAUAAGGAGUGAAAUACAUGCUCUUGACUUUUGAUUUCCAAUUUCUCCACAAUUUGCUGACCCUUAUCAUUUGUACUUUCUUGCAUGUAUCAUCAAUAUUUGUAUUUCUCUAUCAAAAAUUACAAAACAAAAGUUUAAACAUUCACAAGCUACAAGAUUGUAUGAAAUAAAAAGAAAAAAAAUGUUGCUAACUUUGAUAGUGAGUCAAAAUACCUUAAUAUCUUCCCAAAAUCUCUCCUUAGAUCCUUCAGGCAUGGCCCUCCAAUCUGUGUACGUGAGUGGUAAUUUAUUACCAUCCUUUACUAAGAUUCCUACUUGACUUAUAUACUGUGUAGCAUUAGGACCAAUUACUUGGCCCCGUGCAUUCCAAACUAACUCCAAUUUCUUUCCACCACCCCAACCAGCACUUCGUCUGGCUAGUCCUCUACCACUAUUGUCUCCUGUGUACAAAAAACACAUACACAUACAAAAGAAAAAAUUGUGAUUCAUAUAAUUUUUUUUAUGAAUAUUAUACAAAGCUUAUAAUAAGGAAUGCUAGACUCAAAACUAUUUGUGGUAAUCUUUUCUUUUCCAACCGACUUUCUUCACUAGAAUCAUCAUCAUCAAAAGUACCAUCAAAGACAUCCUCUAUGUCUUCUGAAUCAUAUGAAGAACCUGAUCCAGCUUCAGAAUCAUUGUUAUCAAAGGAAUCUGGUUGCUCACGAUGGUCUACUAGUGGUUGAGAAUGAAAGCCUUGACCGAUAUGUGAAUUAGGAUGGGAAUUUAGUUGAGAAUCAGCCUUGGAGUUCAACUGAUGUGAAUUGGCUUUAGAGUUGAACUGAGAAGCAGCAAUAAAGCUAGAAGCUGAGUUUGAAUUUGAAUUGGAGUCAUGUGAUUUCGCUUGACAAUUAGGUCGAGAAACAGAGUUUGAGCUAGAUGUAGGGUCUAUGCGUAUUCCAGGCAUUGCCCCAAUGAAUUUAUGUGCUGGAGGCUUUGAAUAAUGACUGGGGCAAGUCUGAUAAGAUUGAGAGCUUGACUGUGAAACAGGGUUCAAACUAUUAGUGGACUCAAUAUGCGCUCCGGACAUUGGCCCAACAACUUUGUGGGGCCCCUUCUUACUUGGUGCCAUGGAAAACCUAUAAAAGCAGCUUCUGAUUUUUGAAGGCAAAGUUAAGUAAGAUGAUUAAUUUUACUGGCUUUUUUCAGAAACCAAUCACAUAAUUCAGCAAGAGAGUGUUGUAUCAUCUUACUUUUGGAGUUUAAGUUUCUAAAAUCUGCAAACACAAAGAACAUAUACAUAUUAAGGAACUAUAACCCAAUGAAACCAACAUUACCAACUUGCUAAUAUGAACAUAAGGAAUCAUAAAUUGAACAUAAGGUAAAUCCAGCAUUACCAACCUGCUAAAAAAAAAGUAGAAUGCAGGUUAUCAAGGAGACUAAUAUGAACAUAAGGAAUUAUAAAUUGACAUCCAAGGCAGUGAAAAUGAUCCCACAAUUAAUAUUUUUCAUACUAAUCAGUAACUUCAUCUAAUAUUGGCAUAUCUAAACUUCAUCUAACAAAAUGUUAGGAUUAUAUUCCAAAAUUAGAGUCAAUCAUCAGCCUUGUCUCCUUGUUGGGCUUUAUCAAAAAAAUCAUCAUCAUCACUUGUAUCAUCAAUCGUAUUGUCAAUCCCAAGAUUAUCCUCAUCAGAGAAGAAUCCAUCAUCAACUUCAGCAACGUGUGCCUUGGAUUUUGUAGUUUGUGCAUCAAGUAUAACUCCAUCAACACCUUCCCUAACCCAUGAAACAUUACUAUCCUCAGAAUUAUUGUUAUUAACAUGUUGCCAAGCAGAAUGCUCAUCCUGGAUAUCUUCACAUAUGUUAAUUUCUGGAUCAAUAAUGAAAAGAUCUCGAGGGGUCAUCUUGACAACUAUAUUCCAUUCAGGUUCCAAUGCAUCCCGAGCAUACCAAGCUUGCUGUGCUUGAGAGGCCAGGAUGAAAGGCUCAUCAUUCUUCGUGUUUUGCUUGUACAAUAUAUGAUCAAAGUUAACAAGUGUGAAGUUGUGUUCAUCUUGUUUCAUUCCAAUGACAUUAUCAACCCAAUCACACUUGAACAUCACAAAUUUAAUGUCAUUUGAGUAUCUCAACUCAACAAUAUCCACUAAGACCCCAUAGUAUUCUAAAAUUCCAGAUAUAGGGUUCUUAUCCUUUGUACUAGCGAAACUAUUGGCACUAGCAUUCACAAAUACACCACUAUUUUGAGUUUGCCUUCUCAUCUCACGCUUCUUAGUAUGGAAACGAAAACCAUUAACAAUGUAACCAGAAUAGCUUUUUGCCCACUUAUCAGGACCAGCAGCCAAAUAAGCAAUUUCUUUAUAAUAAUCAUGGCAACUAUUAGAUUUUUCCAAAUCUGCAACCUACAAGUUUUGAACAAAAACUGUUAUUGUAUGUUAACUCUAGAGAAUAUUAAAUAUAUGAAAAUGAAGCUCAAUUAAAUUCACUACUGAAUUUAAAACUUACAUGCUUCUUAAACCACUUGUAAAAUGUUUCACUAUGAAUUUUCUCCCUUUCAUAGUUUGACAUGCGUGGUUUUUCCAGUUUUAGCAAAUGCUUAUGGUCCCUACAUUAGUCAUUAAAUACUUUAAUGAAAGCAAUAAUUCAUGAGUUAUUGAUUAAGUUUGAUAAACUGUGAACUUACCUGCGAAAAGGAUCAACAGUUUCAAGAUUUCCAAGAACAUAACGAUGAGCUUGAACCCAAGAGACAUCAUCUAAAUAGAUGACCUCUUCUUUUCCUAAGGGACGGCCAAUCUGUCUAUUUAAAUAUUCACCUUCAUAGUUCCUAGGUGGGCGAUUCAACUUUGAUUCAAUAUUGUCCAAGUACAUGGAACAGAAUGUCAUACAUUCUUCCGCCAAGUAGCCCUCUGCUAUUGAACCUUCAGGGUGACUUCGCUCCGUACAUAAUUUUUCAAAGUACACAGAUACCUAUGCAUAGAAUUUAUAUUAAUAUCGGUGGUGAUUUUUCAAUGUACAUAGAUUAAGUUGAUAAUCUUUUACCUCUCAAUAGGAUACAUAGACCGAAAUUGAAAUGGUCCACCAAGUUUCGCCUCUUCAGGCAAGUGAACAAGCAAAUGCUCCAUGAUAUUGAAAAAUGGAGGUGGAAACAUCUUCUCAAGUUCACAAAGGGCCAGUGGAGUACGGUCCUCCAAAGUUUCACAAUCUGCUACAGUAAGCACUUUCGAGUAUAAUUGCCUAAAUAUAUCUCGUAACUCAAUGAUAAUUCUGCAAACAUGUUUAGGCAAUAUUCUUCUCACAGCAAUGGAUAACAAUUGUUGCAUUAAUAUGUGACAAUCAUGACUCUUUAACCCAGAGAUUUGUCGUUCUUUAAUAUUCACACACCUCGAAAUGUUUGAUGCAUAACCAUCAGGGACCUUGACAGUUUUUAGCACAUUACAAAAAAUUUCUUUUUCAUCUUUGCUCAUUGUGAAGCAUGCAGGUGGAAGAAACACUUUGUCACCCUUAGAUUGUGGGUGAAGUGCCUUUCUUAUCCCCAUUUCUUUUAGAUCAUAUCGAGCAUUAAUGUCAUCAUUUGUCUUGCCCAUCCCCAACAGUGUCCACAAGAGAUUCUCCAAGAAAUUCUUCUCAAUAUGCAUUAUAUCCAGAUUAUGUGGAAGCAAAUUAUCCACCCAAUACGGUAACUGAAAGAAUAUAUUCAAUCUUUUCCAAUUAUACCUACAUAUGGGACUUUGUUCAGAGUCAUUAUUAUCUUGAAUGGGUUAAAUCCAUCCGCUGCAAGUCUAACACGAACAUUGCGAGGAUCACUAGCAAAGCUUGGGUGCCGGUCAUUAAAAUGCUUCCAAGCUAAAGAGUCUGCCGGAUGCCUCAAUUUUCCAUCCUUGAUGCACUCCUCUUCAUGCCAUUUCAUUAAUGAAGCAGUCUUUGAUGACAUGAACAGCCUUUGGAGACGUGGUUUCAAAGGAAAAUAGCGAACAAGCUUUGCUGGAACUUUGUUAGCUUGUUCACUUGAAUCAUCGGAUUGUUUUACAAUUUGCUUAUACCUAGGAGUUCCACACUUUCUGCAAAAGGUUUCAUGUUCUGUCUCCUUCCAAUAAAUCAAGCAAUCAUUGGGGCAUGCAUGAAUUUUAUGGUAGCUAAGACCCAAGUCUUUAACAAUCUUCCAACCAUCACGAUAAGAGCUUGGAAAUAAUUCAUUCUCAGGAAAAACUUCCUUGAGAAGCUCCAGUAAUAUUGUCAUUGAGUUGUUGCUCCAUCGACAAAGAGACUUGACAUGCAACAACUUGAUGACAAAUGAUAGAAGAGUAAAAUUUUUACAUCCAGGGUAUAACUCUGUAUCGGCAUGCUUCAGCAACUUAAAAAACUUAUUAGUCUCUUCAUCACAGGCUCCUCUAAGUUCUUCUAAAUUUAUGUUAGAAUUCUCUUCAAGUGUUCUUCCAAGUGUUUCGUGUAUCAAUUCAUUCAUGUCAUCAUUUUCAAUGCGCCUAAACACUCCAUUGUUCAUAUUUUCUUGAUUGAAGUCCCAUGGAUCUUCACCAUGAUAAAUCCAAUUUGUAUAAGUGGUCAAAAACCCUUCAUUGUUACAUGUGCACGCACAGUUUCUUCCUUUCUUCGUUUUGAGUUUUUACAUCGCCUACAUGGGCAAUAUAUUCUACUCCCAACCUCUUUCUUUUUGUAGGCAAAUUUAAGGAAGUCACUCAGACACUUUUCAAAGUACGGAUUAUUGACUCGGUCUUUAAUAAAGAUCCAAGACCUAUCAUCCAUUCUACAAGAAACAAGAUUGAGAAGGCAAGAAAAGAGACCUUAUAAACAGAAUUGAAAAAUAGCAAAUUUAUUAACAUGCAAAAAAAAUAAAAAAUAAAGUGCAGCAUGUGCAUCCCAGUUUGCUAUGCUCAUAGUGGAAUGCGAUGUUAACAGUUAACCCAAUUUCUCAAUGCCAAAAGAAUGUGGUGAAUUUAUGUCAAUAUGCAAACCAGUGUUCUGUUUACAAGAAAAAGAAACAUAGAUAAAUCAGGGGAGCUAGAUUGUCUUACAAAUUCCUAAUUGCAAGAAACACUUACAUGAAGAACUUAGUGAAGGCUGCUUCAAUGGGCCCUCUGAGAGAGGCACUUACUCAGGGAUUUGAAAUCACAAAGCUGAAAAAGGAGGAUAUGAGGCCCGUAACAGUGAAGGUAAUUUACAGCACAUAGAGAAAAUUAAAGAACAGAACCUAUCUAGGAAUACAUAAAUCUCGCUGCACUGCCUCCUUGUACAGUUUAAAAAUGGAACUUUAAUAACCUGAAGGAUGAAAGGAAUAAUAUCUUUUUGUGGUUUUGGUUUUCUAUAGGACUUUGAGAAUGCACUUCAGGAGGUUAGGCCUCUUCUCACAAUCUUGUUUUUCAAGUGCAUCCGAUAAACAUAGUUUGCUGCUGCAAUAAAAAUUUACCAAUAAACUGUGCCCAACCAUUUGGAAAAUCACAGUCAUGAAGCAUGCAAGUCUAGUCCAAGGCACUCAUUUUACUAGCCCACUAACCUGAGAGUAUAACAGUCAUUCCUCUGUUAGUGCCUAUUACAAUCUACUGCUGAUUGUUCAGUGAUUUUCAGAAGAGUAACAUCCUCUGUCUUUCACAUCCAACCUUGAUUGACUUCAGAUAAAUGCCAUAGAAGGAAAUUUUGUUAUGACGUUACAUAAACGCAACAUGCAAGCUCUACUUCCAGAGCAAACCAGAUAAAGAUGCACUAGCAUCUGUGCCAACCUAUUUGGAAAAUCAUGUCAAGCGUGCAAAUCUAGUCCAUGGCACGCAUUUUACUAGUACAGAAACCAAGAGUAAAAUCUACUGUUGAUUGUUAAGUGAUUUCCAGAUGAGUAAUAUCCUUGUCUUUCUCAUCCAAUCUAGAUUAACUGCAGAUAAAUUCCAUAGAAGAAACAUUCGUUAUGACAUUACAUAGUCAGAGCAGACAAGAAAAGAUACAAUAGCAUAUGCUAAGAAACAUGAUCCGAACUCGAAACCCUAACAAGUCUCUAGAUGUAAAAACAUCGAUUCAUUAAAAAAAAAGAAAAAAAGAUAGCAAUAUUACCAGUUGGAGCGAGACAGAGGAAAAGGAGUGAGUAGAGUAGAUAGAUCUGCAAUCAAAAGUUCUGUAGGAAAAAUAGCUUGGAUUUGGAGUGCGGCGGAGGAUUCCAAAGAAAAAGAGAUCGUUGUGUGCUAAUGCGUGCGAGGAGGACUGAUUUUGGGGCCGGAAGAGCGGCUGCCCUGCCGCUGGUGCUAGGUGGACGCGGAUCGAGUUGGCCCAGAUUUGAGCUGGGGAAUAUGACGAGUAGGGACUGGCGUUCUCCUUCACCUUUUACUUCAUCGAUAAGGAAAAGCGAAUAGGAAGACUUGCUACUUUCUGGAAUACAUUCUAUUAUUAUCGAAAAAUAAGGGAAUGGAUCUAGCUCAUGUGAAGGCACCCUGAACUUAUUAUCAAGAAAGGACAUGUGACCUGAAAAUAUUUGAAACAAAUAUAAUUUAUUUCAGGGUGCCUUUACUAAAAGAUAAACCCCUUCCUGCUUUUGGGGGCUUAUCGAUACCUUUUUACAAGGGAUCAAUACGUGGAUUGUGCUAGGAAACUAUCUUUUAUGGGUUUUAUUAAAACUAUGUCAUUUUUAUGUAAAAAUUAGGAACCGUUGUGAAAUUUGCAGCACAAAUUGAAAUUUGCUGCUUAUUUACCGCACUUUCUCCUUGUGCCACAGCAAAAGCGUUGCAAAAAGCCCGUUUUCUUGUAGUGAAUAUCAUGUCAUUGAAACUGCAGACCAUCUACUAAUUCUUCAACCAACCACACAUUACAAUAAUUCAUUUGUGUUAGUACAAGGUUCGAAGAUGAAAUACCAAUCCGAUUUAGUAUCGUUUUUCUUUCUGUGAGUAAUUAGUGAGACAUAGUUAAAUUGAGCAUUAUCGGUAGGCAUAAGGAUCAUGAUGUUGCUUGCAUUGUGCACCUUUUUGGGUAGCAACUUACAAACAUAAUAACUUGAUUCCUUCCCUUUAACUGAAAACAGUACAUUAUUUGAUGUUCAUGCCAACCGAUCUCCAUUAACCAUGUUGAUUUCCAGUGUCAUAGCCGAGUUAAAGUCAGAGGUUUUCCUUCCUUUCCCCCCUUUGUUCCUCUUUCCCUACGGUGCCUCAAGUCUCAAAUCAGGGCAAAGCAUUCCACGGCUCCAUAAAAUCCCCCUUUUCGUCUAGAUGCCAAUACCAUGUAUGCAAGCGCUAUUAUCCAAUUCAAAUGACACUAGCACCCCUUGUAAUGCAUAUGUGCACAUGCCCAUUGCCUAUAACUCCUGAUGGGGGAAUUCAAGCAUUUCGUUGCAAAAGUAGACCAUGAAUAAGCUUUUAACUCAAUGCGUUUCACCGCACUGAAUCCCAGCUCAAUUCUUUACCAGGCAUAAUAGAAGCUAUCUUCCCAUAAUCUAAAAAUUCAACAAUGUAACAGCAACAUAAUUUGAAAACUUCAGCAAUCCACUUGAGCUCACUAGGAUUGCCUAUAAGGAUGGAUGGGACAAGCUUGAAAAGGAAUGGUCCAAAGUUUUACUAAGCCAUAGCAGUGGGGUAUAUCAAGAAUUUGAGUAUGAAGUUUUACAAUCCUGUGCAAGAGAAGCUAAUAACUAUUCCGUUAAUAUGUGAUAUUUUAAGAUUCACACUUUUUAGUGAAUAAGAAAUUUCCAUUAACAAGGAGGCAACAUAUGUUUACUGCAUUUUUUAGGGAACAACAAUUUCUAAAAUGACGGAGACAAUAGAUUUUUACAGAAUUUUUUAAUACACUUGCAGGAAGAUCACUGGAGACGACGAGCAACAUGCUCUUUGAAUUAUAAAUAAGAGCUUGUACUAGCCGUUGAAAAUCCAAAACAAGGGUAAAAAGAAAGAAAAGGACAACAGAUGUCAAAAUAAAGGAGUCAUGAACUACAACUAUAGUAGGUAGUGUGUAAAGUAAAGCUUACACUGAACAGAUAAAUGCAAUUUCAACUUUCAUCUUCUUCCCGGCACAAAAACUACAAAAUGCUAGAAUGUCAAGCCAUUGUUGCCUUCUUCUCUUCCUCAAUCUGCUGAAGCUCUACCAACCUUUGUGCCCAUGCUCUUUCCCUUGCUACUGCAGCCAUUUUCCGCUCCACCCUCUUUAUCAUUUUCUUUCUUUUGGCCUCUUGUAACUGAGCUUUACGCUUCUUCUUUUCAGCCUGUCCAUGAUUAAGAAUAUCAUAAAAGGGAAAUGCAAACGUCAACAAUAUUAUGCCUUAGCCAGUACAGUAAGUUAUUUUUUCUAAGUAAUAAAUAAAAAAUUCAGUGAAAACCACACAAGUUUUGGCAGAAUCUCAAAAUAGCCAAACCUGAUAAAAUUUACAACAUUAAGACAGAUUAUAGAGCAGAAAAGAGAAGAACCAUUUCAAAUGACAACAGUCCAUUAGAUCACAAAUGAGAUUAUAAGGCCUAAAGAUGUCUGCAAGCACCAUCAGCUAACUAUAGAAUUUCGUGAAGCAGCAAAUUUUCACUGUCAUCAAUCAAAAGCCAGCUUUAAUCACCAGAUCCUAUUUGUAACCCACUCGAGAGCAAAGAGAACAAGAUAGUUUGUUGCGCAUAAACUUGUUCAAGAGAAACAGUUUAACAAGGCAUUUCUCUUGAAUUAGUUCUUUCCCAUCUAUUUUCCCAAUCCAGAAUAAUUUAAUCAGGUUACCUUGAUGAACAUCAUGAAAAUGUUCACACAUUGUCAUCAUAAUUAAAUACAUCAUUUUACACAGACAUUGCAUUUUACAAGUUCCAUAUCGGAUUUCAGUUAAUCCGUACUCCUAGUUAGGCCAGAAUAUAAAAUAGUCACCCACAAAAAAGAUCAGAUUUGGUUAGAAGAUUGAACGCAGAAAACCAUAUAUCAAGCAGAUUAACAAACUUAAUUGAGCUCCAAACAAAAAAAAAAGUUACUGAUUACCAAGAAAAUGAAGCUUAAGACUUUACCAGUAUAAACGCACGGUGCAGCUUAAUCCGCUUUUUCUCAUUUCUUCGCUUCACACUUCCUUCAUUGGGUUGUUUUCCAGCUAUUGGUUCUCCAGGUACAUAUUUCACCCAAGCAUAAGGCCCUAAUAUCCGCAAAUAAAAUUCACCCAAAAAGCAUCAAAAUUUCAGUUAGCUUUUAAAUUACGAGGUGUACAUUUUCUUAUCCCCAAAAUAGCACCAAUUUGUAAUUAAAAUUUGAAACUAAAACUUAAACCCUAAACCCUAGGAAUGGGGAAGAUGAAAAUGUGACCUGGGGGUUUUAAUUGAGCUCUUUUACGAUGAGGCUUGUCACUGGGGCGUCGUUUGGGGUAUCGGGUGUCCGUUAAGCUGUGGAAAGCGGAAGAUGACGGAUUGAAUGGAAGAUUCCGGUGGAAGGAGCCCAAGUGGUGGCGGAAAUGGAGCUCAGAUGCCGGAAAGGGAGAGGAGAUGGCCGCGAUUCGUUGGGGAGCAAGAGCGAAGGUUGUACGGGUUGACAAGAGAGUCCGCGAUACGGGUCGAAUUAUGGAUCGUAGGGCUCCGAGACCCAUGAUUUUACGCCUGAGCGGAGUAAAGUUUUACGAGGUUGGUGCUGUUCUCUAUAGCAGAUUUGACGGCUACCUUGCUUCUUAGUUUGCGGGAGCCAGCAGAAGACGACGUCGUUAAGAUGCUCUUCCCAAACUAACGUUAGAAGGUUACGACUUAAGAAACAUAAAUGAAUAAAAUAAAAUAACAAUAUAAAUAAAAUAUUUUGGAUAGGAGCUUAAUUGAAAUAUUACUUGGAAUAAUUACAAUAGUACUUUAUAAAUUGUCAUGUAUGAGAGAUAAAAUGACGCGUUGAGAAAUUAUUUGUAAUGCGAGUAAAUAAUAGUUUGACACAUAAUUGAUAAGUUUUGUACUAUAAAUGGUCUCACAAACCGAAUUUUUACCUCUAAGGAUUAACACACAGUUUACUAAGACACAGGGUAAGGGCUCGAUUAUAGCUCUAUGUUUUGCAAGAUCCAGAUUAAUUUUUGCUCCUCAAAGCCUAGUCAGGAUGCUAUUCAAUGUUUGUUGCUGCUUGAAAAGAGAAUAUUAAAACCUGGAUUCCUUUAGCUCGCAGAGACGAAGCCAAAUACUUCUCAUGCACACAACUAUUUAAUCCCAGAAAAAUGUCAGCUUGGGACUUUGCAAAUUGCAAUUUCAGAACAAUCGCAUAGUCUUUUAUGAAUGCAGGAAGAUGCAAUGUUUAUCCUGUGGAACUUUCGUAUGGUAUCAAACCCCUGGGAUCCAAAGUACUCAAUGACAUCUAGAACUUGGAUGUCAACCGCAGCACAAGUAGUUUAACGAAAGGAGUUCAGAUCCAUCAUGGGUACUUGAAACAAUAUAUAAUAGUAGUUCAGACGCCAACUAUGAGGAGUGAAAUUUUUUUUUUUUUUUUUUUAAAAAAAGGGGUCAGUUCAGCAGUGAUUAUCACAGCCCUCUGCUCCAACUUAGUUUGGAGUCAACUCGUAUUUAAUAAAAGUCGUUAUCAAUUUGUCAUAGUAUUUUGCAUUGUUUGCAUCCUUGACCUCUGCUUGAUCAUGAAAAUGUAUACCAGCUUGAUUAAACACGGAGAGCAAAUGCAGCAAUUCCUCAUUUGAUAGCUUUGAAGGCCUCUUGCUCUCCACUCCUCCAGAUCUAAUGAUUUCCACGACUUUCUCUUUAAACGAGCUCAUCCCUUUCUUAUAGCCCAUUGCCAAAUUCGUCUCCAUUUCAUUUUUGUCAUCUUCAUGUUCAUCUUCACUUUCUGCAUUCAGCUCAACUUCCUUUUCAUCAUCACCAUGGAAACUCCCAUCAGUUUGCGACAGCUUCAUCAGCUCCAUCAACUUCCUCUUCUUCUUAAAUAUCGCACCGAGUGUCUUAUUUUUCUUGCUAAAGCACAUCCGUGUAAACGCCCACCAUUCCAUCAAAUCAACACUUGGAACGUCCUCUUUAGGCCAGAUCUUGAUCACCGAAGAAUCAAUCUUAGGAACAGGCAAAAAGUCCCUCUUGCUUACGUCCAUAACAAACUCCACGUCUGCCACCAGCUUCACAUUCGCCGCUAACCGGUUAUACUCUGGUUCACCAGGAUCGGCUAACAGCCUCCUAGCAAACUCUUUCUGAAGUAAAAGUGUUGCACUCCUGAACUUACUCCCGCCAAACACGAACUUCGCUACCAAACGCGAGGAUAUCCCAUAGGGAAUAUUAGCUACCACGAGAUCAAAUUGUGGAAAAUCAACCUUCAGUGCGUCAUCACGUAUUACCUAAACAGAAAAUAGCAUGAAAUCAGCUUAAAAAAAACUCCUCUGAGGCAUUACAUCAAACAGCUGAUCAUUGUAUCUCACAGUCAACCGGUCUUCAAAUCCUCGCUCAGCGACUUUCUUGUGAAGAAUUUCGACCAUGCGCUUGUCGAUUUCGAUAGCAUUAACUUUCUCCGCAACUUCAAGCAGCUUCAAAGUCAGAUUUCCGGUGCCGGGUCCGAUUUCUAAAACGGUGUCAUUGGGUUUUAUAUUGGAUUUCCUGACAAUAGUAUCGAGGACUCGCGGGUUAGUGAGGAGAUGUUGUCCCCGGCUUUUGAAUAGCUGUAAAUGUUUCUCUGAAACUUUAACGUCGCUUCCGAGAUUGUUAUCGUAGUCAUCCUCGUCAUCUUCUUUAUCCGAGUCUCUGAUGUUGAAACGACGGCUUGAUUUCGAGCGAAUUUGUUGGAUGAGAAAGCUUCUCCUGAUUAUAGCUGCAGAAAAUUUGCUAGGAAGGGACUUGCAACGGUGAAGCAUUUCAGGGAUAGUUUUCCCCCAAGUAUUCGAUGGGUUUUCUUUUUUUUUUUUUUUCCAGAUUUGACCGUUUAAGUUGGAAAAGCGGGCGGGGGUGGCGGGUGGAGGACGAGUUGGCGGGGAAGAUGCAAAGGCUUUCGCAUUUUAUCUUUAGCUUGUGAGAUGGGCCAAAAAAACUGAUGCAGAUAAGCCCAAUAGACGGGAGAAUUGUUGACGUCAUUCAGCAUAAAUUGGCGGACCUUUAAUUCUUGGAAAGGUUAAUGGGCCAUCAGGCCAAAAACUCUUAAUGCGUGCUUAUAAAUUUUUUAGUUUGAUAAUAUUUCUCUCUCUCCCUUUUUUUUCCGGAUAUUGGAUCCGGAACUUUUUACUUACAAUUUUUCUCACCUUAUCAUCUAAUUCAACCCUCCUCCGACUUAAUAAUCUUGAUUUUGGAAGAAACUAUGAGCUGAAACCCAUGGACUAAAACAUUAGGCACAUUUGUAAUGGUAGGAGAAUAAUAAGGACAUUUUUCGAGCGCAAACUUGUGCAUUGGCAUAGCUCAAACGCACAAACAACUUGAGCUUACGAAGAAAAAAAACACACACACACACACACACAAGCAAAUGUAAAAGGAUACAUGAAUCUAAUUCGAAAUUAGAUGUUAGAUAAACUUAAGUGCUAUAUAAGCGGACUUCUUCGGUUGGCACUCCACAAAACCAAUAACGCUAGCCUAGCAUGGCUUGGAAUAGUCUCCCCAUUAAAAGUUACUAAAACAAAACAAAUAAUCUUGUGAAUCACUGUGGUAUUUGCCUAACAAUAGAUCUUGGAAAAUAUCAUAGAAAAUCUGAGAAAGCCUUUGAUUUAGGAGGUUGCUUGGUUGCUUUGAUAUGCAGAUAACUUGGACACCUGCUGUCGGUGGCACAAUAGGGUCUGGAUCUCCAUCAGUACUGAUUGUGGUGGUUGGUCGAGAAAUGCUGGCCCAACUUUUAUCUUGUCAAUGGUCCCAGGAGGCCAUGAUAUAAGGUUUUGACAAUGAAAAGCAUUCAAGGGUUCGUGCAUUGGUCCAAAUAUUGCUCUCUCUCUGUUGAAGCAAACUAGUAGGAAACUCGAACACUUAUCAUCUAAAGAGAAAAAAGAAAAUGAACCAUUUCAUCAGGUAUAGAAUCUCCUUUCGGGUUUCCCAUUUCCCCGUGUAAGCCUUGGAGUCUCUUCUAAACAAAACUAAAAAUAUAUAAAGGAAAAGUAUUAACCAUUUGUUUAGAUUUAGCCGUUGGGUGACACUCUAUGAGGAUCAUGAAGGAUUGAGACACUCUACUGUGGUCUUUCUUGGGUUGGCUUUUCAUUGACACGAGAUAUCAUUAAGCUGACCCUAAUUAAGAUGGUUGUUCAGCUGUACAUGUACAAGUGGGGCACAUAAACUCGCCUCAAUUAUGUUUUGCUUCACAAUCAUGUUGUCUAAGAUUUCAAUUUCACACAGUAGCCCAUCAAUCCGAUUGAAGAAGGAUCUUAGGAAAAUUGGUGCAUUUCCAAUGAAUGAGUUUUUUUUUUUUCUUCUUCCCCCCCCCCCCGGAGAAAUAGUGACAAGGUAGGAAGAAGCUCCAAGCCUCAGGAGUGAAAGCAAAAUUUGGGGUCAAUACAAGCUGACUCACUUGACAAGGACGGAUCAUUUUUUUACAAAAAGGUCGCGUGUUCGAAUUUUCCUGUCGAUGUAAGAACUGUAUUGGUGGGCGAUCUGUAAAUAAAGCAAAUUUUGGGAUGGAGGGGGGAAGUUUCAUAUGGUGAGUAUGAUGAUCGCAAAAAAUUUUAUUAGUGCAAUGACAACUUGGUCAGUUCAUUUCGAAUUUGAUAAAAAAAAAAUAAUGCUCAGGGCUUUGUUUUGAGAUUCUCGAAUCUCGAUUAUUGUAAAAGUAAAUGAAUAAGUAAUAGCACGGGCAAAAGUUGAGACGGGUCCCUCCAAAAGUGUAGGAGACUGUCAAGGAAGCAAUCACUUUGCAAGGAAACACAAAUCUAAAACAGGAAUACGAGGUAAUGAAUGUGCCUUGAGAACGAAGGCAAGGCAAAAAUAAAUUGACAGUCUCCCAAGGAAUCAAGUGCCUUUGGGGUUCGUUUGUUUAUUCUGCUUGGCACUAAGCUAUUAUACCAUACCCCGGAAAGGCUGUACUUAGAACUUCAAUGUUCUUGUCCUUUUAAGCAGGCUCAACGGGCUCCAUAUGCUUCUUUUUUCGCUGAUUUUCUACACAUCUACGUUGUUGAUUGAUAUAUCAUCGCAUGCUACUUUUGCAAUGGGGCAUUUUCAGGGGGAUGAAAAUUAACCAGCUACAAAAAAAGAGAACAUAAAUUAAAGCCAUUUCGCUUAGGAUACUUUUUUAUCUAAUCCAGUUGAGCGAAGCCGAAUCAUGGAACGUAGAUUAGGACCUUAGUUAUGUUCGUAUGACUUCAUCCUCUCCCCCAACCAAAAUGAACAUUGGAAACAUGUAAAGAUUAUCCCCCGCCCGCAAACCCCCAAAAAAAAAAAAAUUUAAAAAAGGAGAGUGAACUCACGCUCCAAUAUGUUUAUACCUCGGAAGGAAUAUUAUAUUACCCAUGUUAAAAAGAGGGAGAGAAUUCCAGCAGUAACAGUAACAGAAGAAAAACGAUUUUGUCCGCUUUUACCACCACCGACGCUUAACGGAACCGGUAUCUCGAGGGGGAAAAAGCUAAAGAAUACAACAACGGUCAGAAACGGCACACAACGUUGACGACAGGGUUGGCGGCAAUUAUUUACGGCACAUGCCCUUUAGUUUUUCAGUGGUCCCCACUACACGACCACCAUCCGUCUUUAAUCUUCUUUAGACCUUAGACGACAUCCUUCAUCCUAACAAAAGAUCCCACAUCCCAAAAAAAAAUCUCGUAGACUCGUUCCCCGGUUGACAGCCAAUUUUAUAUUGACUCAUAUAGACACUGAUGAAUAUUUUCCCCAACCCCCAAAAAAAAAAAAAGAAGGAUGAAGUUUGAGCAAGCUGGUGAGGAAUUAAUUUUUAACUACUUGUAAAUUUUUUAGCAUUUGAUAUGAUUUGAUAUGUUUAAAAAGCUUAUGGUCUUCUAAAUCAUCAUACGACUUAAAACAAGAAUUACUAAAAAGCAACAACAUAUAUCAUCACGUUACGCGGUCAUGGUGGACUGGACAAAUUGUUUAUAUGCGCUGUACCAUGCAAGAAAGUGAAUCGUACCUCAUUAGCAAUUGCUAUUACUGUGGAGUUCACUUAAUUAUGUUUCCUUUUUCUCCUAUCUGCAAAUUUUGGACUUGAUUUUCUGGAAUACAUAAAAAAGUGUCAUAGAACAACGAGAAGGUGGAUUUUCAGAACCUUUUCUUAAUUUUUUCUUGGUAAUGUUCGAUCAAUAACUUGAUUGCCUUCGCAACCAGUGGUUUUCAUACAACUCAACAAAAUUCUGAACUAGGGGACACAUCGUCUCUCAAAGAAAAUGACCCCGGCCCUUAGGUCCUGACGCGUUAGGCCUUCAUGUUUCUUUCGAAAGCAAGAUUCUUGAAUUAUCCUUUAAAAGUUGGCCAGAUCCAUCUCAGAGAGGACAAUGACACGGAGUAAUAAUAUGAGUUAGCCUUACCUACUCCAUUUGGCUGCCAAAUGUUUCUCCUUGUUUGUCCACACGAUCUCUCUACCAUUUGACAUUUCUUGUACAUGUGUGCCGUACAAAGCCAUUGUACAAUGGCACUUUCGAGCGAUAAUCUGUUUAUUUUACCAAAGUAAAAGCAAGAGGGAUUUGGAAUCUGCACUAAAAAUGUCCAAAGCACAAGAAUAGCGUAGAAGAGAAAACAAGAAAGGAUUCGUCAGAGGUAUGGUGAUGAGAUUGGAUAAGGGGCCAGACAGAAUUGUUGUAUUGCUUGGACCAUGGUGCUUUGUUUAAAUUUUUGUUUUUUUGGAAAGAUUGGACCAUUUGUGCUGUGUUGUUAAUUAGGCGGAAGUUGCGUAAGAAAGACAUUAGCACAUGCUACUUUACAAGUGCCUAAAUGCAAUCAUGCAAACGAAACUUGUCCCAUGCAUGCAAAAAACCAUUAUAAUGGUAGUAUAAAGAAACCACAAUCAAUGCUUUCUAGAAUGUGGGUUGGUGGGGGGGGGGGGGGUACCGACCUGCUGAAAAGGUUUAACCACAAUGAAUGAUCUCUGACUAGUUUUAGCUUUCUUUGGUAGAAGAUCUCUGAUUGAUUAGUUGAAAUCCAAUAAUGAACAUUAAGAAUGAUGAGUGGAACCUGGCCUAUACAGAUUCCGUCUAUUGAUAUGUACUGAUUUUUCUUCAAGAAAGCUAGUAGUGCAAAAUUGCCAUUACAGGAGGACUGAUGGCUGAAAGAGAACUCAUAAAUUAAAAUGAACCAAAUCAUACCUAUAACUUUUCUUCUUUUUUUUUUUCCGGAUCUGGAGGGGUAUUCUGAAAUCACCCAAACUAAUUUCUCCAGAUUGGACAGAGUUUCACCCCAAAAAUGCCCAAUAACGAUAGCACGUGGGGGUCAAACUUGAGAUCUUGCUGUAACUAUAGACGAUCAGUCCCAACCGAACUAUUCAUGAGGCUAAAUUGUACCUAUAAUUUGAUUGAAUUUAAAAUUCCUUAUUGCAAGAAAUGCGAUGAGGGUUUCCGCUAUCAACCAUUACAAUUUUCACACACACACACAACGAACGAAUUGAUUUGAUCAUAUUAUUAGCCCCAUGCCGAUUGAAUAUAUAGGCCAUAAGUAUAAUACUUAUAUGUAUGCACCAAAAUAUACAAAAGGAACUCUUUCUUGAGAGUAAAUUGUAGGGCCUCUCCCAAACCCCAAUUGCCAUAUGCAAGCGGGCCAAACAUGAGUUCAUAAUGUCAUUGUAACUACCAGACUAUUAACUUUUAACUUAGUUCCUCCUGCGGGGAAAAAGGAGUUAGUUACUAUAAACUUAUAGCAGUGCACUUUCAGUUAAGGAGACAGGAUGAUGGAGACACCUGAAUCAUCUACUGCCAUUGCAGGCAGGUCAGUGUGUGUUGUAGCGCAGGCCAAGGGACAGUGGUUAUGAUUUCGAAGCCAAGCCUUCAUUACUCUGAUCAUUAUCUAAUUUAUAUUCAUUCAGACGGCAUAAACAUCGGAGAAACACGAAUGCCUGUUGCCGUUUAGAUUAAAUCUAGUAGUUUAUGGGUUCACCUGAAUUUAAUUCCAAGCUGUCAAGACAUGAAUCUCCAAACAACAUAAUUAUUGUGUGUGUGUGUGUGUGUGUUUUUUUUUUUUUUUUUUUUUUGGGGUUUGCCGUUAAUUUAGGCCUAGUUGAGGGGUCACAAUACCUGUGAAUUUUGCUCAAUUCACUGGGACUUGGUUUUUUAGUGAUCCUUACAUUAGUGUUUUAUUUUUUUUCUUGGGUGGUUUUUGACCUGUAACUCGGUCAAGCUCCCAAGCACAAGCACAACAUAUUAUUGUGUGUGGGAGAGGCUAAGUGCAUAAAUACCGGAAAAAAUGCGGUGGUGUUUUAUGUUUAUGGUGGCUUACAAGUAGGAUUGCAGGAGUUGGUGGAGAAACAGAUGCAGCAAGUCACGGCGAGGGGCAAAAGAGGAGAGGAUCACAGGACCCAUAUUCUCAGCGUUCCCGCUUCCCAUUUUAGGGCAUAUGUCCGUUUUAAUUAGUCACCAACCUUCCGUCCAUCGCGCCGUUGAAAGCUUAGAAAAGCGCAAGAACGAAAUGUGCAACCCCCCCCCCCCCCCCAAAAAAAAAAAAUGAAGGAACCAACCUAGUUUACUACUCCUAUUGCUUUGAACCCAAAAAAGCGCUUUUUUUUUUUUUUUGUGGGCACAAGCAAAAAAGUGUUAACUACGGUCUAAAGCAGGAGCACCAUAAAGAACUGCACUAAGUCACCAGCUGCGCGGCAUCGGGCAUCCCGUGCUUAAAUUAAUGUCCUUAUUGACUGUUGCUCAGAAGAUUUAGGGUACAUUAUUGUUUAUGUCAUAUUAUAUCGUUAAAAAUUGGUAAAGAAGACCAUGGUCCCUCCAAAUUACUAAUUCACUAAUGUUCUUUUGACCGUGGACUACUCUCUAGUCUCUACUAGCUACCCAGCUCAAUUUUGCUACGCAUGCAUUUUUGGGGCAUAUUUUGCUCGAAAUGCUACUAUAAAAUGAUGAAUUACUCGUAUAUUCCUUUAAUUUCCGGAAGUAUAUUUGCAAAUUGCAAUAUUUGGUACUACCAUAACUUAGUCGUUGCACAAGCAUCACGAGGAAAUCACAGAAAACGCGACAUGAAACUUUGCACGUUAAGUACUAUUGUUGUUAAACUUGUUAUGUUACUUUUAAUUGAUGUGAAUAAAAUGCACUAAGGAGAAAAGAAAGUGGCUGGUUUAGUGCUUUGUCUUUUUUUUUUUUUUUGCUGACGGAGUAGGUGUCCGGGCCUUUGGCUCGACUAAUCCCACUCCAUUCCGGGAGAGAAGGUCUCACUCCACUCCGAAUACGGUAGUAAAGGGGCUCGAAC